UUUGACUUAGAAGAGAUAGUUUUAUCCCAACAGUGGGAUAAAUCAUUGAGAUGCAUGGCAGUGUGAAUAUAGUAGACAAAAUCAUUGAGACACAUGGUGGUGUGAACAUAGUAAACUUUGUCAAACACAGCUAAGAUAAACAAAUUGUUUCAUUAGCCUUUAUCUUAUCUGCUGUGAUGAUUCAAAUUAAUGCUGUUUGGUAAGUUGCAAAAAACGAAAUGAGCUGACUGUUCGUAUUAUUUAGUCAGAUCUAUAGCAAUAAGUUGAAGUUCAUUGUCACAUGGGUUGGGAGUAGCGUGGGCUGUGAGUAGUAGAAUGGAUUUAUGGAGUUGAUACAAGUGCCCACAAUCUAUCAUGUCAUUCUAGGAUUAAAUGGAUUGCACAUUACUAUAAAGAUGGAGGUUAAAUUUAUAUAAUUCGGAUUGAUUGUAAAAUGGGAGGCAGAGAUGAGUUAGAAAAAGAAUGACCUGUGUCCUUUUUGAGCUGUUUCUAAAUGUCCCUGGUGUGCUUCAUGCUUAACACGUGCCUUUCCAAAUAAUUUUGCUUAACCUGUGCUUGUCUACUUCUUGUGCUAUUCUGUGCCUGGUCCUGAGCUGUGUUGGUAGAUUGACAUCCAGCUUGAACUUUUAGGUAUAUCUUUUGUACAUAAAUUCUGAAUACCCAUGGACUUAGCGUGAUAAAGUCAAGGAUCCAUUUAGCUGAGUCGUUCAAGGUUUGUUAGUAUGUCUUCGGAUUAUAAAUAUGUGACAAAAAUGAGGUGUAGAAUACAUUUAAAAAGAAAAGGAUAAAAAAAAAAGAAGAAAUGAAAAGAGGUGUUUAGAAGGAAUAGUUAAACUAGAUACACUCCCACUAAUUAGCGAUUCUGAUGAACAGUGCCCAUAGCUUCUUUUAUACCUUGAAGUUGCAGAAAUUGAUUCUUGGUGAAUUAAGUCACUUACAGACAUAACUUUUUCUUCCAUCUAAUUUUUAUUAGGUUAGAUAGGAGAAGACUUGUUUCAGGGUGUCCUGACCCUAGUAUUAGUUUUCUCGUCAGACUUUUCAAGAAAAUUUACAAUGCACACGACAUACAACUUCUAGUAAUCCUAGGACUUUGUUGACAGGGUGCUUCUAUUCCUCGUUGUGGAAAUGGGACAAACCUUUUGAUACCUUUACCAGGAUCAGUUAGUGCUGAGGAUAUGGCUAUUACUGGAGCUGGUGCACGACUUCAUGAUCAAGAUGCACCAACCCUUCCACUGUUGUAUGAUUUUGAAGAAUUAGAGGGAGAAUUGGAUUUUCUUACUCGUUUUGUGGCAGUUACCUUUUAUCCUGCUAUUUCUGGAACAAGCUCCAUGACUCUUGGUGAGGUAGAAAAUAUUUUCAUAAAAUGUUAAUUGAUGUGUCUACGCACUUUAUUCUUAAAUUAGUAUUUUAGACCAUGAGCUUUGUGGAGUGGGUUUGCUGUAACUGCUGCUGGUGACAACAUAAUUGUUAAUAUUAUUACAGAUAGAGAUUCUUGGAGUUUCUCUUCCAUGGACGGGGUAUUCAAUAAUGAAGGCCCUGGUGCUAGAUUAAUUGAGCUUGGCAAAAAGUUUCAGAAGGAAACCGAUCCAUUUUUGUCAAAUUCAGUUACAAAUACAGUUCCGUUUUCCAAUGAAAAUAUGUCAACAUCAAUGCAAACAGAAGCUGCUUCCAAUCCUUGGGUUGACCUGUUGUCUGGAGGGGACACAUUUUCUGAUCCUCUUUCAGAGCCGUUUUCUAGCCCUCUUUCCGAGCCGUUCUCUGAUCCUCUUUCUGAGCCGUUCUCUGAUCCUCUUUCUGAGCCAGUGACAAGAAAUGUUGCAUUUGGAGGGGCUGAUUUGCUUGAUUUCUUGGACCAGCCUAUAGUUGAAGAUCAUGGUGUGGAAACUUAUAAAAGAUCUUCAACACAGGAUGGCUGUUCUCUAGCUAGUGGUGCCCAGCAGUACAUAAGCUGUCUAAAAUCCCUUGCAGGGCCAUGCGAGGUAUAGUACUGCUCUCUUGUGUUUUUUGCAGCUCUACAUCUUAGCAACUUCAUCUUUUUAAAGGAGUAAAUUCUAGAAGUUCAACAAAUUUUGCUCUGCUAAAUGUAUAACUUAUUAAUCAGUGUCCUGUUAUUAUGGUUUGACACUACUGACAUAUUGUGUUGGUAUUUAUUUGUACUUCCCUUGGUUGAAUUAUUUGCUGUCUCCAUGCCAUUCGAUAUGGUGCUACUUGGUUUUUGAUCAUCCAUGACGCUAUAUAUAUGUAAAGGAUGAAUUGAUUGUUUUGGCUUGUAUUCUCACAUUUUAUGAUUGAUUGAUGGAAAGGUCUUCAUGUAUUAAAUUCAACCUCACAAGCGUAAGAUUGACAGAUUCUGGGCAAAUUUUCAGGAAAAGAAACUAGACUUCAUGGAAGCAAUGAAGCUUGAAAUUGAAUGUCCGCAGCUGAAUCUUUCUGCAGCUGAAAGGGAUAGAGCUUUAUUGUCAAUUGGAACUGAUCCUGCCUCUAUAAAUCCAAAUGUAUUGCUUGAUGAAUCUUACAUGGGAAGACUGUGUCGAGUAGCAACCACUCUUGCAUUACUUGGCCAAACUUCCCUAGAAGACAAAAUUGUUGGUGCAAUUGGCCUUGAGAAUAGUGAUGAUAGUGUUUUAGACUUCUGGAAUAUUACUAGAAUCGGAGAGAGUUGUUCUGGUGGCUGGUGGCGGGUGCAAGGUUCGUGCAGAAACUAAGGUGCCUGCUCUUGCUUCCUCAACUGCAACAUCUGUUGGAGCUUCACAAUCCCCUUUGUUGUGUUCUCAAUGUGAAAGAAAAGUUUGCAUAGUUUGUUGUGCAGGAAGAGGAGCUCUACUGUUUUCAAAUUAUAAAUCAAGGGAUGUGACCAACUACAAUGGCUUCUCAAGUCAGAGUGGAUCAAGCCAUGGAAGCCAAGUUGAUGUAUCUACCAGUCGUUCACUAACACUGGAUGGCGUUAUCUGUAAACACUGCUGCCAUGAGAUUGUGCUUGAUGCAUUGAUGUUGGACUAUGUUAGGGUCUUGAUUAGCUUGCGAAGAAGUUCCCGUGCAGACAACGCAGCAUACAAUGCUUUGAAUGAGGUUGUUGGAUCCUGCUUAAAGGAUAGUCUUUCUGAAAGGAUUCAGUCUUCCGAUAACGUGCAAGCUGCUGAAGUCCUUCACCAAUUAUGUGGUGGACAGGAAUCUCUUGCUGAAUUUCCAUUUGCUAGCGUUUUGCACUCGGUAUGUUCUUGGUUUGUAUUCAGUUCUCAUCAUGUUAUGUUUUCCUUUUAAAUUUCUUUUCUUGAUUAAAAUUUUUAGAAAUAUGUUUUAGUAUUUGUUCUUAUGAUAUAUGCCCAGAACAUUCAUCCCACUUAUCCAUGAGAAUCCUUGUCUGGUUUGAUUUUCAAUUGAGACAUUUUUGGGAACCCUGAGCAGGUUCCAUAUGCUAAUAAUCUUUGAGGUAAGGUGUUGUAGGAUGCCUUGAGAAGCUAAAAACCAAUUACAAGGAAAAGCUCUUGCAUUGUUUUGUGCAAUCUGUGUGCUAGCAAGUCAUGUCUCUAAUAAUUUCAUAGUUCGCUUGAUUGGAAUUUUUUAUUUUGAUAUGGAUUGUUUAUUCUAGAUUCCUUGCUGCCACUGUAGGUUGAAACAGCAAAAGAUUCAGCACCGAUUUUGUCACUGCUUGCUCCAUUAAAUUCUGGAUCAAGGCACUCAUAUUGGAGAGCUCCACCUAGUACUACUUCUGUUGAAUUUGUUAUUGUUCUCGGUUCUGUUUCUGAUGUCAGUGGGGUUAUCUUGCUUGUUAGUCCUUGCGGCUAUUCUGUGGCUGACACUCCGAUGGUAAGUGCCAUAUUUAUUCCCUUAUUUCCUUGUUGUUCAAUAAAUUUGGUGAUAAGCCAAGUGGCCUUAAUAAUGAAGCCCAGUACCAGGGGUGGUGGGUAAUCGAUAUUCAACUUGUGAAUAUUCCUAAGCAAACACUGAAUCAACAUAUACCUCGGCAAAAGUUCUCCAUGCUAUUAUAACAAAAGUCAUAUUUUGAAAUGAUUAAAACAGUCCCUGUGUAGUGCCAUUUCCAAAGAAAUUGCAGCUGGGGGUUUAGUUUCAUGUAGGUUAGUUUCCGAUAAUAAACUUUCCAUUUCAUUAAUUGCCGAUGGAAAAACCAAGUAAGAACAGUUUCGUUGCUCGUCAUUUAUGUAUAUUUUGGUAAACUGUAAUUUUAAAUUCUCAACGAUCUUCCCUUUGUAGGUAAGAAGAUGGUCCACUCACUUGAUAUUUAUGAUUGUAGAUCAGGUUUCUAUUGGUUUGCCUUUAUCAUUCGGAACCCAAGUUUGAUAUUAACAGAGAUCACGUCAAUAAUAUCCUAUUUGGGUAGAUGUGGGUGAGGAUUUAAAAUCAAAUUUGAAAUUGAGGGGAAAGAAGAGAAAAGGAACUACAAUAAUUAUUCUGAUGAGUUUUAAUCUCGAGAGGAGCAAUUUUCAAAUGCAAAUUUAACGGCUAGAGAAAUUGUAGCUUUUUGUCAUUAGUUAAGAGGAAAGAGAAUAAGAACUAUCCGGCCCUUUCCUUCAUGAAUGUGUGUUGAGGUUGCUGUAUUAUUUAGUCAGUAUUUGUAAUUUUCUUCCCUGCAGUGCUCUCUGCCUCCUGAAUUUGCUACUGAGUCCAUAUUUUUCUUUGAGCUGUUCCUUCCUAUUGCUGUUACAGUUACAAAUCUGGGCAAGCAAUAAGAUACACCGGGAGGAAAGGUCAUCAAGGGGAAAAUGGGAUGUCCAAUCCCUCAUCACAUCUUCUUCAGAUUUGUAUGGUCCAGAAAAGUCCGCUAGUGUUGAAAAAUUACCUAGGCAUGUACAAUUUACUUUUAAGAAUCCUGUUAGGUGCGCAUUGUUUGGAUCACAUUACGUCUUCAGAGACCUGGUUCGGCUUCAGUUAAUUUCGGGAAGGACUUCAGUCUUUUGUCUCUUGAUGAAGAUGAAAACCCCUUUGCACAAGUAGACAGACGUGCUUCAUUUGGAGGAGCAGUUGAAAAUGAACCAUGUAUUCAUGCCAAAAGAAUUCUUGUAGUCGGAAGCCAGUAAAAAGGGAGGGGCUUACCUCAUCACAGAGCUCUGAGCAGCUAAGUAUUAGAAACUGGUUGGAUAGAGCUCCACAAAUGAGUAGAUUCAAGGUAUUAGUUGCUUUCACUCUUUGUUCAUUCAUAAUUCCAGCUUUCUGCUUCACUGAUAAAACUCUUUUUUCUCUUCAGGUCCCAAUUGAGGCCGAGAGAUUGAUGGACUACGAUCUCGUCUUGGAACAGUAUCUACCUCCAGCAUCACCUUCGCUUGCCGGAUUCCGUCUAGACUCUUUCAGUGCAAUAAAACCUAGGGUUACCCAUUCACCUUCCUCAGAUUCAUUUACAUGAGAGAAAGAGUUUUGGGUUUGACUUUGAUUUUGAUUUGUAUUUGUUGUCAUUUCAUUGAAAUUUCUUUUUGUUGUAUAAAAAUCAGAAGGUAAAAGUAUUAAAUUCACUGAUGCGGUAAUAUCUGUGCUGGUUACAGGAUUUUAUGUUUAACUUGAAGUUAGUAAGCAAUGACUUAACAAUAGCACUUUGAAUUUAACGUGGAUCAUAUUGUAUUUGAAAUUAAAAAAUAAAGAGAGAGAAAUUAAUUGUUAAUUGAGUUGGACAAUUUUCCGUGGUUAAUUGCUCCCAGAAAAGAGAAGAAUGGGAUUGUGCUUCCUCACACGAAGAAAGACUCGAACGUCUUCGUGCUAAUUAAUCAAUGAAAGAUUUUGUCAAAUAUCUGGCCCUUUCUUUCUUGAAUGUCUGUGUACAAGUUGCUGUGUCAUUUAGUCAAUAUUUGCAAUUUUCUUCCCUGUAGUGCUCUCUGCUUCCUGAAUUUAUAUUAGUGAUCUGGUUUCUGAGUGCAUAUUUUUUCUUUCUCGUUGCUGCAGGUUUGUCGUUGUCAAACAGAAUCAAGUUAUAUUAUUAUUGUGAUCCUUAUGAGCUUGGAAAAUGGGCAAGCCUUUCUGGAGUUUGAUCGUUAUUUAUAUGUUAGAGAAAGAGUUCUGGGUUUGUUAAAACUCAUUAUUAUAAUUUGAAAUAUGUGUUAUUUCAGCUAAUGAUUAACACUAAAAAAAUUAUCACCCAUAUAAUUUUUUAAUUUGUGUAGGGUAAUAAUAAAAUUGAAAAUAAUUAAAAAAAUAGCACAAUAAUGAGUUUUAACAAUAAAACAAAUUAAAUGAAAAUUGAAAAUUUAGAAAAGUGUAUCUAAGAAAAUGGAUAUUUUCAGAAAUAAAAUGAAUAUAACUAAAAAUGGGGUUUUAUGAGGAGAUCAAAGGGGUGCCAAUAGUCCAACUCGUAAUUAAGAAUCUCCCAUUACAUUGUCAACCAAAAAGACACUUGCAUAAGAAAAAAAAUUUCUGUUUGAUUUUAUUUGUAGAUCCAACAUUUCUCAUAUCCUGGUCGCCUUUCCGUAUCAAAUUAAAAUAGUAUUAGCAAAAUCGUAGUGCAAAUUCAAUUAACCAACUAAUAGUCUAAGAAGCAAAGAGAGGAUUACAAGUUCACAACACCAUUACAAAGGAUUCAAAAUUCCCACACGAAAACAUCAAUGUACAGAUUAUAAACAAUCCGAAUUGGACACAAGAAAAACCCUUCAAUGGAUUGCUUGCCUUCCCAAUGCUAAAUACUGUGCAAACUGCGCAUUGGCCAAGAAAAUGUUUUCAAUUUAGUGUAUUUUCAAAAUGCUUAUUUUCUCAGAAUAUAAAAAAUGAAAAAAUAAAAAAAGAAUUCUUACAUGUUUCAUCAGCAUGAUUAAAAUCAAAGAAGAAAGCGAGACAUAAUGUCUCUGACAUAAUAAAAUUACAAAAAUUUCAAGAAAAAAAAAGGGUUAAAACAUGUAAUCUUCAGAAGCAUAUAAUAAAAGAAGACUUCCACAAGUUACUACAAUUACAUGCAGUAGAGAUUAACUGAUGCUUUGACUUAUUAGCAGGUUGCAAUGAAUUAUUAACUGAUGCUUUGACUUAUUAGUUCUGCAGCUAAGUUAAAUAAAAUAAGGUAUUUUCAAAAGCAAAAUGGAAUACAUAGACAAAACAUCAUCUUAAACAAAUCACAAUCUAGAAUUAGAGUGUUGAUUUGAGAUUCUAGAUUGUGAUUUGAUCGGCUCAUUUGUUAAGAAGUGUUGAUUUGAUCGGCUCUGCAAAUUCUCUUGGGACUCGGUUCCAAUUCCUCUUCAUCAAAACUGUAAUAUAAUUCCCCUUCAUCAGAACUCGAAUCAAAUUCACUUGCAGCAGUUCCACUCGCGCUUGGCAAAUCAUCUAAUUUCCAAACUUCGGUAGCAAAAUUGAGAGUAAAAGUGUUGGCUUUGAUCUCGCUGGGAUUUGCAUAUACUGGACAUACUCCGCAACGUUUUAUCUUCUGACCCUUUUGGACCUUUAGGUUUCGGCAACACUCAUUGAAGAACUUAAGUGAGACAGUUGUAUGAUGGUAACCAUCAGGAAAGCCAACAUUCAAGCAAGGUUUAAAACCAAGUAUGACAUGAUCUGAAUCAAUGAGGUCUUCAAUUGAGUGCGAAUCGAAACUCAGAUGAACAUGUUUGGUUUCAGAGAGAGUCUUUAUUUCUAAGUCGGAUCGACAGCCGACGUAAACAUUACGAAAACGAUCAGAAUAAAGUUGCUUAAAAUCAAGAACAGCACAAAAAGCAAACCCGAUUAAGUUUCUGCAAAAAGAGUGCGGUGGCAGUUGAAUACGUAUUGAAGAUCCUGAACUUUGAUUGCUGAACCAGUCAGGAAUUUUGCUCCCAGGUAAAACAAUUUGGGAUCGCCUGAGUUCAGAAAGUUUCUGUGAAACGACAUUUAAAAAAAGAAAAUUGUCAAAUGAAAACCAUGAUUUCAGAUAUAACAAAGAGGGACAGAGUAAACAAGAGAGGGAAUUUGAUACCUCGUCGAUUGUCUUUCCCCGUCUCAGUGAUGCUGCAAUUGCCAUACGUAGUGAAUCUGCCAAAAUCUUGUUGUUUGCUUUUCCAUCAAGUUUCAAGCAGUUAGUAAACCGAAAAUAAAUUGGUUGUGACAGUCGAUAUUCCGGAUGCCAUUCACAAAGGUCAGGAGAGGGUUUGGAUAGCUUUUCGAGUACGGAUGCAUCUAGUUCUUGUAGACAUGACGGAAUCUCUGGCAAAGAUUGAAGCCGGUUGCAGUUCGUUGCAUUUAGUGAAUGUAGACACAAUGGAAGUUCUGGUAAUGACCGAAGCAUGUUACAACCCGUCAAGUCAAGAGAUUCUAGACACAAUGGAAGUUCUGGUAAUGACUGAAGCAUCUUACAACCCUCCAAGUGAAGAGACCUCAGCUGCGACAGUUGCUUGAUACUUGCAGGUAAGCUCUCAAAGCUAUUUCCACUUAGAUUUAAUGUUGUCAGUGAGGAUAGACAGGCAAUCUCUUGUGGAAUUUCCAUUACAGCACAGUUCCUCAUAUCUAGAUGUCCCAAAUAAGCUAAACCUAAUAAAAACGAUCGAGGCAAUGAUACCAAACCUUUGCAGCGAGAGAAGUAAAGAACUCCAAGUCUGUUUGAAUAUGCAACAGAGGAUGAUGGUAGUUGACUAAUAGCUGAUCCAACUGCUGAGAUGAUAAACAAACAUUUUAAAUUGCCAAUGUUAUCCGGCAACUUAUCAAGCUUAGAGCAAUCUUCUACGAACAAUUCUUCAAGCCCCGGUAGAUUUUCAAAUGACGAUGGCAGCUCUGUAAUUGCCGUCUUGUUUAAAUUGAUGCGUUCUAAAUGUUCCAUUUUCUCCAAGAUUUCUGGGAAGCGCUCAAGGUUCACGCAGCCAUUAAGAAAAAGAUCAACCAAAGAUCUCAAUUUACAAAACCUAGUUGAAAUCCUCUUCAGCCGUUUGCAAUACUUCAAAUUCAACUUUUUAAGAUCAGUUAGGCACUCUAUUGAUGACGGAACUUCUUCUAUUGCAGACUUGCUCAAGUUUAGCGAUGUUACUUUCCCAGAAAUCAGUGGAAACUCUAUGAGAUUAACACAAUAGGAGAAAUUAAUAGUUACUGGACAAACAAAAUGAAGAUUGCUUGGAAAAGACCUAAGACUUUUGCAGCCCUCAAAAGACAACGCACUGAGAUACUUGAAAUUCUGGAUAGAUGAGGGAACACAAGCCAAGUUUGUAUAAUCCAAAAGAUAUGUUUCAACAUUUGGGGUUUCAAAUGGGCCUGGCAUCUUAAUGAAAUGUUGAGAAUGGCUGAGGUUAAUAGAUUUUAACUUGAAAGCUUCCUGCAAUAACAGAUAUAUAAAGACUAUAUUAAUUAAAAAGCAACAUUGAAUUCAACAAUUAAUUGCACGUAUAUUUAAAGAAAGAAAAAAUUAAUGUUUUAGUUUUAGUACAAAACUUACCUUUUCUCCUUCCCAAAGUUGCUCAACUUUACUACAACUCAAAUUCAGUGCAACAAGGUUCUUUGGCUUGAAAUUUGAUGGCAGUGUCCUUAAUGGAUAUGUGUCCCAAUGAAGAUAUCUCAAUUUUUUAGGAAGAUAAUCUAGGCCAUUUGGAAGCUGCACUUUAGAGUAUGAAAGAUGCUCUUCAAUGCUCAUACUUGGAAGCUUUUCAAUCCCAUAAAAUUUGAGCAAUCUCAUAUUAGACAUAUUUGUGAAGGCUCCGGGGUCUAAAUUGAUGCGUUUUAUUUUGGACAAAUCCAGAAAUAUGCCUUCAAUUGCAUCGGUCCCCUUAUUAAAAAAAAAAAAAAGAAUGAGUAAGCCUAAAACUCAAAAGAAACAUUCGUAAACUUUAUUAAUUAAGAGCUCCUUAAACAAAAAUAAAUUACGCAAUCUUUGAUUUUAUUUUUUUAAUAUAUUAAAUAUCUAUAUGCGAGAAAAGAAAAUUUUGGGGACCAUUGCAAAAUUAAACUAACUGAAAAAAAAUUCAAAAUUUCUCUAAUUUACAAACCUGUUAUCUUAAUAUCUAGAAGUUGAGAAGACAAGGCCUAUUUGAUUGGUAUAAGAUUUCGAUUUUUUUUUUUUUUAGUCCAUAGAAUCCAAAAUGUUAGUUCAAAAUUAGGGAAAAAGUCAUUUUUUUUCCACUAGCUGUAAUUGUAUCCAAGUCAAAUUGAGAUACGACCCUUUUCAAAAGGAUUUAACCAUCUUACAGCCUCCUUAAGGCACAUUUAAGCUAAAAGGAGUGAUUGGAGGCAGAACUAGGUGGGCCAAUCAGUCCAUUUUAUUAGUGACCGUUGCUUAAAAAAAAUUAUACUCUAAACCACACUUACUUUUUUGAAAAAAAAAUGUAAUUAUAUUGAAAUAAAAUCAGGUGGGCCAAUCCUCAUGGCACUCACUUUGUUCUAACACUCUUCACUAAAUUUGAAGAAAAAUAAAAUUAUACUCUUCACACUCGUAUUCAACAUUCCAAAAUUGAUAAAAUCGGGAGUUUUCUUUAAAAAUUUAAAAUUUGAAGACUUGUUCUCUUGACACCCUCAGUCAUUAAUUUUACCUAAUUAUGGUUUUUAUGAUUUUGGUUGUUUUGUUCAUAAAAAUGCUUUUACUAAAGGAUGUUCUGGUAAUAAUAAAAUUUAUAAAAAAAACAUGGGUGUGCUGAUAUAGUUGGAAAAAUAUGAGUGCAUAACUCCAAACAAAUAAAAGAUAUAUAUAUAUAUAUAUAAAUGGAGGAUUCUUACCUUAUUAUGCUUUAGUACGCGGCGGAUUUCCUUAGGAUCCCACAACCUGCUGCGUUUGCCUGGCUCUUUCUCAGAUUCUUGGCGAACAAUCUGUCGCCCCAUUUCUUGCAAUAUAUCAUGCAUCUGCAAGGAAUCACCUGAUAUUGAUAUGAGUGACUUAUCAAUAAGGACAUCCAGUCCAUCAGACUCAGAAUCAUCAAGAAUCCUUGCCAGAAAAUCUUUAUCCCCUCCCUCGAAGAAACACGCAAUAUCUAGAAAUAUGCUCUGCACCCUGGGCGUUAAUUCAUAAAAACUAAUCUUUAAUAUUUCAUAAAUAUUAUGAAUAUCAGAUUCACAAAUCCGAUUUAAGUCGUCCAAUACAUUUUCCCAAUGGCUUUUCCUCUUGAGAUACAGGGAGGAACCCAACACCUUAAGAACUAAUGGAUUGCCUUUGGCAUACUUUACAAACCUCCGUGAGUGCCGAUUGAGAUCUUCAGGACAAUGAUUUUCUUUAAAAGCGAAGUUACAAAAAUGCUCGAAAGCCUCAUCCAAUCUCAAUCCAUUGACCCUAUAUAUUUUCUCCACUCCAAAUUUUUCGAGGACUCGUUUAUCCCUGGUGGUUACAACAAUUCUACUUCCUGGACCAUAUUGAUCAAGCCCUCCAAUCAAACCCUCUAAUUGUUCAUCUUUAUUCACAUCAUCGAGUACAAUCAACACCUUCAUGCGUCGGACCCUCCCUUUAGUAAAUUGUGGAAUAUUGGGACCAGCUACUUCAAGUUUUUCACUUAAUAUUGUCGAAAGCAUUUCCUUUUGUAGGUCUUCUAGGCCACCCUCUGUUUCUGAUUUUCUCCUAACAUUUUUUGCAAAGUAUUUACCAUCAAACUCACCAGAGAAUUGAUCGAAAAUAGCUUCAGCAAGGGUAGUUUUGCCUAUACCACCCGUGCCCCAAAUUCCAACAAUUUGGACAGUAUCCCACAAAUCCAUACACAAAAAUGGUUUAAUCUGCUCAAUUCGUGAAUUUAAUCCAACUAGGCCGUUGGAUGAGUCCGUUGAGACUGUUAUUUUUUCCAACUUCUUCAAAACAUCUUCGACAAUUUUGUUUACAAGUUGCGCAUCAAGCCUAAUAUGAAGGUGCAAAGAUGCAAAAACAUUGAGUCAAAUCGGGCCAAGACAGAAACAGAGAAAAGAUGAAUUAGGAAAGAGAGUUACCUGAAUUUCGUGGAUUCAUGGCCGGCUAGAUGGGAUGUUUCUGUCAGUGCAUCCCUCCACUUCUGAACCAUUUCUGGUUUAUCUUUGAACUGUUUUUUGAGCUCAUCAAAACGGUCUCCAAAUGUUCCGUUUUGAUGCCGCACAUCAGAUGGACUUACUCCAUAGAAGACUGGAAUAAUAAUUUGGCCGUUUGUGUUCUUGCAUUCAAGAAUCUUGACAAGUUCAUUCAGGCACCAUUUUGAAGAAGCGUAGUCCUUUGAGAAAAUGACCACCGAAAUUUUUGAACCUUGGAUUGCGUACAAAAGGGCGGGUGAAAUCUCAUCUCCUCGCCUAAGCCCUUCAUCAUCAAUAAAUGUUUUGAUUUUCUUUCCUUCAUACAAUUUAUCAUAGAGAUAGCAAGUAAAGCUCUUACGAGUGUCCUCCCCUCUAAAGUUGAGGAAGACUUCAUAAUUGCCACAAGAAGAAGAGGAAGCCAUGAAGGAAAUUUUAGAAAAUUGGUGACAGAAACAGAGAAUUAAUCUUGAGAGUUGAGAGAGGAGAUGUAAGAAUGAACAUGUGUGAAGAUUCUUGCGAGUACAUAGUAAAUAAUUGAAUGGCUGGAGCUUUCUUAGUUUCCUGGAAAUUUCCUGGAGCUUUCGUAUACAUGAUUUGUCAAGUCAUGAAACAUAAUCAUGAUAAUGGGGCAGACCAAAAAGAAAAGCAACAAUUCAAAUAUUUGAUUCAACCAGUAUAAAAAGGAAGGAAAAGCAAAGAAAGGAAAUGUUGAAAGUAGAGUUAGGGAAUUAUAAAAAGCUGAAGGAAAUUGGAAUUUUGUACAAUUUCUCCAGCGAGGAACUUUCACAGUCGUUACCUCAUUGUUACAGUUUAGAUUAAGAUUUGAGGGUGCAAGCAUUUACCUAGAUUUUACCUCCGCACUAAAUUCUUAAGUUUGAAAAAUUAUGAGACCUUUAUAUUGGAAGAUAUUAUAAUCGAAUCAAAACUUAAAAUUUUAAUAUUGUUAAUCUUUAAUCUUUAAAAAAAAUUACCUUGCCGUUACAAUUUGGAUUAAGAUUUGAAUAAGCAUUUACCUAAAUUUUAUCUCCGCCUGUAAAUUCUUAUGUUUUAAAAAUUAUGAGACCUUUAUAUUGGGAGAUAUUAUAAUCGAAUCAAAAUUUUGAAUUUCAAUAUUAUUAUUCUUUUAAAAAAAUUUGAGAUAACAGAGUGAUUGAUAAUAGAGAACUUGUCUAGGCAAACACAUGCAUACACAAAAAUGUGAUGGAUUCAAAAAGAAAUUAAAGUGAUAAUGUACGUGGAUCCUUAAAACAAAAAGCGAAAUCGCUUGGUGGCCCAGUAAAAUUAAGACUGAAUAUUUUUUACACGAGAAGUCAAGCUCAUAAAUGGCAAAAGCCAUUUCAUUUCACUUUUACGCGUCAUUGACUUUUGUAACACGGUGUAUGCAUCGUCAAGUGGGGCAAAAGGGUUUCGAUUACAGUGGGAAAACAUGAACAAGAAUGCAUAAUGAAUAAUUCUUUCGAUAAAGCGAAAAUUAAACACAGAAUAAUCCUAAAAUUUAAACUCUAAUAUCUUAUAAUGUAUUGAUUAAAAAUAAUCCUAAGAGUUCCCAAUUGAAACUUUCAUAAGUAUUUUUAUUGUUUUGGAUAAACAAAUUGCACUAGGAAAACAAUUUGGCAAAUUCAGAGGAUAAUGAAAAAUAGCUAUGCUUCAAUAGGCCAAAGAUUAGAGAACAAAGAAGAAUUAGUUAUUGAUAUACGAAAGAGAAACACUCCAAAAUUUCAAGCAAAAUAUUUUCAUAUACCAUUUCGAUUUUGGAAGGGGUGUGGUUUUGAACUUCAAUAGUUUCCUCUAAAAUCAAAAGGCAGCAAUUAAGCUAGAAAGAGCAAAGAAGACUUUUUGGUACCUUAUUGAAGGUAAACAUUAUGGAACUUCCAAUGUCAUUACCUCACUGUUUAAUUUUUAUUGAGAUUUGUGCAAGCAUUUACCUAAAUCUUACCUCUGCCUGUAAAUUCAUAAGUUUUGAAAAUUAUGAGACCUUAUAUCGGGAGAUAUUAUAAUCGAACUAAAACUUAAAAUUUCUUUUCUUUUCUUUUUUUAUCAUAAAAGGGCUCUUAAGAGAGCUACGACAACACUAAGUGGGAGUGUGCAACCCCAUGAACAUCAUUAAUCAAUAUGUUUAGCGUAUUUGGAGGAAUAGAUUGAAAGCAAUGUAAACCCAAAGGAAACAAAAAGCUGUACGAAGUAAGGAAAUCUGCUGCUACAUUGGUUUCUCGGUAGAUAUGAUCCACUUUGAUCAGCCAAUCACGCCAAAGGAGUUCUUCGAUGGCCUGAAUGAGAAUAAAAUGCUCAUUGACGGGAGGGUUUUAGUUAGAGAUUAACUUCAUAACACACAUGCUGUCUACUUCCACGUAAAACUUAAAAUUUCAAUAUUAUUAUUCUUUAAAAAAAAAAUUGAGAUAUCAGAGUAAUAUCACAUAGAAAAACUUGCCCACGGACGGUAAGCCAAAUGUCUAGUCAACCACAUGCAUAAAGCUAAGUAGAACAAGAGAACAGAGAAACGCGUGGGUCCCUAAAGAAAAGGCAAGCACAUAAAUGAAAAAGCCAUUACAUUUCUAUUAACACGGUGUGGCAGCAUAUGCACAAUCAAGUGAGGCAAAAGGGAUUCGCUUAUCGUGGCAGAACAUGGACGAGGACGCGUGACGAAUAAUUCCUUCGAUAAAACGAAAAACAAACGCAGAGAAAAGAAUUUCUUAUAUGACAAGAAAUCAAAGAAAUGUGAAGGAACAUGAUGAAGAAAUUGCAGACUGAUCAAUUAUCCCCAUGGACUCCUAUAAAUUCAACCAAAAUAACAAUUCGAAUCUUACCAAAUUCUUGAGUUAAAUUUAUUCAAUGCUUUUAUUUUUUUAGAGAAAUUUUUUCCAUUGCUACUUUCCCUUUUUUGGGGAAAUUAGAACCGCGGCAUGUAUAGAAAACAUUGAGGUGUAAAGCAACAUUAAUUUCAUGGGAUAUGCGUUAUACGCAUAAUAUAUUUUCAGUCCAAAUUCAACUAUACAAAGAGGCUUGAGAACUUAAAAUUAAGCACAAACUAAACAGACGAAGUAAAUACAUGAUUAUGCAACAUAACAUUAAUUCUCUUAAUUUAUAACUGUUUUUGCCACAUGAAUCUUGCACAGUUAAUCCUAAUUGAAGACUAAAAAAGAGCAAUUGGAAGAAGGUUUUGGAAUAGAAUGGUAUACAAUCGAUAUGAUCCUUUUCCAGUAGUCAACGCUAAUUAACUGCAGUUUCUAGACUCCUAAUUAUACUAGCCAUAGAAAACUGGUGAUCAAAUUAGAUUUUGAAAGGAAAUAAUGUUCAUUUUCCCUUCGCUGCCUUUUUUUUUCUUUUCUUUUUAUAGCAAAGAAUUAUAUCAUGAAAAGAAUCAAUUUAAUCACCUUUUCCAGCAGCACAAUUUUUCUUUUAUAAAAUUUGACCACAGAGACAAAGAAGAAUUAUUCAUACCUUCAUCAGUGAGGAAAUACUUUUCGGUAUGGCUAGGGUGAGAAAAGGCUUUCCACAAACACUUGUACUUUGUAUUCCUGUAAAUUUUCUUUAAAGUCAAUAAAAACCAUAAGUUCUUUACAAUAACCACCUCUUUGAUAAAAAAGUGCCGUAUUCCUUUAGAAUUUAAAACCGGCAAAAUCGGAAUCAGUGUCUUUGAAGAGACAUAAUGGUCGUAAUUCUUUAAAUGAGUUGGCUAUGGAAAUCCUUAUCCAAGAUUCUUUUACGCCAUAUUCUUUCGUAAACCAAAAUUCAUUUUGGAAUACUCUGUUGAGAAUGUCAAAUAAAACGGCAUUGAAGGAAGUUUUCAAAGGUAGAAUCCGCACUUGUCAAAGGGAUGAUCUGCACUUGUCAAAGACACGAUCCGCGUCAAACGAAUCGACACAUUUCCUUUCGUAUUCGCAUAUGUAAUCUUUGAAAAAAUGUAGCUUCUGCAUCUAUAAAUAACGCUCAGUGUAUAAUGUUUUAUUCAAGAAAAAAAACAAGUUUCUUCAUACUCGUCGUCCGAACAUACAGAGACCGUCUCUCAUAACUUCAGCCGAAUACUUGUGAUGAUGAUCAUUUGUGAUUUCAUCAGGCAAAGGGUUGAUGGUGAAAAUUUUUGUAUGUGUGAAGAAUUGAGCUGUGGAUAUAGGGGACUUAAGUGUAAUCGAAAGAGAGUUAUUAGGUCAUAGUGCAGAUUGCAUUCAGUUUAUGGGUCGCUAUGCAGAUAAUUUGUUGACGUGGCGAAAUCUGUUAUGGUCGUUAGUAUUGUUUCUGGAAAUUUUCUAGAAACCUCAGCAUAAAAGGGGCUUUUGCAUAGCCUCUGGUGUGCGUGUGAUUUCUCUUUCGUUUCCUCAUCAAAUUCUGUAAUUCUUGCUUUGAUAAAAAGCUUGUAAUCUCUUCUGUAAUGUGUGAUCAGUGCGUAAUCAUUUUGAGCAAUAAACGCUUGUGGGUUUUUCCUUCAAACAGUGUCGUUUUGGUCAGUUUGUUAGUUUGAUCUGUUGGUGGAAUUUUCUUUGGUUAUUUGUUCUCAAAAUUCAACCGUAUAUAAAGUUUGAACUCUAAUGGCUUAUAAUGUAUUGAUUAAGAAUAAUCCUAAGAGUUCCCGAUUGAAAUUUUUAAUGACUAUUUUUAUUGUUUUGGAUAUACAAAUUGCAUUAAGAAAAAAUAUUGUCAAAUUCAGAGGAUAACGGGAAAUAAUUAUGCUUCAAAAGGCCAGAGAUUUGAGAACAAAGAAGCAUUCAUUACUGAUAUACAAAAGAGAAACACUCCAAAAUUGCAAGCAAACUAGUUUCAUAUACUGUUUGGAUUCUGGAAGGGGUGAAGUUUUGAACUUCAGUUGUUCCUCUAAAAUCAAAAGCAGCAAUUAAGCGUUCUCAAUUAGAAAUAGCAAAGAAGACUUAUUCGUACCUUACUGAAGCUAACAUUAUGGCACGGUUGUUCAUAUGUAAUGGCUGCUCUGUUAUGCUAUAUGCUCUGUUAUGCUAGCUUCUCUGUUUUUGCUUACAGUUUUGAACAUAAAUUCUUGCUCAAAUAACCCAUAAUUAAAUAACACUAAUAUGGCUCCUGAAAUCCCAUAAUAGCUAAUUACGCAACUUUCUCCUCCUCCUCAAUUAUGUCUUCCCCUGCUCGGACACUAACUUCAAAAUUCAAUGCCCCGAAAAACAACACAAGAAAUCUUUGAGUUAAAUCGUGACCAGUUUAUAUAUCGUAGCAAUUGAAAAAGAAAAAGAAGAAAAGAGUUAAUUAUUAUUCAGACCUUCACUUAUUAGGAAGUUUGUUCUGCUAUUGGGUGAGAUCAAGCUCUCAGCAUAUACUUCCACAUGAUACUUUCUAACAUUUUCUUGAAAGCCAUCAAUCAUAAAAUCUUCAUACUUUUUUCCAUCCUUUGGAUCAAUAAGUACAAAUUUCUCAUCUAAAACAGACAAAAUAAAAUCACUGUCCUUCAUGGAACAUAAUGGCUGCAAUGCCUGAACUGAAUUGGCUAAUGAAACAUAGUCUUCUUUUCUUUCUCGACAUGGAACAUAGUCUUCUUUUCUUUCUGGACAUAUGUCUCUGUACUUUUCUCUCUCUACUGAUCCACACUUUUUCAUACUUCUAACUAUCAUUUUGUUUUUUUUUUUGGUUAAGUUGUGAUUUAUUCAAUUAUUUUGUAUUUUUAAUGACAAUUAUUUAAUAUUUAGUUAGUUUUGAUAUUGAUUAGUGAUUGAAAGUGUAUUUUAGAAGACUUCCGGUCUCUUGGAAAAAGGAAAAAUGGAGACGAAGAAGAAGUGUUCUUGAUUUUUUUGUAGGCAUUAAAGUUAAACGGUUUGAAAUGAUAUUUUGUUUUAAUUUCACUCAUUAAUCUCAUUCAGGAUAAAAUUAUAAAUGCAAAUAAAUGGGGUUUCAUGAGUUUUUUUUAAUAGUGUUAAAAGGUCUACUCACUAAAUAAACAUGUUUUACCCAAACCAAUCCGAUUAAUAAAGUUAUUGGGUUGGGUUGAUCAGGUUAAAAAUCAAAAUUAAAAAUUAAAUAAAUAAAAAAGGCGUUAAAACUAUCUGUUACUUGAAAAUAAAAAGAAUUUCAAAUAGUUAGUUCUAAUGUCCCAUAUCCAAAACAUGCAUAUUAAAUAAAUAUUAUAAGUUAGAGAUAAAAUAUCCAAGAAAUAAUGAAUGAAUGAAAUACCAUAUUUUUGUUGAGAAUUAAGAGUGUGAUUUUAAUUUUGAUAUUGGAGUCUAAAGCAAUAGAUAGUACAAUGAAAUCAUGAAUGCCACAUUUAAAUAAUGUCUUUUAUAAAAUAAUAAAAAGAAGUUAAAAAUUAGGUUAGCCAUUUAGGCGUUUAGGGUUUAGCAGUUAAGGAUGAACAUAUUAUUAUUAUUGUUGUUGUUGUUGUUAUUAUAACAAUUAUUAUUUACAUAUUAAUUAAUCCAACCCAACCCAAUUAUUAACAAACUAGGAAAUAAAACCGCACUUCGUGCGGCUUUAAAAGAAAAUUAAUAUUAUUUUUUUAUUACUUUACAAUUGAUGAAACUAAUAAAAAAUAUGAAUUAUUUUUAAAAUGACGUAAUCUUAUAAAACUAAUGUUAUUUAUGAAAGUUAAUUAUUUUUUUGUUAACAUUAAAAAUAUAUAUUAAUGUGUAUAGUUAAGUGUACACAACUUUUUCAUCAAUAAAAAUUAUGUUCACAUUAAUCAACUCUCCAUUUUUCUUAGUAUUAACAGACUCUCACAUCUUACAAAGUCUGACCCUUAUUAUUCAACUAUCUUUAUCAUAGUUUAACUCAUGAAGAAAAUAGUACUCCAUGAAGCAUACAAUACUAAAAAUUUAAAUAAGUCAAAAAAUAAAAACACAAAAACAUUUCUAAAGAGAAUGUUGGUUAAAUAAUAAAAAAAACUCAAACAUAACAAAUCUUAAAUGCUUAAUAUUUAUAGAGCUUGAAGAAGCCAAAAGAUACUAAAUAAAAGGUUGCAUAAUUAAAUAUAGGAUUAUAACAUUAAAAUUAGGUCAUAAGGCAUUGGUGAGGGAAGAGGAAGGAACAUUCCUUCUUAUAUUAAUUAGUUGAUGUAUUUUAAACCACUAAAGUUUAUUUGUUGGCUUAAUAAAAUAAAUGAAUGUUUCAAAACUUAUAAUUAAUUUAUUAUUAAUGGUUAUAUAUUGUUGAAUUUAAAUAGAAAGAGAAAGAGACAUGUAAUCUUUUGUAAUCUAUUAAUUAUUUUAUAUUUUUAAUAUUUUGUAAUGUAAUUAUUUUUUAAUCUCAACCAAUAUGUUAGAUAAUAGAGAAUAUAAAAAGAUGAGAAAUAAUAAUGCCACAAAUCUUAACUACUUAAUAUUUAUAGAGUUUGAAGAAGUCAAAAGGUACUAAACAAAAGGUUGCAUAAUUAAAUAUGAGAUUAUAGCAUUAAAAUUAGACCCCACUGGCAUUAUUGAGAGAAGAUGAAGGAACAUUCCUUCCUAUAUUAAUUAAUUGAUAUAUUUAAGCUACUAAAAUUUAAUUGUUGGCAUAAUAAAAUAAAUAAAUGUUUCAAGAUUUAUAAUUAAUUAUUAUUAAUGGUUACAUAUUAUUGAAUUUAAAUAGAAAGAGGAAGAGACAUGUAAUCUUUUAUAAUCUAAUAAUUAUUUUUAUUUUUAAUAUUUUAUAAUGUAAUUAUUUUUUUAAUAUCAACUAAUUUAUUAGAUAAUAGAGAAUACAAGAAGAUGAGAAAUAGUGAUGUCACAUCACCUCCUCUAGUCCCAACUUUAUAUAUAUAUAUAUAUAUAUAUAUAAUAUUUUGUAAUGUAAUUAUUUUUUAAUCUCAGCCAAUAUAUUAGAUAAUAGAGAAUAAAAAAAGAUGAGAAAUAAUGAUACCACAAAUCUUAAAUAUUUAAUAUUUAUGGAGUUUGAAGAAGCCAAAAGGCACUAAACAAAAGAUUGAAUAAUUAAAUAUGAGAUUAUGACAUUAAAAUUAGACUCUAAUGGCAUUGUUGAGGGAAGAUGAAGGAACUUUCCUUCCUAUAUUAAUUAAUUAAUGUAUUUUAAGCCACUAAAAUUUAAUUGUUGGCAUAAUAAAAUAAAUGAAUGUUUCAAGACUUAUAAUUAAUUAUUAUUAAUGGUUACAUAUUGUUGAAUUUAAAUAGAAAGAGGAAAAGACAUGUAAUCAUUUAUAAUAUAAUAAUUAUUUUCUAUUUUCUAUUUUAAUAUUUUGUAAUGUAAUUAUUUUUUAAUUUCAACCAAUUUAUUAGAUAAUAGAGAAUAUGAAAUGAUGAGAAAUGGUGAUGCCACAUCACCUCUUGUAGUCUCAACUUUAUAUAUAUAUAUAUAUAUAUAUAUUAAUUCAUGUCUUUUAUACCACUAAAGUUUAAUUGCUAGCAUAAUAAAAUAAAUAAAUGUUUCAGAAGACUUAUAAUUAAUAUUAUUAAUGAUUACAUAUUGUUGAAUUUAAAUAGAAAGAGAAAAAAAUUACAAAGAAUAUCCACCAAUAUUUUAGAUAUUUUAGAUAAUAGAAAAUAUAAAAAGAUGAGGAAUGAUAUAUAUUAAUAAAGUUACUAUUUAUUAAAUGAGUUAAAUACAAUCAAAUUAAUUAUGAGAAGAUGAAAAGCCAAAUCUAAAAAAAAAAUCUCUAUUUAUUAGAUAAUAGAGAAUAUAUAAAGAAGUAAAAUGGUGAUGCCACAUCACCUACUCAAGUCCUAGCUUUAUAUAUACACUAGAAAAUAGAACCGCGUUUCACGCGGCUUUGAAAAAAAAUUUUAAUGUUAUCUUUUUUUUUUAUUUUGCACAUGAUGAAACUGAUAAAAAAUAUGAAUUGACUUUUUUUUAAGAUGAAGCAGCCUUAUUAAAAAAAAACUAUUAGCCAGCAAUACAAAUAAAGAAGUAAUGUAAGAUAAAAAAUAAAAUGAGAGAAUAUAUUAUAGAAUGAUUUUAUUCAUUCUAAUUGUGUGGUACAAAACAAAAAGAUGAGCUCUCAUUUUAUAGUUACAUAAUCACUCCAUGAAAUUAAUGAAAAAUUAUGGAUCAUAAUUCCUUGUGAGAUAGUGGGAGUUAUAGGGAAGCUAAAGGUUGCUAAUGGAAGAUAGUGGGGAGACUAAGAGAUAUAUGUUAUGAACAUCUACAUUUAUUUUAAUAAAUUCAUAACACUCCCCCUUUGAUGUUCAUUAUAAAAAAUAUGCCUCAUUAAAAUCUAUUAGCCAACAAUACAAAUAAAAAAGCCACACAAUAUAAAGAAUAAAAUGAGAGAAUAUAUUAUAGAGUGAUUUCAUUCAUUCCAAUUAUGUGUGUACAAAACAAAAAGAUGAGCUCUCCUUUUAUAGUUACAUAAUCACUCCAUGAAAUUAAUGAAAAAUUAUGGAUCAUAAUUCCUUGUGAGAUAGUAGAAGUUAUAGGAAAGCUAAAGGUUACUAAUGGGAGAUAGUGGAGAGAGUAAAAGAUAUAUGUUAUGAACAUCUACAUUUAUUUUAAUAAAUUCAUAACACUCCCCUUUGGAUGUUCAUUACAAAAAAUAUGUCUCAUUAAAACCUUUAUAUAAUUGUUAUUGUGUAAUAACAAUCAAAUUAAUUAUGAGAAGAUGAAAAGUCAAAUCUAAAAGAAAAUUUCUCUAUUUAUUAGAUAGAUAAUAGAGAAUAUACAAAGAUGAGAAAUAGUGAUGCCACAUCACUCUCUCAAGUCUCAACUUUAUAUAGAUAUAUAGAUUUGAAAUGAUUGACUCAAUUAAUCCACAAUAAUUCAUUCAACUCGUCUAAAUUAGAUUAUGUUGAAUUUGAUUUGCUACACCUACAUUGAGCAACAAACCUCAACGACAUUCUACGAGCUCUUUGAUUGUUUAUAAAAUUGAUUUAGAGUACAUAAAGUGUAUCGACAAUGAAAGUGCAAAACAAAUUAUUGUACAUAUUAAAAUGUGCAAAACAAUGAAUUAUAUGUACAAACGAGUGCAAACACAUUUUUCAAUAAGAAGUUAAAAGAUAUUUAUGCAUGAAAAAGCCUACGUUUGUAGUUAUUCUAAAUUUUAAAAACAAAAUUUACAUUUAGAUCCCUAAAAUUUACGUAUAAGUAUAAAAGUUUCAAAUAUUGUCUAUUAUUUUUUUAACAUGCCUAUUCCUUAUGGAUAAUUCUGUCUCAUCACUAAUGUUGUUUCUUGCUUAGAAAAAAUAAAUGUCAUCUCCUUUUACAAUUUUUAUAGCGUCUCGAAAUAGACAAUAGGGGAUUUUGAAUUUUUUAAGUCUCAAGAUAGUCUCUAAUCGUGUGAGAAAGAUUUUCUUUCAAUAAUUUGGAGCUAAACAUAACAUAUUUUUUAGACUAAAAUCUAACUCUGCUGGUUAGUAGUUGGUGGUAUCCUUUUCAAGACUUGAGUCUUUAGAUUCGAGUUUUAUAUAGUGUACAUGUGUAUUUAAUUAAUAAUUUUUUUCAAAAAAAAAAAUUACAUCAAAUACUAAUAUUCAUGACAUAAUUUAGUUCAUAAUUUUUUUAAAUACAUCGAAAAAUAUAAUUUUUUAACAACUUAUAGGCACGACAAAUUUCAAGAUAUAAAUAUCAGUCAAAAUAAAUGAAAGAAAUAAUGGUGUCAAUUCUAAUUUCUUAACUAAAUUAAUUAUUGCAUGAGCCCCGAAUACGACAUGAGAGUUUGAUGGGCUAACUUGGCACAAGAACGCGAAUAGUUAACUCAUUUAAGAAAUAAUUCAACAAAAAAUAUAAUUGAUAAGAAUUCAGUAUUGAAAUGAAUUUUUUACGAAACAUUGAAUUAAUGAUUAUUAAGCAAGAACAAUAAAAAAAUAAAAUAAAAAUAAAUAUUAACCAUUGAUAAGCUUCAACAAGAACUUAACACAACCCUCAAUCCUAAUUCAAAUCAUAAAUGUCAUUCAUAUAUUCAUUAUAAAUCAAUAACAAAGGUUAUAAAUGUUUAGAAAUUCUAGAGGGAAGGAAGCUAUCUCCGGGGAAUCAACAACUAAAUUUGAUGUAAUUGUGGCACACGAUGGAAUAUGGAAACUACACCAUAAUUUCAAAUGCCGCCAUAGACAUUGACUUAUCUACAAUAACAAUGAUCUAAUUAAAAUUAAAAUAAAGUUUAUGGGCAUUUAUUAUUUUGCCAUUUCUCAUUUGCAAACAGGGAUAUAAUUAUAAUUUUACUUAGUCAAAGCAAUCAGUAAUUUUCUUCAUUAUCGGAGUGAAGUAAAAACAUUUAGAUUUUAAUGAGUGUACGGAAAAUUUAUCUUUAAAAAUACUUUCUUAAUGUGUGUGUAUAUAUAUAUUGAAAUAUUAUGCUAUCAAAAGUUAAUUUUAGAAAUUCCAAAUCCAAUAGCUAACACAAUUCUUUAAAGAAAAAAAAAAAAAGGUUGAUAAUCAGCAAUUAGUAUUACUUUCUAAACUUACUUCAACUGGUCGUUAAUGAGGGGCCUUGGGCAAGAGUGAUGAAUGUUUAGUCGGUGCAUUUGAUUGAUAGAUAUAUAAAGGGCCGAAACUUGAGAUUAUAUUACUUUUACAAAUUUUAAUCCAAUCACAUAUUUACUGAAACACAAAAUGAGUUAGGAUACUUUAUUUAGAACCCACAUUUUAAUAAGGCUUCAUUUGAUGUAGUUUUUCAAACAGUGAUUAUUUGAGUAAAGUUUCCUCAAUAGAGUUUUUAUCAAAUAAAUUUUAUUUAUUUGGUUGUCGAUAAGAACUUUUAUUAAAAAUUAUAAAAUUAUUUAAAUAAACAUAUUUUUUUAAAAUUACAUUAUAAAAAGAAUUAAAUAAAGUUAUAAAAGUAAAAUAUAUUUUAGAUAUUUUAAUAUUUAAGAAAAAAAUUUUGAAUCUCUACUUUCAGAAGCUCAAAUUUUUAGUUUUUAGUUGUAGAGACAAAAUAUCUUAUUUAAUCUUUAAAAGUUCUGCUAAAAACAAUCAAAUAACUAUAAAAUUUUUAAUAAGAGUAUAUAAAAUUAAAUAAGCAUUUAUUAAUAAUCACUUUAGUGUACUUAUCUAAUGACCAUAAGUGUUUAUUUAAUCUCAUAAGUUCUUAUUUAAUCUCAUGAGCUCUUUUCAAUUUUUUUUGUUGUUUGCUUUUUUUAGUAGAGUUUUUGAAAAUUAAAUAAACUAUUUUGUCUCUAUUAGGAAAAACUCAAAUUUUAGGUUUUUGUGAGUAAAUGUUUAAAUUUUUUUAAAAAUAUUAAAAUAUUAAAGUAAAAGUUGUAGAGACAAAAUAUCUUAUUUAAUGUUUAAAAGUUCUGCUAAAAAUAAUCAAAUAACUACAAAAAUUUUAAUAAGAGCAUAUAAAAUUAAAUAAGCAUUUAUUAAUAGUCACUUUAGUAUACUUAUCUAAUGACCAUAAGUGUUUAUUUAAUCUAAUGAGCUCUUUUUAAUUUUGUUUGUUUGUUUUUUUAGUAGAGUUUUUGAAAAUUAAAUAAACUAUUUUGUCUCUAUUAGGAAAAACUUAAAAUUUAGGUUUUUGUGAGUAAAUGUUUAAAUUUUUUUUAAAAUAUUAAAAUAUCUUUUCUUUAUUUCAUAAUCUUAUUUCAUUCUUCACAACAUAACUUUAAAUAACUCACCUAUUAAAAUAAUUUCACAAUUUAUAAUAAAAAUUUUAAUUGACAAUCAAAUAACAAAUUUUUUUUUAUAAAAACUCUAAUAAUAAAAAUUCUACUUAAAUAAAUUAUAUUUGAAAAGGUAUACCAAACGAACCUAACAUAAAAACAAAAAUUUUUACAUCCACACAAUUAAGCUUAAAACAAUUUCAAAUGAAUUUUAGACUACUCAAAGUACAAUACGUACCAAGUUUGGUAACUUAUUGGGGUCCGCUUGUAAUACAGCUCAUGAGCUCUUUUUAAAAAAAUUUUGAAUCUCUACUUUCAGAAGCUCAAAUUUUUAGUUUUUAGUUAUAGAGACAAAAUAUCGUAUUUAAUGUUUAAAAGUUCUGCUAAAAACAAUCAAAUAAUUACAAAAAUUUUAACAAGAGCAUAUAAAAUUAAAUAAGCAUUUAUUAAUAAUCACUUUAGUGUACUUUAUCUAAUGACCAUAAGUGUUUAUUUAAUCUCAUGAGCUCUUUUUAAUUUUUUUGUUGUUUUUUUAGUAGAGUUUUUAAAAAUUAAAUAAAUUAUUUUGUCUCUACUAGGAAAAACUUAAAAUUUAGGUUUUUGUGAGUAAAUGUUUAAAUUUUUUUACAAAUAUUAAAAUAUUUUUUUCUUUAUUUCAUAAUCUUAUUUCAUUCUUCACAACAUAACUUUAAAUAACUCACCUAUUAAAAUAAUUUCACAAUUUAUAAUAAAAAUUCUAAUUGACAAUCAAAUAACAAUUUUUUUUUAAUAAAAAUUCUACUUAAAUAAAUUAUAUUUGAAAAAGUAUACUAAACAAACUUUUUUUAGACUAAUCAAAGUACAUCUUCUCAUAAAAUAAUUUCACAAUUUCUAAAAAAAACUCUAAUUGACAAUUAAGUAACAACUUUUUUUUUUUUGUAAAAACUUUAUUUAUAAAAAAUCUAAUAAUAAAAAUUCUAUUUAAAUAAAUUAUAUUUGAAAAUGUAUACUAAACCAACCUAACAUAAAAACAAAAAUUUUUACAUCCAGACAAUUAAGCUUAAAACAAUUUCAAAUGAAUUUUAGACUAAUCAAAGUACAAUACGUACCAAGUUUGGUAACUUAAUUGACAUCUUCUCAUAUAACCUUCGAUCAAGUCGAUUCUGACCUGACGACUAAUUGGUACAUCACCGUUGUUCUCUAUACUCGCAUGCAUCCGAUCACAAAUCUCACUCCAAUUGUCGUCUUUCUUCGGCGUUUUAGCGCAUCCUUCUUGAAUUUCCCGCAUUUCGUUCCCUCCUGUUACAAGUCUCCGGUCAGGUCAGUUCACUUGACGAUUAAUUCGGCAAAUCUCGAAUCUCUUCUCUAUCCCUCUCGUUUUCUCGUGUCUCCUUUCAGUUUAAGUGAUUGAAUCAAUUUUAUCGCAGUCUUAAGAGAAAUUAAGUAAUGCUCUUGGAUUUAAAAUUUUUUUGCUUUCGACUUUAGAUCUCGAAAGUCAAACUCUGCUACGAAUCCAUAGAUUCUCAAUGUUUAUAAUCUUAUUUGUGUUUGACCAGGUAACUGGAUCGUGAAAUUCGUCGUUUUGUAUCAAUUCAGGCUUUCGCGAGCUCAUGGAAUCACCUGGUGAGUUGUGGUGAAACGUUAUCGUUUCAAUUUUCGCUUAAUUCUUUAUUGCAUAUUUUUUCUCUAACAUUUCAGUUUAAUUUAGAAAAGAAAGAGGACCCAAAAAGAGAGAGAGAGAGAGAGACUCUACCAUACUCAAUUCCUUGCUCAUUCUGAUUUGGCCUGAAUGUUGGCAUUGACUAUUAUUUGUUUUCAUUUCGAUUUAAUUCUCAUUUAGACAGUCUUUACUAACGGUCAAUAAUAGUUUAAGGAAAAUGAUAAUAGGGAUUCUGCAAUAAUCUUUCUGCAUUGUUCAAGUUAGUAGACGAUGAAUAGGAUGUUUAUGUUUACCUCAUUUUGAACCCUGAGGGCUUCGUUGAGUAGUUGAUUCAACAUAUCCAGCAACGGUUGAUGUGAGAACAGGAUGCCACUUAGAUAGGCUUAAACUGAUUUUGGAGGUUUGUAUUGGUUCUAUUGUACGUCUUGCUUACAAAUUUUUUAUUUUUUAUUUUUAAUUUUGUAUAAUAUGCUCUUUGUUGGUAAAUCUCAUUUGACUUAGAAGAGAUAGUUUUAUCCCAACAGUGGGAUAAAUCAUUGAGAUGCAUGGCAGUGUGAAUAUAGUAGACAAAAUCAUUGAGACACAUGGUGGUGUGAACAUAGUAAACUUCAUGGAAGCAAUGAAGCUUGAAAUUGAACGUCUGCAGCUGAAUCUUUCUGCAGCUGAAAGGGAUAGAGCUUUAUUGUCAAUCGGAACUGAUCGUGCCUCUAUAAAUCCAAAUGUAUUGCUUGAUGAAUCUUACAUGGGAAGACUGUGUCGAGUAGCAACCACUCUUGCAUUACUUGGCCAAACUUCCCUAGAAGACAAAAUUGUUGGUGCAAUUGGCCUUGAGAAUAGUGAUGAUAGUGUUUUAGACUUCUGGAAUAUUACUAGAAUCGGAGAGAGUUGUUCUGGUGGCUGGUGGCGGGUGCAAGGUUCGUGCAGAAACUAAGGUGCCUGCUCUUGCUUCCUCAACUGCAACAUCUGUUGGAGCUUCACAAUCCCCUUUGUUGUGUUCUCAAUGUGAAAGAAAAGUUUGCAAAGUUUGUUGUGCAGGAAGAGGAGCUCUACUGUUUUCAAAUUAUAAAUCAAGGGAUGUGACCAACUACAAUGGCUUCUCAAGUCAGAGUGGAUCAAGCCAUGGAAGCCAAGUUGAUGUACCUACCAGUCGUUCACUAACACUGGAUGGCGUUGUCUGUAAACACUGCUGCCAUGAGAUUGUGCUUGAUGCAUUGAUGUUGGACCAUGUUAGGGUCUUGAUUAGCUUGCGAAGAAGUUCCCGUGCAGACAACACAGCAUACAAUGCUUUGAAUGAGGUUGUUGGAUCCUGCUUAAAGGAUAGUCUUUCUGAAAGGAUUCAGUCUUCCGAUAACGUGCAAGCUGCUGAAGUCCUUCACCAAUUAUGUGGUGGACAGGAAUCAGUUGCUGAAUUUCCAUUUGCUAGCUUUUUGCACUAGGUAUGUUCUUGGUUUGUAUUCAGUUCUCAUCAUGUUAUGUUUUCCUUUUAAAUUUCUUUUCUUGAUUAAAAUUUUUAGAAAUAUGUUUUAGUAUUUGUUCUUAUGAUAUAUGCCCAGAACAUUCAUCCCACUUAUCCAUGAGAAUCCUUGUCUGGUUUGAUUUUCAAUUGAGACAUUUUUGGGAACCCUGAGCAGGUUCCAUAUGCUAAUAAUCUUUGAGGUAAGGUGUUGUAGGAUGCCUUGAGAAGCUAAAAACCAAUUACAAGGAAAAGCUCUUGCAUUGUUUUGUGCAAUCUGUGUGCUAGCAAGUCAUGUCUCUAAUAAUUUCAUAGUUCGCUUGAUUGGAAUUUUUUAUCUUGAUAUGGAUUGUUUAUUCUAGAUUCCUUGGUGCCACUGUAGGUUGAAACAGCAAAAGAUUCAGCACCGAUUUUGUCACUGCUUGCUCCAUUAAAUUCUGGAUCAAGGCACUCAUAUUGGAGAGCUCCACCUAGUACUACUUCUGUUGAAUUUGUUAUUGUUCUCGGUUCUGUUUCUGAUGUCAGUGGGGUUAUCUUGCUUGUUAGUCCUUGCGGCUAUCUGUGGCUGACACUCCGAUGGUAAGUGCCAUAUUUAUUCCCUUAUUUCCUUGUUGUUCAAUAAAUUUGGUGAUAAGCCAAGUGGCCUUAAUAAUGAAGCCCAGUACCAGGGGUGGUGGGUAAUCGAUAUUCAACUUGUGAAUAUUCCUAAGCAAGCACGGAAUCAACAUAGACGUCGGCAAAAAUUCUCCAUGCUAUUAUAACGAAAGUCAUAUUUUGAAAUGAUUAAAAGAGUCCCUUUGUAGUGCCAUUGCCAAAGAAAUUGCAGCUGGGGGUUUAGUUUCAUGUAGGUUAGUUUCCGAUAAUAAACUUUCCAUUUCAUUAAUUGCUGAUGAAAAAACCAAGUAAGAACAGUUUCGUUGCUCGUCAUUUAUGUAUAUUUUGGUAAACUGUAAUUUUAAAUUCUCAACGAUCUUCCCUUGGUAGGUAAGAAGAUGGUCCACUCACUUUAUAUUUAUGAUUGUAGAUCAGGUUUCUAUUGGUUUGCCUUUAUCAUUGGGAACCCAAGUUUGAUAUUAACAGAGAUCACGUCAAUAAUAUCCUAUUUGGGUAGAUGUGGGUGAGGAUUUAAAAUCAAAUUUGAAAUUGGGGGAAAGAAGAGAAAAGGAACCACAAUAAUUAAACAAAAUAUUAGGAACUAUUCUGAUGAGUUUUAAUCUCGAGAGGAACAAUUUUCAAAUGCAAAUUUAACUGCUAGAGAAAUUGUAGCUUUUUGUCAUUAGUUAAGAGGAAAGAGAAUAAGAACUAUCCAGCCCUUUCCUUCAUGAAUGUGUGUUGAGGUUGCUGUAUUAUUUAGUCAGUAUUUGUAAUUUUCUUCCCUGCAGUGCUCUCUGCCUCCUGAAUUUGCUACUGAGUCCAUAUUUUUCUUUGAGCUGUUGCUUCCUAUUGCUGUUACAAGUACAAAUCUGGGCAAGCAAUAAGAUACACCGGGAGGAAAGGUCAUCAAUGGGAAAAUGGGAUGUCCAAUCCCUCAUCACAUCUUCUUCAGACUUGUAUGGUCCAGAAAAGACAGCUAGUGUUGAAAAAUUACCUAGGCAUGUAAAAUUUACUUUUAAGAAUCCUGUUAGGUGCCGCAUUGUUUGGAUCACAUUACGUCUUCAGAGACCUGGUUCGGCUUCAGUUAAUUUCGGGAAGGACUUCAGUCUUUUGUCUCUUGAUGAAGAUGAAAACCCCUUUGCGCAAGUAGACAGACGUGCUUCAUUUGGAGGAGCAGUUGAAAAUGAACCAUGUAUUCAUGCCAAAAGAAUUCUUGUAGUCGGAAGCCCAGUAAAAAGGGAGGGGCUUACCUCAUCACAGAGCUCUGAGCAGCUAAGUAUUAGAAACUGGUUGGAUAGAGCUCCACAAAUGAGUAGAUUCAAGGUAUUAGUUGCUUUCACUCUUUGUUCAUUCAUAAUUCCAGCUUUCUGCUUGAUGCCCUGCCUCUGAUAAACCUCUUUUUUUCUCUUCAGGUCCCAAUUGAGGCCAAGAGAUUGAUGGACUACGAUCUCGUCUUGGAACAAUAUCUACCUCCAGCGUCACCUUUGCUUGCCGGAUUCCAUCUAGACGCUUUCAGUGCAAUAAAACCUAGGGUUACCCAUUCACCUUCCUCAGAUUCAGAUAUCUGGGACAAAUCAGUAACAUUUUUAGAAGACAGGUACAUCUCUCAAGCUGUGUUGUAUUUACAAGUAUCCGCACUCCAGGAACCACAUAACAUGGUAACUAUUGCGGAAUAUCGACUGCCGGAGGCUAGAGCCGGAACGCCAAUGUACUUUGAUUUCCCAUGACCGAUACAGUCCCGACGAGUUUCAUUCAAGCUUCUUGGAGAUGUUACAGCAUUUGCAGAUGAACCUUCAGAACAAGAUGAUUCAGGAUUGAGAGCUCCACUUGUGGCCACAGGUUUGUCUUUGUCAAACAGAAUCAAGUUAUAUUAUUAUUGUGAUCCUUAUGAGCUCGGAAAAUGGGCAAGCCUUUCUGGAGUUUGAUCGUUAUUUAUAUGUCAGAGAAAGGGUUUUGGGUUUGAUUUUGAUUUUGAUUUGUAAUUUUUGUCAGUUUAUUGAAAUUUUUUGUUGUAUAAAAGCAGAAUGUAAAGGUAUAAAAAUUCAUUGAUGCUGCAAUGUCUGUGCUUUUGAGAAAGAAGAAUUAAUUGUCUUUUCUAUGCCAUUGGAGUUUCCCACUGCUUGUAUACUUGGGCUGUCGAAUGCUCUGUGAACCUUAAGGGCUAUAAAGUAAUUUUCAAGACUGAAGGAUUUAUUAAUCGAGUUCAAAAGAUUGUAAGUUGGUGACUGGUGAGCGUUGGCAUUUAAAAAUCAAUUGUUAUUCUCUCAAUAAUCUCUCUCUUCUCCUCGUGAAGUGUUUUCUUUUUCGAGUGAAGGUGGUUUUCCACUUGCAUACGUCGGGGGUCUUAUGAUAUGUAAUGUGUGAAAUUUCUUUCUCAUUUUACCAUAAAGAAAAAUGUUGUAAUAAUCUAAAGCUCGAGUCUUAAAUUAUCUUAAAUUUAUAUUUAGAGUGGAGCUAUUCGCAACCCUAUAUUAAAAUUACAAUUAAAAACAAUUGAAAAUUAAACACUUAUAGAUUCUUUUUACAGCAAAUUACUUAAUUCAUAAUCAAUCCUUUAAAAAAAAAAUACAUAUGUUAUUUCUUAUCUAACUAAAAUAAAUUGUACAAAUUUAGAAUAAUCUAUUGUUCUCUUUUGAUUUCUUAUUAUUUAAAUAUUUUUAUACAUAAAGUUACUUUGAAAUUAUAAUUUGAAAUAUGUGUUAUUUCAGCCAAUGAUUAACACUAAAAAAUUUAUCACCCAUAUAACUUUUUAAUUUGUGUGUAGGGUAAUAAUAAAAUCGAAAAUAAUUAAAAAAAUAGUACAAUAAUGAUUUUUAACAAUAAAACAAAUCAAAUGAAAAUUGAAAAUUUAGAAAAGUGUAUCUAAAAAAAGGAACGUUUUCAAAAAUAAAAUGAAUAUAACUAAAAAGAGAUUUUAUGAGGAGAUCACUGGGGUGCCAAUAGUCCAACUUGUAAUUAAGAAUCUCCCAUUAUAUUGUCAACCAAAAAGACACUUGAAUAAGAAGAAGAAUUUAUCAGUUUGAUUUUAUUUGUAGAUCCAACAUUUCUCAUAUCCUGAACGCCUUUUCGUAUCAAAUUAAAACAGUAGUAGCAAAAUCGUAGUAUUAAAAUCGUAGUGCACAUUCAAUUAACCAACUAAUAGUCUUUGGUAUAAGAUUUUAUAUUAGGUAGCCAAGUAGGUUGUCCAUCCCACUCAGACAUGCACGAAAGCUAAAUUCAUCAAAUGAAUUACUUAAGAAGUAUUUGAUAAUUUUGAAAUUAUCAAAAGGUGUUAUACUAUUAAAUAUUUUUAUACUUAAAAUUGUUUUGAAAUUAUAAGUUCAAAUUAAAAUAAUAGUAGCAAAAUCGUAGUGCACAUUCAAUUAACCAACUAAUAGUCUAAGAAGCAAAGAGAGGAUUACAAGUUCACAACACCAUUACAAAGGAUUCAAAAUUCCCACACGAAUACAUCAAUGUACAGAUUAUAAACAAUCCGAAUUGGACACAAGAAAAACCCUUCAAUAGAUUGCUUGCCUUCCCAAUGCUAUAUACUGUGCAAACUGCGCAUUGGCCAAGAAAAUGUUUUCAAUUUAGUGUAUUUUCAAAAUGCUUAUUUUCUCAUAGUAUAAAAAAUAAAAAAAAUAAGAAAGAAUUCUCACAUGUUUCAUCAGCAUGAUUAAAAUCAAAGAAGAAAGCGAGACAUAAUGUCUCUGACAUAAUAAAAUUACAAAAAUUUCAAGGAAAAAAAAAGGUUAAAACAUGUAAUCUUCAGAAGCAUAUAAUAAAAGAACACUUCCACAAAUUACUACAAUUUCAUGCAGUAGAGAUUGAAGAGUUGAAUUCCACUAAUUUUAAUAAUGAAAACAACAACAGAGGAUUAACUGAUGCUUUGACUUAUUAGUUCUGCAGAGCAUCUCCAAAAGCCUAUAUAAAUUUUACUCUUCAAAUACUUAUUUGCUUACCUAUGUGGCAAAUAAAAGGGUGAAAAAAUAUGAUAUUCUCCAAAAGACUCUUCAAAUAGAAAAAAGUUAAUAUUAUUUUAAUCAUAUAAUUAAUUUUUUAAAGAAAAAGUCAAUAGCAAUUAAAGCACUUCUCUCUCUUUCUUCAAUGAAAAGUAAUAAAAUAUAAAUUGAAGAGGGAGAAAUUAACUCUCCAAAUUUGAAGAGAGAGAAUUAAUUCUUAUUUAAAGAAUCUUAAUUGAAGUGUCUUUUGGAGCUUUAAAUAUUGAUGUGGCUCUUCAAAUAAGUAAUAAAAUCUUAUUUGAAGAGCCUUUAAAUAAGGUGCUUUCAAAAGCAAAAUGGAAUACAUAGAUAAAAACAUCAUCUUAAACAAAUCACAAUCUAGAAUUAGAGCAUUUUCGACAUACCUAAGGAAAACGAAUACGUGAAAACGGGUGAUUCAUUUGUUAAGGAGUGUUGAUUUGGUCGUCUCUGCAAAUUCUUUAGGGACUCGGUUCCAAUUCCUCAUCAUCAAAACUGUAAUAUAAUUCCCCUUCAUCAGAACUCGAAUCGAUGCAAUAUAAUUCCCCUUCAUCAGAACUCGAAUCAAAUUCACUUGCAGCAGUUCCACUCGCGCUUGGCAAAUCAUCCAAUUUCCAAACUUCGGUAGCAAAAUUGAGAGUAAAAGUGUUGGCUUUGAUCUCGCUGGGAUUUGCAUAUACUGGACAUACUCCGCAACGUUUUAUCUUCUGACCCUUUUGGACCUUUAUUAUGUUUCGGUAACGCUCAUUGAAGAACUUAAGUGAGACAGUUGUAUGAUGGUAACCAUCAGGAAAGCCAACAUUCAAGCAAGGUUUAAAACCAAGUAUGACAUGAUCUGAAUCAUGGGGGUCUUUAAUAGAGUCCCAAUAGAAACUCAGAUCAACAUGUUUGGUUUCAGAGAGAGUCUUUAUUUCUAAGUCGGAUCGACAGUAAACGUAAAAAUAACGAGAACGAUCAGAAUAAAGUUGCUUAAAAUCAAGAACAGCACAAAAAGCAAACCCGAUUAAGUUUCUGCAAAAAGAGUGCGGUGGCAGUUGAAUACGUAUCGAAGAUCCUGAACUUUGAUUGCUGAACCAGUCAGGAAUUUCGCUCCCAGGUAAAACAAUUUGGGAUUCCCUGAGUUCAGAAAGUUUCUGUGAAACGACAUUUAAAAAAAGAAAAUUGUAAAAUGAAAACCAUGAUUUCAGAUAUAACAAAGAGGGACAGAGUAAACAAGAGAGGGAAUUUGAUACCUCGUUGUAUGCAUUUUCAUAGCCCAGUCUCAGUGAUGCUGCAAUUGCCAUACGUAGUGAAUCUGCCAAAAUCUUGUUGUUUGCUUUUCCAUCAAGUUUCAAGCAGUUAGUAAACCCAAAAUAAAUUGGUUGUGGCGUCACAUAUUCCGGAUGCCAUUGACGAAGGUCAGGAGAGGGUUUGGAUAGCUUUUCGAGUACGGAUGCAUCUAGUUCUUGUACACAUGACGGAAUCUCUGGCAAAGAUUGAAGCCGGUUGCAGUUCAUUGCAAUUAGUGACUGUAGACACAAUGGAAGUUCAGGUAAUGACCGAAGCAUGUUACAAUCCUCCAAGUGAAGAGUUUCUAAACCCAAUGGAAGUGCUGGUAAUGACUGAAGCAUGUUACAACGCCACAAGUGAAGAGUUUCUAGACCCAAUGGAAGUUCUGGUAAUGACUGAAGUAUCUUACAAUCCCUCAAUUCAAGAAAUUUUAGGCCCAAUGGAAGUUCUGGUAAUGACUGAAGCAUAUUACAAUCCUCCAAGUAAAGAUAACUUAGCCACGACAGUUGCUUGAUACUUGCAGGUAAACUCUCAAAGUUAUUUCCAUUUAAAUUGCCAAUGUUAUCCGGCAACUUAUCAAGUACAGAGCAACCACUUACGGACAAAAGUACAAGCCCCGUUUGCAAUGCCUCAAAUCCAACUUUUCAAGAUCAGUUAGGCACUCUACUGAUGAUGGAACUUCUUCUAUUGCAGUCUGGCCCAAGUUUAGCGAUGUUACUUUCCCAGAAAUCUGUGGAAACUCUAUGAGAUUAACACAAUAGGAGAAAUCAAUAGUUACUGGACAAACAAAAUGAAGAUUGCUAGGAAAAGACCUAAGACUUUUGCAGCCCAUAAAAUCCAACCUACUGAGAUACUUGAAAUUCUGGAUAUAUGAGGGAACACAAGCCAAGUUUGUAUAAUCCAAAAGAUAUGUUUCAACAUUUGGGGUUUCUAAUGGGCCUGGCAUCUUAAUGAAAUGUCGAGAAUGGCUGAGGUUAAUAGAUUUUAACUUGAAAGCUUCCUGCAAUAACAGAUAUAUAAAGACUAUAUUAAUUAAAAAGCAACAUUGAAUUCAACAAUUAAUUGCACGUAUAUUUAAAGAAAGAAAAAAUUAAUGUUUUAGUUUUAGUACAGAACUUACCUUUUCUCCUUCCCAAAGUUGCUCAACUUUACUAAAACGCAAAUUCAGUUCAACAAGGUUCUUUGGCUUGAAAUUUGAUGGCAGUGUCCUUAAGGGAUAUGUGUCCCAAUGAAGAUAUCUCAAUUUUUUAGGAAGAUAAUCUAGGCCAUUUGGAAGCUGCACUUUAGAGUAUGAAAGUUGCUCUUCAAUGCUCAUACUUAGAAACUUUUCAAUCUCAGGUACAUAAAAUUUGAGCAAUCUUAGAUUAGACAUUUUUGUGAAGGCUCCAGGGUCUAAAUUGAUGCCUUUUAUUUUGGACAAAUCCAGAAAUAUGCCUUCAAUUGCAUCGGUCCCCUUAUUAAAAAAAAAAACAAAGAAUGAGUAACCCUAAAACAGAAAAGAAACAUUCGCAAACUUUAUUAACUAAGAACUCCUUAAACAAAAACAAAUUCUGCAAUCUUUGAUUUUAUUUUUUAAAAAUAUUAAAUAUCUAUAUAUGAGAAAAGAAAAUUUUGGGGACCAUUGCAAAAUUAAACUAACCAAAAAAAAAAUUCAAAAUUUCUCUAAUUUACAAACCUGUUAUCUUAAUAUCUAGAAGUUGAGAAGACAAGGCGUAUUUGAUUGGUAUAAGAUUUCGAUUUUUUUUUUAGUCCAUAGAAUCCAAAAUGUUUGUUCAAAAUCAGGGAAAAAAACGAAAGUUAUUUUUUUUUCCACUAGCUGUAAUUGUAUCCAAGUCAAAUUGAGAUACGACCCUUUUCGAAAGGAUUUAAUCAUCUUAUAGCCUCCUUAAGAUACAUUUAAGCUAAAAGGAGUGAUUGGAGGCAGAACUUAGUGGGCCAAUCAGUUCAUUUUAUUAGCGACUGUUGCUUAAAAAAAAUUAUACUCUAAAACACACUUACUUUUUUGAAAAAAAAUAUAAUUAUAUUUAAGUAGAACCAGGUGGGCCAAUCCUCAUGGCACUCACUUUGUUCUGACACUCUUCACUAAAUUUGAAGAAAAAUAAAAUUAUACUCUUCACACUCUUAUUCAACAUUCCAAAAUUGAUAAAAUCUGGAGUUUUCUUUAAAAUUUUAAAAUUUGAAGACUUGUUCUCUUGACACCCUCAGUCAUUAAUUUUACCUAAUUAUGGUUUUGGUUGUUUUGUUCAUAAAAAUGCUUUUACUAAAGGAUGUUCUGGUAAUGAAAAAAUUUAUAAAAAAACAAACAUGGGUGUGCUGAUAUAGUUGGAAAAAUAUGAGUGCAUAACUCCAAACAAAUAAAAGAUACAUAAAAAAAAAAAAGGAGGAUUCUUACCAUAUUAUGCUUUAGUACGCGGCGGAUUUCCUUAGGAUCCCACAACCUACUGCGUCUGCCUGGCUCUUCCUCAGAUUCUUGGCGAACAAUCUCUCGGCCCAUUUCUUGCAAUAAAUCAUGCAUUUGCAAGCAGUUAUCUGACACUGUUAUAAGUGACUUGUCCACGAGGACAUCCAGUCUGUGAGACCCAGAAUCAUCAAGUAUCCUUAACACAAAAUCUUUAUCCUCUCCCUCAAGGAAACACGCAAUAUCUAGAAACAUACUCUUCACCCUGGGCGUUAAUUCUUUAAAACUAAUCUUUAAUGUAUCAUAAAUACCAUGAAUAUCAGAUUCACAAAUCCGAUUUAAGUCGUCCAAUACAUUUUCCCAAUGGCUUUUCCCCUUGAGAUACAGGGAGGAACCCAACACUUUAAGAACUAAUGGAUUGCCAUCGGCAUACCAUACAACCCUCCAUGAGUGCCGGUAGAGAUCUUCAGGACAAUGAUUUUCUUUAACAGCGAAGUUACAAAAAUGCUCGAAAGCCUCAUCAAAUUUCAAUCCAUUGACCCUAUAUAUUUUCUCCACUCCAAAUUUUUCGAGGACUCGUUUAUCCCUGGUGGUUACAACAAUUCUACUUCCUGGACCAUAUUGAUCAAGCCCUCCAAUCAAACCCUCUAAUUGUUCAUCUUUAUUCACAUCAUCGAGUACAAUCAACACCUUCAUGCGUCGGACCCUCCCUUUAGUAAAUUGUGGAAUAUUGGGACCAGCUACUUCAAGUUUUUCACUUAAUAUUGUCGAAAGCAUUUCCUUUUGUAGGUCUUCUAGGCCACCCUCUGUUUCUGAUUUUCUCCUAACAUUUUUUGCAAAGUAUUUACCAUCAAACUCACCAGAGAAUUGAUCGAAAAUAGCUUCAGCAAGGGUAGUUUUGCCUAUACCACCCGUGCCCCAAAUUCCAACAAUAUGGACAGUAUCCCACAAAUCCAUACACAGAAAUGGUUUAAUCUGCUCAAUUCGUGAAUUUAAUCCAACUAGGCCAUUGGAUGAGUCCGUUGAGACUGUUAUUUUUUCCAACUUCUUCAAAACAUCAUCGACAAUUUUGUUUACAAGUUCCGCAUCGUGCCUAAUAUAAAGGUGCAAAGAUGCAAAAACAUUGAGUCAAAUCGGGCCAAGACAGAAACAGAGAAAAGAUGAAUUAGGAAAGAGAGUUACCUGAAUUUCGUGGAUUCAUGGCCGGCUAGAUGGGAUGUUUCUGUCAGUGCAUCCCUCCACUUCUGAACCAUUUCUGGUUUAUCUUCGAACUGUUUUUUGAGCUCAUCAAAACGGUCUCCAAAUGUUCCGUUUUGAUGCCGCACAUCAGAUGGACUUACUCCAUAGAAGACUGGAAUAAUAAUUUGGCCGUUUGUGUUCUUGCAUUCAAGAAUCUUGACAAGUUCAUUCAGGCACCAUUUUGAAGAAGCGUAGUCCUUUGAGAAAAUGACCACCGAAAUUUUUGAACCUUGGAUUGCGUUCAAAAGGGCGGGUGAAAUCUCAUCUCCUCGCCUAAGCUCUUCAUCAUCAAUAAAUGUUUUGAUUUUUUUUCCUUCAUACAAUUUAUCAUAAAGAUAGCAAGUAAAGCUCUUACGAGUGUCCUCCCCUCUAAAGUUGAGGAAGACUUCAUAAUUGCAAGAAGAAGAAGAGGAAGCCAUGAAGGAAAUUCUAGAAAUUUGAAAGUAGAUUUAGGGAAUUAUAAAAAGCUGAAGGAAAUUGGAAUUUUGUACAGUUUCUCCAGCGAGGAACUUUCACCUCCGCACUAGAUUCUUAAGUUUUGAAAAUUAUGAGACCUUUAUAUUGGAAGAUAUUAUAAUCGAAUCAAAACUUAAAAUUUUAAUAUUGUUAAUCUUUAAUCUUUAAAAAAAAAUUACCUCGCCGUUACAGUUUGGAUUAAGAUUUGAGCAAGCAUUUACCUAAAUUUUAUCUCCGCCUGUAAAUUCUUAUGUUUUAAAAAUUAUGAGACCUUUAUAUUGGGAGAUAUUAUAAUCGAAUCAAAAUUUUGAAUUUCAAUAUUAUUAUUCUUUUAAAAAAAAAAUUGAGAUAACAGAGUGAUUGAUAAUAUAGGAGAACUUGUCUAGGCAAGCACAUGCAUACACAGAAAUGUGAUGGAUUCAAAAAGAAAUUAAAGUGAUAAUGUACGUGGAUCCUUAAAAUAAAAAGCGAAAUCGCUUGGUGGCCCAGUAAAAUUAGAGAACAAAGAAGAAUUAGUUAUUGAUAUACAAAAGAGAAACACUCCAAAAUUUCAAGCAAAAAUAGUUUCAUAUACCAUUUCAAUUUUGUAAGGGGUGAGGUUUUGAAUUUCAAUAGUUUCCUCUAAAAUCAAAAGGCAACAAUUAAGUUAGAAAGAGCAAAGAAGACUUAUUAGUACCUUAUUAAAGGUAACAUUAUGGAACUUUCAAUUUCAUUACCUCACUCUUCAAUUUUUAUUGAGAUUUGUGCAAGAAUUUACCUAAAUAUUACCUAAAAUUGAGAUAUCAGAGUAAUAUCAAAUAGAAAAACUUGCCACGGUAAGCCAAAAGUCUAGUCAACCACAUGCAUAAAGCUAAAUAGAACAACUAACAAGAGAACAGAGAAACGCGUGGGUCCCUAAAAGAAAAGGCAAGCACAUAGAUGAAAAAGCCAUUACAUUUCGAUUUUACAUGUCAUUAAUUUCUGUAACACGGUGUGUGGCAGCAUAUGCACAAUCAAGUGAGGCAAAAGGGAUUCGAUUAUCGUGGCAGAACAUGAACGAGGACGCGUGAUGAAUAAUUCCUUCGAUAAAACGAAAAACAAACGCAGAGAAAAGAAUUUCUUAUAUGACAAGAAAUCAAAGAAAUCAAAGUAAUGUUUCAUUUUCCCUUCCCUACCUUUUUUUUGUUUUAUUUUUAUAGCAAAGAAUUAUAUCAUGAAAAGAAUCAAUUUAAUCACCUUUUCUAGCAGCACAAUUUUUCUUUUAUAAAAUUUGACCAGGGAGACAAAGAAUAAUUAUUCAUACCUUCAUCACUAAGGAAAUACUUUUCGGUAUGGCUAAGGUGAGAAAAGGCUUUCCACAAAAACUUGUACUUUGUAUUCCUGUAAAUUUUCUUUAAAGUCAAUAAAAACCAUAAGUUCUUUACAAUAACCAUCUCUUUGAUAAAAAAGUGCCGUAUUCCUUUAGAAUUUAAAACCGGCAAAACUGAAUCAGUGUCUUUGAAGAGACAUAAUGGUCGUAAUUCUUUAAAUGAGUUGGCUAUGGAAAUCGUUAUCCAAGAUUCUUUUACGCCAUAUUCUUUCGUAAACCAAAAUUCAUUUUGGAAUACUCUGUUGAGAAUGUCAAAUAAAACGGCAUUGAAGGAAGUUUUCAAAGGCAGAAUCUGCACUUGUCAGAUGGAUGAUCUGCACUUGUCAAAGACACAAUCCGCGUCGAACGAAUCGACACAUUUCCUUUCGUAUUCACAUAUGCAAUUUUUGAAAAAAUGUAGCUUUUACAUCUAUAAAUAACACUCAGUGUAUAAUGUUUUAUUCAAGAAAAGAAAACAAGUUUCUUCAUGGUAUCAGAGCCAUGAAUACGCUCAAGUUUCUUCAAGUUUCGCUGCUCUGUUUGUAACAAAAACAGAGAAAACCAAAAUCUUCCCACAACCAUUUUUUCCACCAUUUUCUUCCUUAAAAUCAUUCCUACCAUUAUAGAAAUCCAUGCCGAUCAAAAAACAAGCCACCCAUACGUAAAAAACUUGAGUUUACAAAUUUAUCAACAAUCUCAUAAAUUAGAUACAAAACAACGUGAUGUUAAAUCUCCAGAACUGCAGCAGUCUUAAAACGACAUGUCGUUUCUAUUCCAUCAGAACCGACAUAUCAUUUCUUUAAGCAGAGGCCAAACGACUUGUCGUUUUUUUUUUUAUCUAAAAAAGUUAUUUUUUCUUAUUUCAAUCUAGACGCCAAAAAAAAAACAAAAAAAUGGAGAAAACUCCAACUGAAUCUGAUCCUGUUGUCAUUCAAUCUGUUCAAUCUGAUGAGUAUUUAAUGUUGGAAUUAUCUUCACUGAGACAAACUACGAUAUUUGGUCUUAAAUAAUGGAGUUGCAUCUCGCAGAAAGAGAAAAACUCUCAUAUAUUUGUAGCAACACAAAGUCAUCUGAGGAAUCUUCAAAGGAAUAUGAGAAAUGGUAUAGUGAGAAUGAAAAGGUAAAAAAAUGGUUACUCAUAUCCAUGUCUCUGGAUAUCAUGAAGUGAUAUUUACGAAUUCCUACAGCCUACGAAAUAUGGGAUGCAUUAUCAAAAGCCUUCUAUGAUGGAAUCGAUGAAUUACAAGUUUUCACUCUAAACCAGAAGGCGUCUCUACCAAGAAAAAUUGACAGCCACUAUCUAAAUUCUACGGAGAAUUGAUCGAAAUAUUUUGAGAACUUGAUCACCGAGAUAAAGUGAUCAUGAAGGAUCCAGAAGAUGUUGUAAUAUACAAAAGGUCUGUUGAAAGAUUGAGAGUUCACAUUUUUCUUGUUGGGCUAGAUGAAGAAUUUAACCAAGUUCGUGGAGAAAUUCUAUGAAAAGAUAUUAUCCCAGACUUAGAAGAAUGUUAUUCUUUGAUCUGAAGAGAAGAUGUACGGCAAAACAAACUAAACAAGAAGGUCGACUCAGAAACGUUUGCUAUGAUAGCACGACAACAGCCUCAAAGGAAGCUUGUUGACAAGUCAUCACUCCAUUGCACUCAUUGUAGGAAGAAGGGUCAUAUGAAAGCACAAUAUUUUGAAAUCAUUUGAUAUCCUGACUGGUGGGAUACUUGAAAGAAAAACAUCAAGCAGGGAUAAAAAACUGCAGUAGCUGAAUCCACAUCCACUACAGAUCUUAGAAAAGAAUCUUCAGUGCAAAUCGCAACCUCUGUUAGUCCAGGUAAGGCCCUUAAAACUCUUAUACUUGUUAUUAAUAGUACAUGGAUAAUUGAUUCUGGGGCAACUGAUCAUAUGACUUUUGAUUCUCGACAAGUUUCUCAAUUGAUACCAUCUUCACAAAAACAUGUUUCCACUCCAAAUGGAACCACAACCUUAGUUAUUGGGGAAGGAUCUUUACGACUCACAUAUAAAUUAAAUUUAGACUCUGUGUUAAUUGUUCCAUCUUUAGAUUAUAAUCUUUUAUCUGUGUCUCAAUUAACCACUUACUUAUCAUGUGUUGUAAUUUUUUGGCCUGAUCAUUGUGUGUUUAAAGACAUCCAAACGAAGCAAACGAUUGGUUAUGGUAUUAGACGGGGCCACUUGUACUAUUUGGAGAUGACAUCAACAAACACUGGAAAGCUAAGCCCUGCACUAGUCGCAGAUAGUUCCAUAAAAAAAAGGAAAUCAGAAAUUUGGUUAUGGCAUAGACGUUUAGGGCAUGUGUCAUUUGGUUACUUAAAAAAAUUAUUUCCUAGUUUAUUUCUGAAAUUUGAUAUUUGUAACUUUAAAUGUGAUGUUUGUGAACUUUUAAAAAGUCAUCGAACUACUUUUCCAUUGUCCUUAAAUAAGAAUCAAGUUCCUUUUAUGGUAGUACAUUCUGAUGUAUGGGGGCCAUCGAAAGUUUCUACAAUUGGAGGUGCUCGUUGGUUUGUUACAUUUAUUGAUGAUUGUAGCAGAAUGACAUAGAUUUUUCUGAUGAAAUCGAAAGACGAAGUAAACUCUUUAUUUUAAAGAUUUCAUAAGAUGGUGACGACUCAAUUUCAGACACAAAUUCGAGUUCUACAUACUGAUAAUGGAGGCGAGUAUAUGAGCACAACAAUUCAACAGUUUCUGAAAUCACAAGGAACUGUCCAUCAAACCACUUGUGUGGGGACACCCCAACAAAAUGGCAUUGUUGAACGAAAAAACAGACAUUUACUAGAAGUUGUUCGAGCAUCACUAAUCCAGGCCCACAUGCCACUAUCUUAUUAGGGAGAAGCACUGGCAUCCGCAGCAUACUUGAUCAAUCGAACACCUUCAAGCUCCCUUGGAUUCCAGACUCUUUUCCAGGUUCUAAAUGAUGCAAUUAUGUCACCAAAUGUGCCGAAUUUACCCCCACAUGUGUUUGGCUGUGUUGCCUUCGUUCAUUUGCCGCAACAAGACAAAUUAUCUCCUCGAGCACUACGUUGUGUGUUUGUAGGGUAUGCCUUACAGCAAAAGGGAUACCGAUGAUAUGAUCCACCAUCAAGAAAAAUAUACAUCACCAUGGAUGUCGUCUUUCAUGAAGAUAUCAUAUACUACUUGUCAAAGCCUGAAUUUCAGGGGGAGUAUAAUGAAGAGGAAAUUCAUAAUCUUAUAUAUCUUCCACCUAAAGAAGAUCAAUCUUCCAUUGAGGUUGUAAACCUUCAAGAUACUGGAAAAGAAAAUGGUGGUGAUUCUCAGGCUGAGAUAAGUGAAGACACAUUUGGGGAGCAAAAUAACUUAGACACAACUGCAAUCGAGAAUGAGUCACAUGAAGAAAUACCUAACUAAUCGUCUGCAGAGGAUGUUCCUACCACAAGUCCUAGUCUAGUCAGAAGAAUUCUUCCUCAGCGUCAAAAUAGAGGUAUCCCUAAACCCACAUAUGAGCCCGACCUUUCUAGUAGAGUCAAAUACCCUAUGAUUUAUUUUGUGUCUAACCAUCGCUUGUCAGAAUCAAAUCAGUCAUUUGUGAAUCAAUUAUCUACUGUAUCUAUUCCUAAUAGUGUGCAGGAAGCCUUAAAAGACCCAAAGUGGAAAGCGACUAUGAAUGACGAAAUGUGAUCUCUUCAAAAAAAUCAAACAUGGGAACUAGUUGAUCUUCCACCUGGAAAGAAACCAGUGGGUUUCCGAUGGAUCUACACUAUAAAGUACAAAGCAGAUGGCUCUAUUGAACGAUACAAAGCAAGGCUCGUAGCUAAGGGUUACACCCAAACCUACGGGAUAGAUUAUGCCAAUAUGUUUGCACCGGUAGCAAAAAUUAAUACUAUUCGUAUCUUAUUAUCAUUAGCAGUCAACUUGGAUUGGCCAGUGUAACAGUUCGAUGUAAAGAAUGCUUUCCUCCAUGGAGACCUGUCUGAAAAAAUUUAUAUGGAUAUGCCACCAGGAUGUAGUGGACCAGAACGACUCAAUCAGAAAGUAUGCAAAUUGAAGAAAUCAUUGUAUGGGUUGAAGCAACCCCUAAGAGCAUGGUUCGGGAAAUUCACAAAGGCUAUGGUUCUUUUUGGGUAUAACCAAAGCAAUUCAGAUCAUACCUUGUUCAUUAAAAAAUGACAAGGUAAAAUCACUGCCCUCAUUUUCUAUGUGGAUGAUAUGGUAGUCAUAGGUAACGACGGGGAAGCAAGAGAGGCUCUUCAGAAGUACUUGUCGAGAGAGUUUGAGAUGAAGGAUUUAUGAGCCUUAAAAUACUUUCUUGGAAUUGAGGUUUCUCGAUCUAAGGGAGGAAUUUUCCUGUCUCAAAGGAAAUAUGCUUUAGAUCUAUUAAACGAAACGUGAAUGACAGCUUGUCAGCCUAUUGACACCCCAAUAGAAGAAGGACUGAAGUUUUGUAUUACCUCAGACUAAGUUCCAGUAGACAAAGGAAGAUAUCAAAGGCUGAUUGGAAGAUUGAUGUACUUGUCCCACACAAGGCCAGCUCUUGCUUAUGCAUUGAGUGUUGUAAGUCAGCUUAUUCAUAAUCCCGGAGAACAACACAUGAAAGCAGUAAUGCGGAUCCUAAGGUACCUGAAGUCAAAUCCAGGAAAAGGAAUCCUAUGUUCCAAAAAUGGAGAUUACAGCAACAUAGAAGUUUAUACUGAUGCAGAUUGGGCCCGGUCAGUUAGUGAUAGACGCUCUACCUCAGGAUACUUUACCUUAGUGGGAGGCAACCUUGUCACAUGCUGCUUCACUUGCUGCCAAUCCAGUUCAUCAUUCAAGAACAAAACAUAUAGAGAUUGAUGUUCACUUUGUGAGAGAUAUAAUUUCCAACGGCGGAGUGGAAGUAAGAUAUGUCCCUACUGAAUAUCAGCCUGCAAACAUCUUCACAAAAGCUCUUCCUGCUGAUAUGUUUCAACAGUUGCGAGACAAGCUACAUAUUCUUCCUAGAACAUUGCGCUUGAGGGGGCAUUAUGAAAAUAUUGUAGCAGAGCUACCAAACUUGAGUAAUACGAAUUCAAAGUUGUUAGAUGACAUGGCAGCACACUUGGCAUUCAUUGGUGUUUUGGAAAGUUAAAGUGAUCAACCUUAUCUCUUAGCUUAUCAUUAAUUCAAGCUGCACUUUUGUAUUUAUCAAGAUCAAGAUAAAGAUAACAAUUGUGCUAGGCUUGAUCUUAUUCUUGGCAUUAUCGUGUUUCCUGUAGAGCAUUAUAAAUGUAAUGAUUAUGAGAUGAAUAAAAUAACGAAAAUGUGUUUUGUUUCUUCUUUAAGCUCAUCUUUAUAAUUUAAGUUGGUAUCAGAGCAUGGCGAGCUCCAAUUCUGCGAAAUUAGUCAAUAUGAAUACUGUAAACCAAACACCACAAAUUUCUAAUUUUUUGACUCCUGUCAAAUUGGAUAGGCAAAAUUUUAUGAUAUGGAAGUCUCAAGUGCUACCUUCCAUUCGUGGUAACAAUCUUGAAAGCUUGAUCAAUGGAGCAAAACUUGUACCCACUAAAUUCUUGGUGCAAGUAGAAGAGGAUCAAACAGUAACGACUGUGGAAAAUCCAGAAUAUAUACAAUGGCUGAGACAAGAUCAGCUUUUACUUAGUUGGCUUUUGUCCACUAUGACUGAAUCAGUUUUAAGCAUAGUGGUGCAGUAUACAACCUCUUUUGAGGUUUGGAAUGCCUUGAAGACAUUGUUUGCAUCUCAGUCAAAGGCUAGAAUUUUGUAGCUCAAGAUGCAACUCCAAACCACGAAAAAGAAUGCUAUGACCAUGAGUGACUAUGUCAACAAAAUGAAAAAUUUAGCUAAUAGCCUGGCAAUGGCUGGAAAAUAUGUUACUGAAGAUGAUUUAAUUUCUUAUAUUCUUGCAGGUUUAGGAACUAAAUACGACCCUGUGGUUGUAAAUAUUACAGCAAGAACAAAUGAUUUAUCUCUGCCUGAAGUAUCCUCUCUUUUGCUCAAUCAUGAAAGUCGAAUGGAACAACUCUCAGCUGCUGCAAAUCUUGAGUCUAAAGGCAGUUUUAAUGCAAAUUUUGCAGGAGCUUCUUUUCACAAAAGGAAAGUUAUAAGAAAAGGCUUUAUGUCAGGAAGUUUAUGAGGCAAUGAACGUGGUAGAGGCAAAGGAAGAACCAAUUUUAGCCGUGGUGGAAAUAGGCCAACCUGUCAGAUAUGUGGCAAAUAUGGACAUUCAGGAUAUCAAUGUUUCUUCCGCUUUGAUCGGGGGUUCUCUGCAAGACAAGAGGCAACACAAGCAGGUCAAGCCUCUGCCUAUAUGGCACUCCCUGCUGAAGAAAUAGAUAAUGGAUGGUAUUUGGACAGCGGAGCAACACACCAUGUUACAAAUGAUUUAAACAAUCUGCAGAUUAAGUUAGAAUUUAAGGGAGGUGAGAAGCUGGUAGUAGGUAAUGGUAAAACUUUAGCAAUAUCUCACAUUGGCAGUGCACUUAUUUAUAUUCCAAACCAUGAACCAUUGUUGCUUAAUGACAUUUUAUAUGUGCCCAAAAUCACCAAGAACUUAAUUAGCAUUUCAAAAUUACUUUCUGAUAAUAAACUAAUGCUUGAUUUCUGUGACAAUGUUUGUACUCUUAAGGACAAAGUUCUGGGGAAGAAGCUGCUGCAGCGAAAAAUUGAAAGAGGCUUAUAUCGGCUACCAGUGCUUUCAAGACAAGCCAUUCUAUCUGAUUCAAAAAUUAUUUCCAAUAAAUCUUAUUAGUCUUCUCUUCCAUUUAGCUGUUUCAAUUCUAGCUCAACAAUAAGUUCUGUAAAUGAACAAGAAUUUAUUUCCAAUUCCAAGCCUAGCAGUUUUAUAAAUCUUUUGCACAGAAGGAUGAGACAUCAUCAUCUUGCUGUACUAAAACAAAUUCUACCUUUGUGUAACAAAACAAGUCAGUUAAAUAAAAAUCUCAUUCCUCAAUUCUGUGAUGCAUGUCAACAAGGAAAAAGUCAUAGGCAAACUAUCAAAGCAUCAAAUAGUAGAGCUUCAGAACCUUUAGAAUUAUUGCAUCUUGACUUGUGGGGGCCUGCACCUUUAAUGUCUAGAAAUGGCUACAAAUAUUAUUUGAGUAUUGUAGAUGACAACACACGUUUUACAUGGAUAUUUCCACUUAAAGUUAAAUUACAAGCGUUUGAAGCUUUUAAGUAUUUCAAAGUUCAAGCCGAAAAACAAUUAGGAAAGAAAAUCAAAAGUUUACAAACUGACGGUGGAGGAGAGUUUCAAGCAUUUACAAUUUUUUAAAAGAACAGGGUAUUAUUCACUGACUUUCUUGCCCACACACGCAUCAUCAAAAUGGUAGAGUGGAGCGAAAACACCAACAAAUUGUAGACACUGGUUUAACACUUUUGGCAUAGGCUGGCAUGCCACUCACUUUUUGGUGGGAUGCUUUUCAAACAUCUGUUUAUUUAAUUAAUAGAAUGCCUACUUCCAUCUUAGAAAACAAAUCACCAUUUCAAAUACUUUAUGAUGAAGAAUAGGAAUCAAUAUUAUACUAGGAUUAGUUUCCUUAUUAACUAAAGUUUAAGACUUUUAAAUUCCUUUCUAAUUUAGAAUUUUGUUUCCCUUUCAAUUUAGGAUUUUGUUUUACUUCAUGAAUUAGGAUAAUUAUUACUACUAUAAAUAGCUCCCUCUUGUAGCCUUUAAAGGCAGAGAAUUUUGAGUUUAAUAAUAUUUCAAUUUUCAAAUCUCUUUGUGAGUAUUUGAACAGUUAAUUCUCGGUAUUCUGCGAAAUCAACGAGUCUUAAAUCCCUAAGUUCGCGGUAUUCUUUUGAAUCAACAUGAAUUUAGUUGUUCUUUUAUUCUGGUAUUCUCUAGAAUCAACGGAAUAUUUUGAAUAUUAAACUUCCACUGCAUCACUUUACAAGAAAAUACCUGAUUAUUCUUUUCUAAAAGUUUUUGGAUGUGCUGUAUUUCCUCAUCUUCGAGAUUACAACAAACAUAAAUUAGAUUUUUGAUCAGAUAAAUGUAUAUUUUUAGGCUAUAGUACAGCUCAUAACGGGUAUAAGUGUCUCCACAAGUCAGGAAAAAUUUUUGUAAUGCGACAUGUUGUCUUUAAUGAAUAUGAUUUUCCUUUUAAAAGUGAUCCCUCCUUCAAAAUCUCAAAGAGUUAUCCAAAUCAUGAUUCUAGUACUCUCUUUCAGUCUCCUAUGUUUGCAGGUUUUGAAAGUCCUAGAGCCUAUAAGACUCUCUCGGUUAUUCAUGCAACAGACUCUCUACUAGAGUUGGUUCAUAACACAAUAGUUAUAGAUCAGGCAUCAAGUCAAGAUGAGGAAACCAAUUUUGAAUCCAACACCAAAAGCCCACCUGGAAAAGCCAACCUUGAAUCAAGCACUGAAAUCCAAGCAACUGAAAACACCACACAAUCUUUAUCUAUCCCCGCGUUUAUCAAUCAAGAAGCCGAUCACACAAUCUCUCAACCACCUAGUUCAACUCCUCAUUCUCAACAGCCAACACAUACACAAUCCACUCAUCCAAUGAUCACUCGUGCCAAGGCCGGCAUCUUUAAACCCAAACCUAGACUUUACCUAACAACCUCUCAUACCAAAAUAAGUGUACAUGCCAGUGUUAGUGAAGCUUUGGAAGAUCACAAUUGGCGUAAUGCUAUGACAGAAGAAAUGAAUGCUUUGGCUAGGAAUAACACACGGUGUUUAGUUCAACCUACUUCUGACAUGAAGAUUGUGGGAAAUAAAUGGGUUUUUCGGAUAAAACAAAAGGCUGAUGGUUAGAUAGAGCGAUAUAAGGCUCGGUUGGUUGCAAAAGGAUUUCAUCAGACCCCAGGAAUCGAUUUCAACGAGACUUUUAGUCCUGUUGUUAAAGUUGCAACAAUUCGAUUGGUGUUAAGUAUUGCUGUGAUGAAAAAUUAGGGUGUAAUACAACUGGAUGUGAACAACGCCUUUUUAAAUGGAGACUUAGUAGAAGAUGUUUACAUGAUGCAGCCUGAAGGCUUUAUCAACAAAGCACAACCAAAUCAUGUGUGUAAAUUGAGAAAAGCAUUGUAUGGGCUUAAGCAGGCUCCAAGAGCUUGGUUUGAAAAACUCAAGAGAGCAUUGAGUGACUGGGGUUUCACAAAUUCUAAAUUAGACACAUCACUAUUUAUUUUGCAGCAAGGAAGGGAUAUAAUAUUUGUCCUUAUUUAUGUGGACGAUAUUUUAAUAACAGGAAGUAAAGAAAGUUUGGUGCAAGAAGUUAUUGAACGACUUAAUUGUCAGUUUGCUUUAAAAGUGCUCGGACCAUUAAGCUAUUUCCUUGGUCUUGAAGCUCAUCGCACAGAGAAUGGCCUACAUCUUAGCCAACACAAAUAUAUUUGUGAUCUCUUGAAGCGCACAGAUAUGGAUGGCUGCAAGGAAACAUCUACUCCUAUGAGUGUAGUACCGAAACUUUCAGCUGAAGGUGGUAAGCAAUUUUCUGAUCCUACACUUUAUCGUAGCAUCGUUGGAGCCUUAUUAUACGUAACUAUUACUCGGCCUGAAAUUUCUUAUGCUGUUCAUCGUUUAAGUCAGUAUAUGCAAAAUCCUUUACAGCCGCAUUGGCUUGGGUGUAAAAGAAUCCUUAGAUAUUUACAAGGAACAGCUGAUUAUGGAAUUUAUUAUACUACCAAAGGAAGAAUGACGCUCACAGGCUAUACAGAUGCAGAUUGGGCAAACAAUAUUGAUGAUAGAAAAUCAACUGGAGGCUACUGUAUUUAUCUUGGCAAUAACUUAAUCUCAUGGAGUUCAAAGAAACAAAAUGCAGUAGCAAGGUCUUCAACUGAGUCAGAGUAUCAAGCACUUGCAAAUACCACAGCAGAAAUUUUAUGGCUUCAAUCUGUGCUUAAAGAGUUGCAGGUGCCACUAACUGAAAUUCCAAUUAUUUGGUGUGACAACACUGAAGCUGCUUCACUUGCUGCCAAUCCAGUUCAUCAUUCAAGAACAAAACAUAUAGAGAUUGAUGUUCACUUUGUGAGAGAUAUAAUUUCCAAAGGUGGAGUGGAAGUGAGAUAUGUCCCUACUGAAUAUCAGCCUGCAGACAUCUUCACAAAAGCUCUUCCUGGUGAUAGGUUUCAACAGUUGCGAGACAAGCUACAUAUUCUUCCCAGAACAUUGCGCUUGAGGGGGCAUCAUGAAAAUAUUGUAGUAGAGCUACCAAACUUGAGUAAUACGAAUUCAAAGUUGUUAGAUGACAUGGCAGUACACUUGGUAUUCAUUGGUGUUUUGGAAAGUUAAAGUGAUCAACCUUAUCUCUUAGCUUAUCAUUAAUUCAAGCUGCACUUUUGUAUUUAUCAAGAUCAAGAUAAAGAUUACAAUUGUGCUAGGCUUGAUCUUAUUCUUGGCAUUAUCGUGUUUCCUGUAGAGCACUAUAAAUGUAAUGAUUAUGAGAUGAAUAAAAUAACGAAAAGGUGUUUUGUUUCUUCUUUAAGCUCAUCUUUAUAAUUUAAGUAAAGGGACUUUUGCAUAGCCUCUGGUGUGUGUGUGAUUUCUCUUUCGUUUCCUCAUCAAAUUCUGUAAUUCUUGCUUCGAUAAAAAGCUUUUAAUCUCUUCUGUAGUGUGUGAUCAGUGCGUAAUCAUUUUGAGCAAUAACAGCUUGUGGGUUUUUCCUUCAAACAGUGUCGUUUUGGUCAGUUUGUUAGUUUCUGUGUUCGUCUGAUUCCAUUGCUCUUGUUCUCUGUUCUUGAUCUGUUCGUGGAAUUUUUCUUUGGUUAUUUGUUCUCAAAUUUCAACUGUAUAUAAAGUUUGAACUCUGAUUGCUUAUAAUGUAUUGAUUAAGAAUAAUCCUAAGAGUUCCCGAUUGAAAUUUUUAAUGACUAUUUUUAUUGUUUUGGAUAUACAAAUUGAAUUAAGAAAAAAUAUUGUCAAAUUCAGAGGAUAAGGGGAAAUAAUUAUGCUUCAAAAGGCCAGAGAUUAGAGAAUAAAGAAGCAUUCAUUACUCUAUCAAAAAAAAAAAAAAAAAAAAAGCAUUCAUUACUGAUAUACAAACUGCUUUUAUUUGGAUUUUGGAAGGGGUGAAGUUUUGAACUUCAGUUGUUCCUCUAAAAUCAAAAGCAGCAAUUAAGCGUUCUCAAUUAGAAAGAGCUAAGAAGACUUAUUGGUACCUUACUGAAGCUAACAUUAUGGCACAGUUGUUCAUAUAUAAUGGCUGCUCUGUUAUGCUAGCUUCUCUGUUUUUGCUUCUAUUUUUGCUUACAGUUUUGAACAUAAAUUCUUGCUCAAAUAACCCAUAAUUAAAUAACACUAAUAUGGCUCGUGAAAUCCCAUAAUAGCUAAUUACGCAACUUUCUCCUCCUCCUCAAUUCUGUCUUCCCCUGCUCGUACACUAAAUUCAAAAUUCAAUGCCCCGAAAAACAACACAAGAAAUCUUUGAGUUAAUUCGCGACCAGUUUAUAUAUAGUAGCAAUUGAAAAAGGAAAAAGAAUAAAAGAGUUCAUUAUUAUUCAGACCUUCACUUAUUAGGAAGUUUGUUCUGCUGUUGGGUGAGAUCAAGCUCUCAGCAUAUACUUCCACAUUAUACUUUCUAACAUUUUCUUGAAAGCCAUCAAUCAUAAAAUCUUCAUACUUUUUUCCAUCCUUUGGAUCAAUAAGUACAAAUUUCUCAUCUAAAACAGACAAAAUAAAAUCACUGUCCUUCAUGGAACAUAAUGGCUGCAAUGCCUGAACUGAAUUGGCUAAUGAAAUUUGAGUCCAGGAUUCUCUCAGCCCAUAUUCUUUCAUAAUCCAAAAUUCUUUUCUUUCUCGACAUGGAACAUAGUCUUCUUUUCUUUCUGGACAUAUGUCUCUGUACUUUUCUCUCUCUACUGAUCCACACUUUUUCAUACUUCUAACUAUCAUUUUGUUUUUUUUUUGUUAAGUUGUGAUUUAUUCAAUUAUUUUGUAUUUUUAAUGAAAAUUAUUUAAUAUUUAGUUAGUUUUGAUAUUGAUUAGUGAUUGAAAGUGUAUUUUAGAAGACUUCCGGUCUCUUGGAAAAAGGAAAAAUGGAGACGAAGAAGAAGUGUUCUUGAUUUUUUUGUAGGCAUUAAAGUUAAACGGUUUGAAAUGAUAUUUUGUUUUAAUUUCACUCAUUAAUCUCAUUCAGGAUAAAAUUAUAAAUGCAAAUAAAUGGGGUUUCAUGAGUUUUUUUUAAUAGUGUUAAAAGGUCUACUCACUAAAUAAAUAUGUUUAACCCAAACCAAUGCGAUUAGUAAGUUAUUGGGUUGGGUUGAUCAGGUUAAAAAUUAAAAUUAAAAAUUAAAUAAUUAAAAAAGGCAUAAAAACUAUCUGUUACUUGAAAAUAAAAAGAAUUUCUAAUAGUUAGUUCUAAUGUCCCAUAUCCAAAACAUCCAUAUUAAAUAAAUAUUAUAAGUUAGAAAUACAAUAUCCAAGAAAGAAUGAAUGAAAUACCAUAUUUUUGUUGAGAAUUAAGAGUGUGAUUUUAAUUUUGAUAUUGGAGUCUAAAGUGCCACGUUUAAAUAAUCUCUUUUAUAAAAUAAUAAAAAGAGAUUAAAAAUUAGGUUAGCCAUUUAGGCAUUCAGGGUUUAGCAAUUAAGGAUGAACAUAUUAUUGUUGUUGUUUUUUGUUGUUGUUGUUGUUGUUGUUGUUGUUAUUAUUAUUAUUUAUAUGUUUACUAAUCCAAUUUACGUAUAAGUACAAAAGUUUCAAAUAUUGUCUAUUAUUUUUUUAACAUGCCUAUUCCUUGUGGAUAAUUCUGUCUCAUCACUAAUGUUGUUUCUUGCUUACAAUUUGUAUAGCGUCUCAAAAUAGACAAUAGGGGGAUUUUGAAUUUUUUAAGUCUCAAUAUAGUCUCUUAUCUUGUGAGACAGAUUUUCUUUCAAUAAUUUGGAGGUAAACAUAACAUAACUUUUUGGACUAAAGCCUAGCUCUGCUAAUUAGUAAUUGGUGGUAUCCUUUUCAAGACCUGAGUCUUUAAAUUCGAGUUUUAUAUAGUGCGCAUGUGUAUUUAAUUAAUAUUUUUUUAAAAAAAUUACAUCAAAUACUAAUAUUCAUGACAUAAUUUAGUUCAUAAUGUUUUUUUAAAUACAUCGAAAAUAUAAUUUUUUAACAACUUAUAGGCAUGACAAAUUUCAAGAUAUAAAUAUCAGUCAAAAUAAGUGAAAGAAAUAAUGGUGCCAAUUCUAAUUUCUUAACUAAAUUAAUUACUGCAUGAGCCCCCAAUACGGCACGAGAGUUUGAUGGGCUAACUUGGCACAAGAACAAUAGUUAAUUGAUUUAAGAAAUAAUUCAAUGAAAAAUAUAAUUGAUAAGAAUUUAGUAUUGAAAUGAGUUUUUUUCGAAACACUGAAUUAAUGAUUAUUAAGCAAGAACAAUAAAAAAAAUAAAAUAAAAAAUAAAGAUUAACCAUUGAUAAGCUUCAACAAGAACUUAACACAACCCUCAAUCCUAAUUCAAAUUAUAAAUGUCAUUCAUAUAUUCAUUAUAAAUCAAUAACAAAGGUUAUAAAUGUUUAGAAAUUCUAGAGGGAAGGAAGCUAUCGCCGGGCAAUCAACAACUAAAUUUGAUGUAAUUGUGGCACAAGAUGGAAUAUGAAAACUACACCAUAAUUUCAAAUGCCGCCAUAGACAUUGACUUAUCUACAGUAACAAUGAUCUAAUUAAAAUUAAAAUAAAGUUUAUGGGCAUUUAUUAUAUUUGCCAUUCCUCAUUUGCAAAUAGGGAUAUAAUUAUAAUUUUACUUAGUCAAAGCAAUCAGUAAUUUUUAGGGGUGUUCAAAAUUCAAUCCGAUCCGCUCAAUCCGUCUGAUCCGUAGAAAUCCGAUCCGUAAAAAUCUGAUCUGUGGAUUGGUAGAUUGGAUUGAAUUGAAAAUUUGAUAAUCCGCAAUCGGUGGAUUGGGUAUGGAUCUACUUCUGUAAAUUCGUAAAAAUCCGUGAAUCGGCAAAAAAUAAAAAGUAUUUAUUUAUUAAAAAAUAAAACUUGUAAAUAUGGCAAUAGUACUUACUAGUAAAUAAAUAAGUUAAAAUAUAGUUACAUUAACACUAUAUUAUAUCUUAUCCGAUAAUAAUAAAAAAUAAAAAAUAAUUAAAUAAACAAAUAUAACUUUCUAAAUAGUUAAUUUUCAUGUACUGAUCUAAACGAAUGAGAUUUUUUUUUUUUCAUUUUGGUGUGUUAUGUUUUGAACUUUAAAUGUAAUUUUUAGUUUUAUUUAAACAAGUAAUUUAUUUAAAUCUUAUUUAAUUUUAAAUUUGAUCGGCAAUAAAAUUAUUUAUAUUAAUUUUUUUUUAUUUAGUUAGUUCGUAGAUUGGACAGUAUUAAAAAUUUUCAGUCCGUAAACCAAUUCGCAAAAUGGUGGAUUGGAUAUGGAUUGGGUCAAAUCCGCAUCCAAUCCGCAGAUGUAUGAAUUGAAUUUCACCAAUCCAUGAAUUGGAUUGGAUUAAAAAUUUAUAAUCCGCAAAAUCGUGGAUCAGAUAUGGAUUGAGGUCCAAUCCGUAAAAUUUGAUCCGGAAACACCCCUAGUAAUUUUCUUCAUUAUAGGAGUGAAGUAAAAACAUUUAGAUUUUAAUGUAUGUACGGAAAAAUUUAUCUUUAAAAAUACUUUCUUAAUGUGUGUAUAUAUAUUGAAAUACUCAAACCAAUUUUGGUUAUUAUAUAAUUAAACAAAUUUUAAAAUAUGAAAAAUAUAAUGUAGUUAUAGUGGAUAAACAAUAAGUGAGCGCAAUAUAAUUAAUCAAAUAUCAUGCCAUCAAAAGUUAAUUUUAGAAAUUCCAAAUCCAACAGCCAACACAAUUCUUUUAAAAAAAAGCUGACACAAUUAAUAAAAUUAGUGACAUGAAUUUCACACCAUUGAUAAUAAGCAAUUAGUAUUACUUUCUAAACUUGCUUCAACUGGUCGUUGAUGUCCGGGGUCACCAAAAGUAUAAGCAAUAAUAAGGGGCAUUGGGCAAGAGUGAUGAAUGUUUAGUCGGUGCAUUUGAUUGCUAGAUAUAUAAAGGGCCGAAACUUGAGAUUAUAUUACUUUUACAAAUUUUAAUCCAAUCACAUAUUUAAUGAAAACAAAAUGAGUUAGGAUACUUUAUUUAGAACCCACAUUUUAAUAAGGCUUCAUUUGAUGUAGUUUUUUAAACAGUGAUUAUUUAAGUAAAUUUUCCUCAAUAGAGUUUUUAUCAAACAAAUUUAUUUAUUUAGUUGUCGAUAAGAGUUUUUAUUAAAAAUUAUAAAAUUAUUUAAAUAAACAUGUUUUUUAAAAUUACAUUAUAAAAAUAAUUAAAUAAAAUUAUAAAAGUAAAAUAUAUUUUAGAUAUUUUAAUAUUUAAGAAAAAUUUUCAAUCUCUACUUUCAAAAGCUCAAAUUUUUAGCUUUUAGUUGUAGAGACAAAAUAUUUUAUUUAAUCUUUAAAAGUUAUGCUAAAAACAAUCAAAUAACUACAAAAAUUUUAAUAAGAGUAUAUAAAAUUAAAUGGUAAUUUUUAAAAACCUCCCCUGAGGUUUGGGCUUGUUGCAAGUAGAUGGCGAGAAUCCAUUUAUUUGUAACAAACCCCCUACCGUCAGUUAAUUUUUGCAUUAACCGUUAGUUGACUGUGCAAAGACAAUAUUGUCCCUAAUGACAGUUUGUAGACUGACAUAGCUAAAAAAAAUGCUGAGAUUGUCGGCACGAAAAUCACAAAUAAUUUUUUUUUGACAAUUUUGUCCUUGUUAAUUCCAAGAUUUACAAUGUCAUAAGUAAGGAUUAUGACUAUUUUACCCUCUUAAAAUUAUUGAUAAUUCCUUAAAAUUUCUACAAAAAAGAUAAAAUUAAAAACUUGAAGAAAAAUAAAGUUCUCAAGCCGGCUAACCAAACACAUAGAAUAAAAAAUCCAUCGUUUGACAACAAAAACAACUUUCCAUAAACCCAAACAAAAAUAAACAAGUCCCCAUUACUCUAAUUGGCUUUGCUUGGAGCUGUUACUAUUGUGCAUACAUUUCUAGGCAAAGCAAAAUGACCCCAUGAUAUAAACCUUAUAAAACAUGCCUCCACUAUUCUUAAUUUUGGUAUAAUAAUAAUAAUAAUCACAAAAAAUUAAUUGAAAACUUGACUAAUUAUCUUUGGUGGAGAAUUUUAAACCGAAACCGAUUCAGGAACCUUAAAUUGAUCAAAAGGAAGCUAAUAAUGACAAAAAAGUAACCGAUCAAAAAUCAUUAAGCAUAAAAAAAUAUUGAAUUUAAAUAACUAAAAAUGCCAUCGGAAAUUGAAAUUAAUUAUUUAACAUAUAGCAUGAAAACAAAUCUUCACUAUUGGUGCUAGGCGGCUGUCGUUUAGCUUGGUUCUAAGAGGUGGCAGUCAGUCAACUUCGAGACGGUGCGUUCGAAGUCAACUAAGCUGCAGCAGAGGUUGCAGGGGGCAGAUUGCAGCGAAGUCGCGGUGGAGCAGAGGUCGCGUCGCGGUGGAGAAGAGGUCGCGUUGCGCUGGCUUGGCUUCACGGUGGUGGGAUGGCUGGGCGGGCUGGCCAGCUGUGUGCGCAUUGUAUAUGAUUGUUUUUCACUUUUUUAAUAUUUUCUUGUGCAUUAGUUCAGAUUAGAUUAGUGAGUUUGUGUGUGUGUUUGCAGUUGAUUUGGUUAAGAUAUUUAGGUUAAAAUAAUUUUUUUUAAUAAAUUUUUUUUUUCAAAAUGUCAACAAUGCCCACAACUACCCAAAUGGCAACUAAGCAGAGUAAAAACGUAGGGGUUUUUUUUUAUAAAUAAAUAGAUUCUCGUCAUCUAUUUGCAACAAACUCAAAUCUCGGGGGAGGUUUUUAAAAAUUACCCUAAAAUUAAAUAAGCAUUUAUUAAUAAUCACUUUGGUAUACUUAUCUAAUGACCAUAAGUGUUUAUUUAAUCUCAUAAGUUCUUAUUUAAUCUCAUGAGCUCUUUUCAAUUUUUUUUGUUGUUUGUUUUUUAGUAGAGUUUUUGAAAAUUAAAUAAACUAUUUUGUCUCUACUAGAAAAAACUCAAAUUUUAGAUUUUUGUGAGUAAAUGUUUAAUUUUUUAAAAAAAUAUUAAAAUAUCUAAGAUAUCUUUCCUUUAUUUCAUAAUCUUAUUUCAUUUUUUCAUAACAUAACUUUCAAUAACUUACCUAUUAAAAUAAUUUCACAAUUUCUAAUAAAAACUCUAAUUGACAAUUAACAAUUUUUUUUUGUUUGUAAAAACUCUAUUUAUAAAAAAUCUAAUAAAAAUUCUAUUUAAAUAAAUUAUAUUUGAAAAGGUGUACUAAACCAACCUAAGAUAAAAACAAAAAUUUUUACAUCCAGACAAUUAAGCUUAAAACAAUUUCAAAUGAAUUUUAGACUAAUCAAAGUACAAUACGUACCAAGUUUGGUAACUUAUUGACAUCUUCUCAUAUAACCUUCGAUCAAGUCGAUUCUCACCUGACGACUAAUUGGUACAUCACCGUUGUUCUCUAUACUCGCAUGCAUCCGAUCACAAAUCUCACUCCAAUUGUCGUCUUUCUUCGGCGUUUUAGCACAUCCUUCUUGAAUUUCCCGCAUUUCGUUCCCUCCUGUUACAAGUCUCCGGUCAGGUCAGUUCUCUUGACGAUUAAUUCGGCAAAUCUCGAAUCUCUUCUCGCGUCGUUUCACUUCAAUUUUUUGUGUCUCCUUUCAGUUUUAGUGAUUGAAUCAAUUUUAUUGCAGUCUGAGAGAAAUUAAGUAAUGCUCUUGGAUUUAAAUUUUUUUUGCUUUCGACUUUAGAUCUCGAAAGUCAAACUCUGCUACGAAUCCUUAGAUUCUCAAUGUUUAUAAUCUUAUUUGUGUUUGACCAGGUAACUGGAUCGUGAAAUUCGUCGUUUUGUAUCAAUUCAAGCUUUCGCGAGCUCAUGGAAUCACCUGGUGAGUUGUGGUGAAACGUUAUCGUUUCAAUUUUCGCUUAAUUCUUUAUUGCAUAUUUUUUCUCUAACAUUUCAGUUUAAUUUAGAAAAGAAAGAGGACCCAAAAAGAGAGAGAGAGAGAGAGACUCUACCAUACUCAAUUCCUUGCUCAUUCUGAUUUGGCCUGAAUGUUGGCAUUGACUAUUAUUUGUUUUCAUUUCGAUUUAAUUCUCAUUUAGACAGUCUUUACUAACGGUCAAUAAUAGUUUAAGGAAAAUGAUAAUAGGGAUUCUGCAAUAAUCUUUUUAAGGAAAAUGAUAAUAGGGAUUCUGCAAUAAUCUUUUUAAGGGAUGUAUAACUUAUUAAUCAGAGUCCUGUUAUUAUGGUUUGACACUACUGACAUAUUGUGUUGGUAUUUAUUUGUACUUCCCUUGGUUGAAUUAUUUGCUGUCCCCAUGCCAUUCGAUAUGGUGCUACUUGGUUUUUGAUCAUCCAUGACGCUAUAUAUAUGUAAAGGAUGAAUUGAUUGUUUUGGCUUGUAUUCUCACAUUUUAUGAUUGAUCGAUGGAAAGGUCUUCAUGUAUUAAAUUCAACCUCACAAGCGUAAGAUUGACAGAUUCUGGGCAAAUUUUCAGGAAAAGAAACUAGACUUCAUGGAAGCAAUGAAGCUUGAAAUUGAACGUCUGCAGCUGAAAGGGAUAGAGCUUUAUUGUCAAUUGGAACUGAUCCUGCCUCUAUAAAUCCAAAUGUAUUGCUUGAUGAAUCUUACAUGGGAAGACUGUCGAGUAGCAACCACUCUUGCAUUACUUGGCCAAACUUCCCUAGAAGACAAAAUUGUUGGUGCAAUGGCCUUGAGAAUAGUGAUGAUAGUGUUUUAGACUUCUGGAAUAUUACUAGAAUCGGAGAGAGUUGUUCUGGUGGCGCGUGCAAGGUUCGUGCAGAAACUAAGGUGCCUGCUCUUGCUUCCUCAACUGCAGCAUCUGUUGGAGCUUCACAAUCCCCUUUGUUGUGUUCUCUGUUGUGUUCUCUGUUGUGUUCUCAAUGUGAAAGAAAAGUUUGCAAAGUUUGUUGUGCAGGAAGAGGAGCUCUACUGUUUUCAAAUUAUAAAUCAAGGGAUGUGACCAACUACAAUGGCUUCUCAAGUCAGAGUGGAUCAAGCCAUGGAAGCCAAGUUGAUGUAUCUACCAGUCGUUCACUAACACUGGAUGGCGUUAUCUGUAAACACUGCUGCCAUGAGAUUGUGCUUGAUACAAGUUCACAACACCAUUACAAAGGAUUCAAAAUUCCCACACGAAAACAUCAAUGUACAGAUUAUAAACAAUCCGAAUUGGACACAAGAAAAACCCUUCAAUGGAUUGCUUGCCUUCCCAAUGCUAUAUACUGUGCAAACUGCGCACUGUCCAAGAAAAUGUUUUCAAUUUAGUGUAUUUUCAAAAUGCUUAUUUUCUCAGAAUAUAUAAAAAAAAAAAAAGAAUUCUUACAUGUUUCAUCAGCAUGAUUAAAAUCAAAGAAGAAAGCGAGACAUAAUGUCUCUGACAUAAUAAAAUUACAAAAAUUUAAAAAAAAAAAAGUUAAAACAUGUAAUCUUCAUAAGCAUAUAAUAAAAUAACACUUCCACAAAUUACUACAAUUUCAUGCAGUAGAGAUUGAAGAGUUGAAUUCCACUUAUAGACACCGACCUCUUAUUUUGUCUAAUGUUAACAAUGAAAAUAACAACAGUAAUGAAAACAACAACAGAAUACAACAACAGAAAACAACAAUCCGCUCUGCAAAUUCUCUUGGGACUUGGUUCCAAUUCCUCUUCAUCCGAAGUUCCACUCGAAUCAAAUUCACUUGCAGCAGUUCCACUCGCGCUUGGCAAAUCAUCCAAUUUCCAAACUUCGGUAGCAAAAUUGAGAGUAAAAGUGUUGGCUUUGGUCUCGCUGGGAUUUGCAUAUACUGGACAUACUCCGUAACGUUUUACCUUGUGACCCUUUUGGUUUUGGUAACAAUUAUUGAAGAACUUAAGUGAGACAGUUGUAUGAUGGUAACCAUCAGGAAAGCCAACAUUCAAGCAAGGUUUAAAACCAAGUAUGACAUGAUCUGAAUCAAGGGAGUAUUUAUUUCUAACACUUGUGGUUGCGGGCCCACUGAAACCUAGAUCAACAUGUUUGGUUUCAGAGAGAGUCUUUAUUUCUAAGUCGAGUUGAGAGCGGCCGAAAACAUUGCAGCAAUAACAAGAACCAACUUUCUUAAAAUUAAGAACCGCACAAAAAGCAAACCCGAUUAAGUUUCUGCAAGAAGAGUGCGGUGGCAGUUGAAUACCUAUCGAAGAUCCUGAACUUUGAUUGUUGAACCAGUCAGGAAUUUCGCUCCCAGGUAAAACAAUUAGGGAUGUCCUGAGUUCAGAAAGUUUCUGUGAAAUGACAUUUAAAAAAAGAAAAUUGUAAAAUGAAAACCAUGAUUUCAGAUAUAACAAAGAGGGACAGAGUAAACAAGAGAGGGAACUUGAUGCGUUCUAAAUGUUCCAUUUUCUCCAAGAUUUCUGGGAAACGCUCAAGGUUCAAGCAGCCAUGAAGAAAAAGCUCAACCAAAGAUUUCAAUUUACAAAACCUAGUUGAAAUCCUCUUCAGCCGUUCGCAAUCCCUCAAAUCCAACUUUUCAAGAUCAGUUAGGCACUCUAUUGAUGAUGGAACUUCUUCUAUUGCAGACUGGCUUAAGUAUAGCCGUGUAAUUUUCCCAGAAAUCUGUGGAAACUCUACGAGAUUAACACAAUAGGAGAAAUUAAUAGUUACUGGACAAACAAAAUGAAGAUUGCUUGGAAAAGACCUAAGACUUUUGCAGCCCACAAAAUCCAACCUACUGAGAUACUUGAAAUUCUGGAUAGAUGAGGGAACACAAGCCAUUUCUCCUUCCCAAAUUUGCUCAACUUUACUAAAACGCAAAUUCAGUCCAACAAGGUUCUUUGGCUUGAAAUUUGAUGGCAGUGUCCUUAAUGGAUAUGUGUCCCAAUGAAGAUAUCUCAAUUUUUUAGGAAGAUAAUCUAGGCCAUUUGGAAGCUGCACUUUAGAGUACGAAAGUUGCUCUUCAAUGCUCAUACUUAGAAGCUUUUCAAUCUCAUACUUAGGUACAUAAAAUUUGAGCAAUCUCAGAUUAGACAUAUUUGUGAAGGCUCCGGGGUCUAAAUUGAUGCCUUUUAUUUUGGACAAAUCCAAAAAUAUGCCUUCAAUUGCAUCGGUCCCCUUAUUAAAAAAAAAAAAAAAACAAAGAAUGGGUAAGCCUAAAACAGAAAAGAAACAUUCGUAAACUUUAUUAACUAAGAGCUCCUAAAACAAAACAAAUUCUACGAUCUUUGAUCUUAUUUUUUUAAUAUAUUAAAUAUCUAUAUGCGAGAAAAGAAAAUUUUGGGAACCAUUGCAAAAUUAAACUAACCGAAAAAAAAAAUCAAAAUUUCUCUAAUUUACAAACCUGUUAUCUUACUAUCUAGAAGUUGAGAAGACAGGGCCUAUUUGAUUGGUAUAAGAUUUCGAUUUUUUUUUUAGUCCAUAGAAUCCAAAAUGUUAGUUCAAAAUUAGGGAAAAAAAUGAAAGUUAUUUUUUUUCCACUAGUUGUAAUUGUAUCCAAGUCAAAUUGAGAUAUGACCCUUUUCGAAAGGAUUUAAUCAUCUUAUAGCCUCCUUAAAGGAGUGAUUGGAGGCCUAACUAGGUAGGCCAAUCAGUCCAUUUUAUUAGCGACUAUUGCUUAAAAACAUUUAUACUCUAAAACACACUUACUUUUUUGAAAAAAAAAUAUAAUUAUAUUGAAGUAGAACCAGGUGGGCCAAUCCUCAUGGCACUCACUUUGUUCUGACACUCUUCACUAAAUUUGAAAAAAAAUAAAAUUAUACUCUUCACACUCUUAUUCAACAUUCCAAAAUUGAUAAAAUCUGGAGUUUUCAUUAAAAAUUUAAAAUUUGAAGACUUGUUCUCUUGACACCCUCAGUCAUUAAUUUUACCUAAUUAUGGUUUUUAUGAUUUUGGUUGUUUUGUUCAUAAAAAUGAUUUUACUAAAGGAUGUUCUGGUAAUAAUAAAAUUUAUAAAAAAAAACAUGGUUGUGCUGGUAUGAUUGGAAAAAUAUGAGUGCAUAACUCCAAACAAAUAAAAGAUAUAUAAAAAAAAAUGGAGGAUUCUUACCAUAUUAUGCUUUAGUACGCGGCGGAUUUCCUUAGGAUCCCACAACCUCUUGCGUUUGCCUGGCUCUUUCUCAGAUUCUUGGCGUCGCCCCAUUUCUUGCAAUAUAUCAUGCAUUUGCAAGCGGUUAUAUGACACUGUUAUGAGUGACUUAUCAACAAGGACAUCCAGUCCAACAGACUCAGAAUCAUCAAGAAUCCUUGCCACAAAAUCUUUAUCCUCUCCCUCAAAGAAACACGCAAUAUCUAGAAAUAUGCUCUGCACCCUGGGCGUUAAUUCAUCAAAACUAAUCUUUAAUUUCUUAUAAAUAGCAUGAAUAUCAGAUUCACAAAUCCGAUUUAAGUCGUGCAAUACUUUUCCCCAAUGGCUUUUCCCCUUGAGGGAGGAACCCAACACUUUAAGAACUAAUGGAUUGCCAUCAGCAUACUUUACAACUCUCCGUGAGUCAGGUUUGAAAUCUUCAGGACAAUGCUUUUCUUUAAAAGCGAAGUUACAAAAAUGCUCGAAAGCCUCAUGAAAAUCCAUUCCAUUAACCCUAUAUAUUUUCUUCUCCUCCACUCCAAAUUUUUCGAGGACUCCUUUAUCCCUAGUGGUUACAACAAUUCUACUUCCUGGAACAAAUUGAUCAAGCUCUCCAAUCAGACCCUCUAAUUGUCCAACUUCAUUCACAUCAUCGAGUACUAUCAACACCUUCAUACGCCGGACCCUCUCUUUAGUAAAAUGUGGAAUAUUGGCACCAGCUACUUCAAGUUUUUCGCUUAAUAUUGUUGAAAGCAUUUCCUUUUGUAGGUCUUCUAGGCCACCCUCUGUUUCUGAUUUUCUCCUAACAUUUUUUGCAAAGUAUUUACCAUCAAACUCACCAGAGAAUUGAUUGAAAAUAGCUUCAGCAAGGGUGGUUUUGCCGAUACCACCCAUGCCCCAAAUUCCAACAAUUUGGACAGUAUCCGACAAAUCCAUACACAAAAAUGGUUUAAUCUGCUCAAUUCGUGAAUUUAAUCCAACUAGGCCGUUGGAUGAGUCCGUUGAGACUGUUAUUUUUUCCAACUUCUUCAAAACAUCUUCGACAAUUUUGUUUACAAGUUCCGCAUCGUGCCUAAUAUAAAGGUGCAAAGAUGCAAAAACAUUGAGUCAAAUCGGGCCAACACAGAAACAGAGAUAAGAUGAAUUAGGAAAGAGAGUUACCUGAAUUUCGUGGAUUCGUGGCCAGCAAGACCGGAUGUUUCUCUCAGUGCAUCCCUCCACCUCUGAACCAUUUCUGGCUUCUCUUUGAACUGUUGUUCGAGCUUACCAAAGCCGACCCCAAAAAUCCCAGUUUGAUGCCGCACAUCGGACGGACUUACGCCAUAGAAAACCGGAAUAAUGAUUUGGCCGUUUGUGUGCUUGCAUUCAAGAAUCUCGACAAGUUCAUACAGGCACCAUUUUGAAGAAGCGUAGUCCGUUGAGAAAAUGACCACCGAAAUUUUUGAACCUUGGAUUGCGUUCAAAAGGGCAGGUGAAAUCUCAUCUCCGCGCCUAAGCUCUUCAUCAUCAAUAAAUGUUCUGAUUUUCUUUCUUUUAGACAAAGCAUCAUAGAGAUGGCAAGUAAAGAUCGCACGAGUGUCCUCCCCUCUAAAAUUGAGGAAGACUUCAUAAAUGCAAGGAGAAGAAGCCAUGAAGGAAAUAUUAGAAAUUUGGUGACAGAAACAGAGAAUUAAUCUUGAGAGCUGAGAGAGGAGAUGUAAGAAUGAACAUGUGUGAAUAUUCUUGCGAGUACAUAGUAAAUAAUUGAAUGGCUCGAGCUUUCUUAGUUUCCUGGAAAUUUCCUGGAGCUUUCGUAUACAUGAUUUGUCAAGUCAAGAAACAUAGUCAUGAUAAUGGGGCAGACCAGGAAGAAAAGGAAAUUGGAAUUUUGUACAAUUUCUCCAGCGAGGAACUUUCACUGUCAUUACCUCACCGUUACAGUUUGGAUUAGGGUAAUUUUUACCCCGCACCCAAAUGUUUUGACAUACAGCACAACGCACCCAAUUCUUUUGCCCAUGAGCACCGCGCACCCAUUUCCGUUUAUUUUUCAGUUAACUGUAACAGAUCAGGGUAAAAUUGGAAUAACGCAUCAAAAUUUAAAAAUAAAAAAAUAGGUAAACUCGAUGUUUGCGCCAAAAUAAUUUCACAUCACUGUGCUUAUGUUCACUGCGUUUGCGUGUGAGACCAAGAAGCAUGGCCACACCUCCAUUGAUGCCAAAAUCGAGGAGGUGGGUGAAGAAGAAUUGGCGCCAAAAUCAUUCACAUAUGAUGUGCAAGGAAAUUAUUUCAGCCUUUAAAUACUUUUUUAUUACAGCAGCAUCAGCUAUUGCUCUGUUUCGAAGAUCUGCUCAAUUUCUAAGACAAUAGUUGGUUUGAGAGUUUAAGGGAAGUGAAUCCACUGAGCGUGCUAUUGAAGAAGUGGAGGUCAGUUUCAUUUCUUGCUCAAUUGUUUUAAUUUAUUCCAUUUUGUUUGCAUGUCAAUUAUUUACACAUUUUUAGCUGGAUUUUGCUUAUCUAUAAAACUUGAAUCAUUGUUAAUCAAAUCAGCUAUAAUUUACGCCUCAAUGUGGUUUGUAAGUUUAAGUUAUGUUGGAUUAUACCUGAAUAAUGUGGUGUUUGCGUUAUUGAUUUCAAUUUCUAUUGAUGAUUUUGAGUAUACAUAUUAGUGGAUGAAAGUUUUUAAUUAGGAUGAUUGGUCACGCAUAUAUGUCAUAGCAACUGUGUUUUUUUGGGUUAUGGUUGUACUGUAGAUCAGUAGUAGUAGUGAUUUGGAUAUAAACGCUAGUGCUUUUAUUGUAAAUGAUAGUGAUGAAGAUCCAGUGUUACAGAAUUUGAUGUAAAAGUUAUUGGUUUUUGGCUAAAUAUCUUAGAUAAAUAUGAUGCUCAUGCAAUCAAAUCCAAUGCUUAUGCAAUUUACACCAUGUUUAUGAUAAGUAAUUAAAAAAAUAAAUGACUAUUCCAGGUGAAAAUGGAUGAUGAUGAUAUUACAACUGUUCUUUGUACAUUCAAGGGCAAGACAUAUAAUGUUGGUGUAAUUGAUCCAGAUAAGUUUAGUAGAGUUUCUGUAAUUAACAAGGUUUUAGUUAGAGUCUAUGGAAGAAAGAUGAGGCCUGAUGAGAAGUUUACACUAAGUGUUUGGGUACCAUGGGUCUAUAAGGAAGUAGAGAUUAUGUCUGAUCAUGACUUAAUAUUCCAGCUGAGAGAGCAUAAUAAGAUGUUGUUCUACUGCAUGCAAUUGUAUAUUGAAGAAAUCCAUGUACCUCAUGAGUUUGUACCUAGAAGGGCUUUGUUUCAGCACUCAGCAGAAGAAAGCUUACAAGGGUAUGCUGAAACAAACUUUCCAGCCACUACUGACCUGCACAAACCUUAUACACAUGCUACAUCCACCAACACAAAUCCUUAUGAAAAUGACAGUAAUGACCAUUCGAACCAUGAACCCCCUGUCAAGAACUCCAGCAGCAUAAUGAUGCAUAAUGUUGCACUUGAUAGCAUCCAAUCACAGACCAAACCAGAUACCAACCCUGACCUAUAUCAAGACUUUUUGGAUACCUAUUUCAGAUCAUCACCACAACAGAAAACACCAUCAGCUGCCCAAACUAAUGCCGAAAAUAGUGAUAGUGAUAACACAUCUUCAUUUGGUACAAAUAAGACUCCUACUGAGCAGCUUCAACAAAACUUUGCCAUCUCUUCUGAGUUGUCCCCUUUAUUGCAGCAACAUGGACAUCAUGCAUCCCAAAAUGAACCUAUACCUUUUCACCAACCUGAGUUCUCAUCUCAACCAAUAACUCAAAACCCUCAGUCACAAGUUGUACAAGCAGAAAACUUCCAGCAACCAGAAGCCACUACACCAGCACUAGUAGAUUAUAACUCAGAUGAUAGCCAUUAUAGUGUAACUGAUAGUGAGGAAGAUCCAGAUCAUCCAUUAGGUGCUCCAAACAUUAAUAAUACUCCUAGGAAACCUUCUGUUAAUGUUGACUUAGGCUCUAUGCCUUCUGAUGAUAGUGAUGAAGAUUGUAUGCUAUCUGAUUGUGAGAGUGAUGACAAUGAGUUUGGGGAAGAAUCUGAUGAAGAGAUUGAUCAAGUGCUGGUCAGAAUGGAUGCUGUUAUGAGAGAGAACAUGUACAUUCCUAGUGAUACACCUGUUCAAUUCUUUAUUGGGCAGUGUUUUAGGAACUUCAGGCAGCUGGCAUGGGCAAUAAGGACUUAUGCUGUGGAAAACAAGUUCAAGGUUUAUAAGCACAAGUUUGAAAAAUCCAGAGUAACUGUUGGAUGUAAUUAUUUCAGGUGCCCAUGGUUUUUACAUGUUGCAAAAACUAGAUUUGGACAAACCUUUAUUGUUAGGAGGCUUCACAACGUACAUACAUGUCAGAGAGACUUAAAGAAUCCUGAAUGCACUGCAGAGUUCAUUGUUGCCAAGUUUGCUGCAACUAUAAUUGAGCAUCCAGAUACAAAGGUUGGGUGGAUUCAAAGUGAACUUAGAAGGAUGUAUGGAGCUAAGAUACACAAGUAUAAAAUUUAUAGAGCAAAGAAGAAGGUUUUACAGAGACAAUGAGCUGAUUAUGAGUCUAGUUACAUGUUGAUCAGAAAUUAUGCUCAGGCCAUACUUACUAAGAUGCCACAGGCCUUGGCAUUGGUUAAGGUUUUCAGGAUGCAUGGUCAACAACCUCAAACUCACUUUGACAGCACUGUUAUAUCUUUCCAUGCCCUCAGAGAUGGCUUCAACCAAGGUUGUAGACCCUUCAUUGGUAUUGAUGGAUGCCAUUUGAAGGGUCCAUAUAAGGGUGUUCUUUUAUCAGCAGUUGCUAUUGAUGCCAACAAUGGAAUCUUCCCACUUGCAUUUUGUGUAUGUAGUGUCGAGAGUACAACCAGCUGGACAUGGUUUCUAAGCCACUUUAGGGAAUUUUUACAAGAUACAAGACAACUGACCUUUAUGUGUGAUAGGCAGAAAGGAAUUCAGAAUGCUCUUGCCUUAGAGUUUCCUAAUGCACAUGUUAGAUUCUGUGCUAGACACAUCUUAGCAAAUAUUAAGUUAAAACAUCCUCAAUCUGACUUUAAAGCAUAUUUCUGGGCAGCAGCAAGAGCAUCAAACAGAAGGGCAUUUGAUGAUGCUAUGCAAAACAUAAGAGCAGCACAUGAGGGUGUAUAUGAGACUCUUAGGAGGAUACCACCAAAUUUCUGGUCAAGGCAUGCCUUUGACAAUAAUUGCAAGUCUGAUCAUUGCACUAACAACGUAACUGAAUCUUUUAAUGCAUGGAUUGGGAUUCAAAGAAAGUUGCCAAUAAUCUCAAUGCUGGAGUGGAUUAGGAAGAAGCUGAUGAAAAGAAUGAUUGGAAGAAGAAAUAAGGCAGAGUCUUGGGACAGUGAUAUACCAAGAAGAAUUUAUGCACAAAUGAUGAAGAAUUUACAGAUUGGCAGUGCAAACCCUAUCUGUAGAGCUAGUAAAUGGCUUUAUGAAGUGGAUGAAAAUACCAAGACUUAUAUCGUUGAUCUUGAACACCAUAUGUGUGACUGCGGACAAUGGCAAGUUAGUGGGAUUCCAUGUGUACAUGCAAUGCCUUGUAUUGUGAAUAGUCAAAAAGAUCAAGCUCAGUUCAUUAGCCAAUGGUUGAAGAAAGAUACUUACCUAAGGUGUUAUUCUGGAUUGAUUAAACCAAUUCCAGAUAGAACGUCAUGGGUAGAUGCUGGUGGUGAUGAAAUACUGCCCCCUUUAGUGAGAAGACCACCUGGACGACCUAAGAUGACAAGAAGAAGAGAAGCUGAUGAGGUACCAGCACAUAAUAAACGAUACAAGAUGCAAUGCACUAUUUGCAAGGGAUUUGGACACAACAGAAGGGGUUGUCCUGUUAACCCUCAUAAUGCUCACAAGACAACAAGACAAUAUAAGGUGAGUGUGUAUGCUUGUAAGAGAAUAUUCAAUUAUUUUUUGAACCAUGUUCCUCCCAUGUGAUGACAGCUAAUGUGCCUUGUUUGUUUGUGCUUUUUUAUAGAAUAACCUGAAGAAGCACGUGACAAGGACAAAUGGGGAGCAAAGUGAAGGUAUAAGAGUAAUUUACUAAGUUAUAUUACUAUAUUACUUUACAGCUGUAUUAGAUAAUUAUAUAGUUGUGUAUCACCAAACUAUAUUAAAUUAACUUAUUUAUUUAACGUUGCUUUAUUGGUAAUUUAUAAGGCCAAGUUCACGGAAUUACCUCAACUAUUUUGGAAAGCCAAGACAAUGACAUGGUCCAAGUAACUGUCUCAGGCCAAAACAUAACAAAGAACCAGCAGACUGCAUCUAACAAACGCAAGAUUGGCAAUCAAGCAGGGCCAUCAAAAGCAAAUGAAGUCAUUGGCAAGAGCAUGAAUGGGGUCAUAUCUGUAGCUCCAUGGGUAGGUGAACAGGGAAGAAAAGUAAUGUCAGCCGCUGGAUUAACCUUCAGCAAAGAGGAUGAAGUCGGCAACUAUACUGAAAUGAAGCAUUUGGACAAAGGGAAGGCACCAGCCUUCCCUUCGUAAAGGGUAAAACCAUAGUUUUCUAUUGAUAUAAAUUAAUAUUGGUUUUGGAAAUGAUAUUUAUAAUUUGUAACUUGUUUUGUAGUGAUUCUUUGGCUAUGAUGGAGACAUUGGCAGCAAACUUAUUAACAAACAGUGGAGGCAACAUUAUCAUUUUUUGACACCUUCCACAAUGCCACAUCAACCCACCAGGCACAAGGUUAAGGUUAUCUGGAUGCUGAUUUCAUUAGGAUCAAGUGGCCAAGUAAUGACCAGGCAUGUCAUUGUUUUCUUUUUCUUUUUUAUUUUGGAGCUGAAAUUGGUGGAAGUUGUUGGACAUUAAGCUUAAGCAUUAUAGAGCUGGAAGCUGUGAUGACCUACUAUAAGUAUGAUUGGAAGGGUUUAUGGCAUUUUGAAAGUUUUUGGGAUUAAGAUACAUAUAGGACUGAUAUCAACCAAACCAACACUUUUUUUUUUUGUUUUUUGGUCACAUGUAUGUAAACACCAGAUUGGAUGUGACUAACAUUGUAAGUUGCUGCCAAUAUGCAUUUAUAGAUAAAAUAACUUAUUGCUAUUAUUGAUAUCAUAUUUGAUUAAAUGGUAUAUGUCAAGAAACGAAUGCAUUUUAUUGAUCAUAAGAUUUCAUUUUACACAUUGUUCUAGCAUUCCUUACAGUACAAUACAAGCAAUACAAGUAUAGUUAUCACUAUAAUCGUGAUUUGAUACUUCUUAUUUUUAUGAAGUAAACCUUCAAUAUUGAUGAACCUGUUGUGGAAGUCCUCAAUGUUAAAUUGUUGAAUCUCACUUGCCCUGUCUGCAGCUUCUUCUUCAAACCUUUGUAACGCUGCUUCAAUUUCUAUAGCCUCACCUGUAGAUGGUUUCCACCAUCUAAAGAAACCACAAGAUGGGUCAUUAGGGCAUGUGUAAUAUAGUUUGUUGGGGUUUGUUUUUGAUUCUGACACUUUGAUUUCUGCCCUUCUUCGACAGUAGCAUACUGUGUUAUAGAACUUGAUGAUGCCCCCAUUGAUUUUAGGUAAAUCCCUUCUUCUGUUAUAAGUUGAUGAACUUGAUGCAUUCCUUGAAGUGGACAUUUUCUUCAAAUUUCCAAUGUCGUGUCUGUUAUAUUCUUUUUGAAAUACAGCACAACGUAUCUGAACUUCAAGUUGUUGUGCUUGUUUUGUGUGUGAAUGAAGCUGCUGUUGAAGUUGUAUUGUUUCGGUGGGUAAAACCAAAUGUUGUACUACUGUAAGUUGUUGCUGAGUAAAAAAAAUGGUGGAGUUUCCAGGUGAGUCAAUGAAAAUCACUGAGGUGUGAAGAGGGUAGGAAUUUAUAUGUGUUAAACAUCACAGCUUGUGGUGAUGCAUCAGCUCAAAUUUAUCAAUUUCUUUUACUGUUCUUGUAACCAUAUAGCCGUUAUUACUGUUGCUCAGAUUUUAUAGCCGUUGGAUUUUUGAUGCGCAUGGUAAUAAACCAAUAUGCUAAGGGCAAUAUAGUCAAUAUAAUUUAACAGUUAUAGUUGGUCUUCGUGUGUAAAUACACCUUUAAAUAAUGGCCAGUGGUAAAUUCCUUAGUUCAAUGACUCACCUGGAUGCAUUUGAAUUCAACGCAAGGGUAUAUUUGUCAUUUAAUCAAAAUAUAGACUGAUCCGUUACAAUUAACUAAAAAAUAAACAGAAAUGGGUGCGCGGUGCUCAUAGGCAAAAGAAUUGGGUGCGUUGUGCUGUAUGUCAAAACAUUUGGGUGCGGGGUAAAAAUUACCCUUUGGAUUAUGAUUUGAGGGUGCAAGUAUUUACCUAGAGUUUACCUCCGCACUAAAUUCUUAAGUUUUGAAAAUUAUGAGACCUUUAUAUUGGGAGAUAUUGUAAUCGAAUCAAAACUUAAAUUUUUUAUAAUGUUAAUAUUUAAUCUUUUAAAAAACAAUAACCUCGCCGUUACAGUUUGGAUUAAGAUUUGAGUAAGUAUUUACCUAAAUUUUACCUCCGUCUGUAAAUUCUUAAGUUUUGAAAAUUAUGAGACCUUUAUAAUCGAAUCAAAAUUUUGAAUUUCAAUAUUAUUAUUCUUUAAAAAAAAUUUUGAGAUAACAGAGUGAUUGAUAAUAUAGGAGAACUUGUCUAGGCAAGCACAUGUAUACACAGAAACGUGAUGGAUUCAAAAAGAAAUUAAAGUGAUAAUGCGAAAUCGCUUGGUGGCCCAGUAAAAUUACGACUGAAUUUUUUUUUUUUUUUUUACAAAAUUCAAGCUCAUAAAUGACAAAUUUCAUUUCCCUUUCACACGUCAUUAACUUUUGUAACAUGGUGUGUGCAUCGUCAAGUGAGGCAAAAGGGUUUCAAUUACAGUUGGAAAACAUGAACAAGAAUGCAUAAUGAAUAAUUCCUUCGAUAAACCGAAAAUUAAGCACAGAAUAAUCCUAAAAUUUAAACUCUAAUAUCUUAUAAUGUAUUGAUUAAAAAUAAUCCUAAGAGCUCCCAAUUGAAACUUUCAUAAGUAUUUUAAUUGUUUUGGAUAAACAAAUUGCACUAGGAUAAAAAUUUGGCAAAUUCAGAGGAUAAUGGAAAAUAGUUAUGCUUCAAUAGGCCAAAGAUUAGAGAACAAAUAAGAAUUAUUUAUUGAUAUACAAAAGAGAAACACUCCAAAAUUUCAAGCAAAAAUAGUUUCAUAUAUCAUUUCGAUUUUGAAAGGGAUGAGAUUUUGAACUUCAAUAGUUUCCUCUAAAAUUAAAAGGUAGCAAUUAAGCUAAAAAGAGCAAUGAAGACUUAUUGGUACCUUAUUAAAGGUAAACAUUAUGGAACUUUCAAUGUCAUUAUCUCACUGUUCAAUUUUUAUUGAGAUUUGUGUAAGCAUUUACCUAAAUCUUACCUCCGCCUUUAAAUUCAUAAGUUUUGAUUAAUUAUGAGACCUUAUAUUGGGAGAUAUUAUAAUCAAACUAAAACUUAAAAUUUCAAUAUCAUUAUUCUUUAAAAAGAAAUUGAGAUAUCAGAGUAAUAUCACAUAGAAAAACUUGCCCACGGACGGUAAGCCAAAAGUCUAGUCAACCACACGCAUAAAGCUAACUAGAACAAGAGAACAGAGAAACGCGUGGGUCCCUAAAAGAAAAGGCAAGCACAUAAAUAACUUUCAAAAUGCCCAAGCAAAUACCGAUGAAAAUCACUGUUUAAGAAUAAUUUAUUAUGUGGUUGAAGCUUUCUUUUUAUCAAUCUUCUUUCUACCCAUUAAUUUUCCCACGACUUUCCCGUUUCAUUUCUUGAAUCUCCAUGGAUUAACUUUCAAUAAACCAUAAAAUAAACUAAGGAAUCAUUUUCUCGAAUACAGCUAUGAUUUUAAUAAAUGGGCGGACCAUCUAGAAUAGUAUAUAUAAUUCUGUUUAAUUAAUAAGUUGAAAAAACCAUCAAGAGAAAUUCUAAUAUUAUGAGCUUGACACGAAUUCUUCACUAAUUCCAAAACAAGGAGCUGUUUUAUAAGAACUGUGGUUGGAUUAUUAAGUUUUACAAUUUGAAUAUAAAUAAGAAAAUAAAAUCAGUCGCGUUGAUGUUUUCGAUACAUUUCGCUGCUAACUUUUUUUUUUUUUUUAUUACAUGAGACUAUUGCUCAAAUUACAACUCAUAUUACAUGAGAAUAUAACUGAUAUUUACAAAUCAGACUAUAACUGGGACCAAUAUACAUCAAUACUAAUGGAGCGCUGCCCAGAUUUUAACCCUCUCAAAUAUUCAAGGGAUGUCUACACCUCACACUUGGGUAAGGAAACAGACUGUCUUCACUUAAAUUUACUUGAGGAAUGAAGACCCCCACAAUACAUUGUGGGGGUUCACCACUCGACCAAAGGCCGAGUGGCUCAUUUCGCUGCUAACUUAAUUAAUUACUUUACUUCAACUUUAUUUCCUUAGGGGCACUUUAUGGUGGGUCCAAGAUGGGACCUACAAUAAUCAAUCCUAAAAUUUAGUAUGGUUACCAAAUAGCUAGUAGCUAGUGUUAUUUUGUGUUUGGUGGAAGAGAUUGAAUAUUUAGUUUUAACUUAACCAUUCAACUAAUUAGAAAAUAAAUAAAAUUAAAUGAAAUGUUUAGAUAUCAAUUUAAAUAUUAAUAUCGGGGAUAUAAAUUAGUUAUAAUAUAGUUCAUUACAUAAAAUUGAUUAAAUUAAUAAUUACCCGUGAACAUAGAUGUAUAUGCUUUCCAAUUUCCAAAGUGCUCAAAGCACUUUUCUCACCAAACUUUCCUCUGAAUUUCCCGUAGCUGACUCCUUUGUUUGCGUUUUGUGAAAUUUCUAGGAACUUUUUUCGAUUUAGAAUAUUGUACAUUUUUCUUUUCAGCUGAGAUUAAUUUAACUUAUAGAAAAUCUUAUCCUUUUUUAAUAUUAUUUAAAUAAAAUUUGUCUAUCUUUUAUUUUAUUAGUCUACUUUUUACCCAUUAAUUAAGACUUUUCAAUUUCUUUUUUACCUGAGGUUUUCAGUGACUAUCUUUCAAUAAACCAUAAAAAUUACUUAGUCAUUUAUCGAACAAUUAGAUGACCAUAUUUCAAAAUAUCAACUAGAAGUUGUCCUGAAAUAUUUAAUUAAUAGUUGAAGAAUUGUGAUUAGUGUGGGCAUCUACAUAAAAAUUAUAUUAAAACACCGCUAAAAGAUAAAAAUAAAAUAAAAUAGUACAAACAUACACCCAUAGGUUAAAACAAAGAAAAAACACGAACCAAUACACUAAAAUGUUUUAGCUGUAGUUAGUUUUCAGUUUCAUUACUUAAGUCCCACGUGCAUGUCACGUGACUGAGGUCAAAAAAUGAUUGUCACAUUAAAGUUCAAAAUACGGAGCAGGGUAAUUAAGGAGUGGAGCUAUUGGCACCCCUCCAUUAUUCUUACAAAACUCCACUUUAAAUCAAAAUAUAAUUAAGAAUAAUUGAAAAUUAAACACUUAUAGAUUUCUUUACAACAUGUUGAGUGAUAAAAAAGCACCAGUCGGGCAUGUCCCCAUUUCUUACCCGGUGCCGAAUCUCCACGGUCGAAUGGUAUGAGUAGACUCUUGGUGAUGUCUUCUAUGUGGAGCACGUAACAACAGACCAGGAACUAGUACCAACCAAAAACGAGUACUGAUCGAAACAAGCAUGACCAGAAACGCAUACCGACCAGAGACUUGUGGGUCCGUAAAAGAAAAGGCAAGCACACAAAUGAAAAAGCCAUUACAUUUCUAUUUUACAUGUCAUUCCUAAUUUUUGUAACACGAUGUGGCAGCAUAUGCACAAUCAAAUGAGGCAAAAGGGAUUCGACUAUCGUGGCAGAACAUGGACGAGGACGCGUGAUGAAUAAUUCCUUCGAUAAAACGAAAAACAAACGCAGAGAAAAGAAUUUCUUAUAUGACAAGAAAUUAAAGUAAUGUGACGGAACAUGAUGAAGAAAUUGCAGAUCGAUCAAUUAUCCCCAUGGACUCCUAUAAAUUCAACCAAAAUAACAAUUCCAAUAUUACCAAAUUCUUGAGUUAAAUUUAUUCAAUGCUUUUUUUUAAGAGAAAUUUUUUCCAAUGCUACUUUCCCUUUUUUGGGGAAAUUAGAACUGCGGCAUGUAUAGAAGACAUUGAGGUAUAAAGCAACAUUAAUUUCAUGGGUUAUGCGUUAUACGCAUAAUAUAUUUUCAGUCCAAAUUCAACUAUGCAAAGAGGCUUGAGAACUUAAAAUUAAGCACAAACUAAACAGACGAAGUAAAUACAUGAUUAUGCAACAUAACAUUAAUUCUCUUAAUUUAUAACCGUUUUGCCACAUGAAUCUUGCACAGUUAAUCCUAAUUGAAGACUAAAAAAGAACAAUUGGAACAAGGUUUUGAAAUAGAAUGAUAGACAAUCGAUAUGAUCCAUUUCCAGUCGUCAACGCUAAUUAACUGCAGUUUCUAGACUCCUAAUUAUACUAGCCAUAAGAAACUGUUUAGAAAACUGGUGAUCAGAUUAGAUUUUGAAAUGAAAUAAUGUUCAUUUUCCCUUCGUUACCCUUUUAUUUAUUUAUUAUUUUUAUACCAAAGAAUUCUAUCAUGAAACGAAUCAAUUUAAUCACCUUUUCCAGCAGCACAAUUUUUCUUUUAUAAAAUUUGACCACAGAGACAAAGAAGAAUUAUUCAUACCUUCAUCAGUAAGGAAAUACUUUUCGGUAUGGCUAGGGUGAGAAAAGGCUUUCCACAAACACUUGUACUUUGUAUUCCUGUAAAUUUUCUUUAAAGUCAAUAAAAAUCAUAAGUUCUUUACAAUAACCAUCUCUUUGAUAAAAAAAGUGCCGUAUUCCUUUAGAAUUUAAAACCGGCAAAAUCGAAUCAGUGUCUUUGAAGAGACAUAAUGGUCAUAAUUCUUUAAAGAGUUGGCUAUGGAAAUCCUUAUCCAAGAUUCUUUUACGCCAUAUUCUUUCGUAAACCAAAAUUCAUUUUGGAAUACUCUGUUGAGAAUGUCAAAUAAAACGGUAUUGAAGGAAGUUUUCAAAGGCAGAAUCCGCACUUGUCAAAGGGAUGAUCUGCAUUUGUCAGAGACACAAUCUGCGUCGAAUGAAUCGACACAUUUCCUUUUGUAUUCGCAUAUGUAAUUUUUGAAAAAAUGUAGCUUCUGCAUCUAUAAAUAACGCUCAGUGUAUAAUGUUUUAUUCAAAAAAAGAAAACAAGUUUCUUCAUACUCGUCGUCCGAACAUACAGAGACCGUCUCUCAUAACUUCAGCCGAAUACUUAUGAUGAUGAUCAUUUGUGAUUUCAUCAGGCAUAGGGUUGAUGGUGAAAAAUUUUGUAUGUGUGAAGAAUUGAGCUGUGGAUAUAGGGGACUUAAGUGUAAUCGAAAGAGAGUUAUUAGGCCAUAGUGUAGAUUGCAUUCAGUUUAUGAGUCGAUAUGCAAAUAAUUUGUUGACGUGGCGAAAUUUGUUAUGGUCGUUACUAUUGUUUCUGGAAAUUUUCUAGAAACCUCAGCAUAAAAGGGGCUUUUGGAUAGCCUCUGGUGUGCGUGUGAUUUCUCUUUCGUUUCCUCAUCAAAUUCUGUAAUUCUUGCUUUGAUAAAAAGCUUGUAAUCUCUUCUGUAAUUGUGAUCAGUGCGUAAUCAUUUUGAGCGAUAAAAGCUUGUAGGUUUUUCCUUCAAACAAUGUCGUUUUGGUCAGUUUGUUAGUUUGAUCUGUUGGUGGAAUUUUCUUUGGUUAUUUGUUCUCAAAUUUCAACCUUAUAUAAAGUUUGAACUCUAAUGGCUUAUAAUGUAUUGAUUAAGAAUAAUCCUAAGAGUUUCCGAUUGAAAUUUUUAAUGACUAUUUUUAUUGUUUUGGAUGCACAAAUUGCAUUAAGAAAAAAUAUUGUCAAAUUCAGAGGAUAACGGGAAAUAAUUAUGCUUCAAAAGGCCAGAGAUUAGAGAAUAAAGAAGCAUUCAUUACUGAUAUAAAAACUGCUUCUAUUUGGAUUUUGAAAGGGGUGAAGUUUUGAACUUCAGUUGUUCCUCUAAAAUCAAAAGCAAUAAUUAAGCAUUCUCAAUUAGAAAGAGCAAAGAAGACUUAUUGGUACCUUACUGAAGCUAACAUUAUGGCACGGUUGUUCAUAUGUAAUGGCUGCUCUGUUAUGCUAGCUUCUCUGUUUUUGCUUCUAUUUUUGCUUACAGUUUUGAAGAUAAAUUCUUGCUCAAAUAACACAUAAUUAAAUAACACUAAUAUGGCUCAUGAAAUCCUAUAAUAGCUAAUUACGCAACUUUCUCCUCCUCCUCAAUUCUGUCUUCCCCUGCUCGGACACUAACUUCAAAAUUCAAUGCCCCGAAAAACAACACAAGAAAUCUUUGAGUUAGUUCGUGACCAGUUUAUAUAUAGUAGCAAUUGAAAAAAGAAAAAGAAGAAAAGAGUUAAUUAUUUUUCAGACCUUCACUUAUUAGGAAGUUUGUUCUGCUAUUGGGUGAGAUCAAGCUCUCAGCAUAUACUUCCACAUGAUACUUUCUAACAUUUUCUUGAAAGCCAUCAAUCAUUAAAUCUUCAUACUUUUUUCCAUCCUUUGGAUCAAUAAGUACAAAUUUCUCAUCUAAAAAAGACAAAAUAAAAUCACUGUCCUUCAUGGAAUCAGAAUUGAGCUUACAAAAACCGAAGUGGACAGUUCCAUUCAGAUUGGUCGCCCGAGAACAAUGAUGAGAAGACUUAAAAUCAGUUUCAAAGGUUUUCCAAGUAUUGUUCCUCUAAACCACUUGUAUAUUUUACCAGAACUCUUGGUUAAGAAAAUCCUAGUCCAUGGAGUAUGAUAUAUCAAUCAUGCAACAAUGACCUACAACAUCUAUGUGGAUUGAUUUUUGCAAAAUAAAGAACAAUGCUGACUGAGGAAUAAGGUGCAUACCCGAUUAGCAAUAUCUCAGCAAGUAACCAACAAUUUUUUAUCUGAUAAGAAAAAAUUACAAUUUCUUGAAUAUACAUGAAACAUUUUGCAGAAAGAACCAUGUCAUAAUUAUUAGUCCAACUGAAGAAUUAUCAAUACUUAUCACAUGAAACGAAAGAUACCCGAGUUCACUUAAUGAAAUUCUCUUUUUUUUUUCUCUAACAUUGAGAUAAGCAAAAACUUUUAACUAAAGACAAUCAUCUAGUGAUCUCAAACAAAUGAGGUUAGUAUGAAACCAUCAUAAUUUGUUCGCUCAUUGCCUAAUUUUAUUAAUGCAAGAGCCUGGAAGCAACUCAAAAAGAAAAUAACCGACAUAGGAAGUGUCAUCUCAUAUCUCACCAAUGAAUGGGAACAGCUUGAUGUGGCUGAGCAAACUGGCAGAAUUGUCAUUUUAACACACGUUCAAGAAACUCAGCAAAUUCUCAUAUCUGUUUAAAUUCCACAGCAAAGAUAGUUACAAGAAAUCUAAUCAAAAUUUAAAAUGUCAGAAGGCAAAUCUUCCAAUUAGGAUCAAAAGAAGAUAAUUAUAAUUUGUCAUUUCAAUUCUGAAUGUACAAUUUUAUUUUUUUAUGUGUGCAUUAAUUAAGAUUCUACCUUCUCUGCAAAAUUGUGAUGGACUUGGUAAAUAAUGAAUUGUAUCGACUUGAAUUUUAUACAACUUAUUGAGAUAAUAAUACGCCAAAUUCAACACCGUCCAUCCCAAAUCACAACAAGAAACUCAAACUUUUAUCCCCUCAAGUGGGUUCUUGAAACUGAAGCUUUAGUGCCAGUACAAUUUUGAAAGAUUGUGAUCAAACUAAAACAUCAAAUAAAAUAAGACGUAACAAAAACACGUCUUCAGAAAAUUAGUAUAGGAAUAAGAUAAGCUACACAGACCUACUUCAAUGAAUUAGAAAAAUUAUGAUAAACUUGAUGCAUUUCGAAAAACAACAAACAAAUAUUCCCAGGAAAACAAAAAAAAGACAACUUUGUUUAAGCUUAGACAAAAAUAACUAAGGACAUAUGAAUGCAUCAUAAUAGUAUCUCUAUGGGUAAUUUUCAGAAAUCUCCCCUAAGGUAUGGUGUAUUCUUAGUUUGAUAGAAAAUAUCUAAGUAUUCUUAUAGACCUCCCCUACUGUUAGUAUUCCAUUUCGUAUAUGUUAGGUAGAUGAGGGUAAGAUCGUAAUUUGAAUAAGUUAAUGAUAAAAAAUCCAGAAAUUUUAAGAUUUUCACAUUGGCCUCUGGGCUUUAUUCAUCUCUUUCAUCCACCAAAACCAGAAAUACAACUCACCUCUCUCCUCCACCUAAAUCGAAGCAAGGUAGCUCAAAACUCAUUUCAAAAAAUUGAUCAAUUACUUGGGUCACAAACUAGAGACAAUGACGACGAAGUUGAUGACGCCAAUAUCGACGACGAAGCUGAUGACGCCAAUAUCGACGACGAAUGAUUCGCAACUGCCAGGUAAGAGAGUAUAGUAGGUUUCGCCAUCGAACGCCCAAUCAUCCAGUUGUUUUGGAGCCGCGUUAUUUUUAUUAGCUAAAAUUAGAAUUUUUAGUGAAAAAUUGAAAGUGGGUCUCAAAAUUUUUUGAGAGCGUAUAUGUUUCUCCUGAUUUUUCGAUCGAUUCGUGUUAGUUGCAGUUAAAUGAUUAAUCCAAUUCGUGUUGAAGAUAGAGCUAACUCGAAUAUCUCUAUAGUCCUGUAAUUGAUUGAAAAUGGGUCUUGAAAAUUGUUUUAGAUUUCAGCUGUGUGCUUCUGAUUUUUUCCAUGGAUUCAUGAUAGAUGAAAAUGGUUGAUGAAGAUUUGCUUGACAUGUAUAUAGAUGGUAUUUUGUUAAAGGGGUUUUAAUUUUUUCCUUUUUUGGUGGUUUCGAUUGUGGUAUUUACAUGCCUUAGGUUGAGAAAAACGAAAAUGGUUUGUUGCACUCUUUUGUGUUGGAUCAGUGAGUUUAGGCGAUUUGAAAUGGUUUGCGGCAUUCAAUUGAUUGUUUUAUUUAUGUGGUUUGAUAUGGGAAAAGUAUAAUAAAAUUCAAUUGUUCCAUAUGUCAAUUUGGAUGUUUUGAAAUUAUGAACUACAAAAAGUUAAAAUUAAUUUCUUAUUAUAUUUUCAAUUGAAAGUUACUAUUGUCUUCUUUUUAGUACUUAGUAUGCAUUUUUCCCCAUCUUCUAGUGGUGGUGUUGCACCCAUUUUGAAUUUGAUCGGCAUCUUCUUCUGUACAUGCAUGUUUCUUGGACUCCAAUUUUUGUUUCAUAUGAUGAAGCUAAUUUAAUUCCUCCUUUUUAAUAUCAACUUUGUUCAUCUAGGUUUGCGAUUUUGAUCUUUCUCAUUUGAAGGCAAACACAUUUAUGUCAUCAAAAUUUCCAAUAUUUUUUAUUUUAUAGUAUCCAAACUGCUUAUGGCAAUAUGAAAUUGAGAAUAUUUCUUUCAUCAUGUUAACCUAAGUGGAUGGUGGAUGAUGUUUGUGUAAGAGAUUUAAGUUAUUUGUAUUAUAGAAUAUGUCUUAUGUUUUGAUUUGCAAUUUCACCAUUAAAUUGGCUUUGUAAAUGAUUAGAAGCUAAAUGCAUAAAAUGAAAACAAUAGUAACAUUUCUGAGUGGGGUAUAAUCAGAUGCUAACAUGGCGAUCCAUGACUUGUAAUUUCUAUUGUCGUUAUAAUUGGACUAGAUCGAGGUAAACUGACUUUUCUUGUUCUGUUUUUUUUUUCAUUUCUUUGUUCUAGAUUUUUCUUUCUUUGUUUUACUUCUGGUUUCUUCUUCAGCAUAUUCAAUAACUAGCAUGAGCAAAUGGAGAGGAAAAGGGUAGAAUAUGCUUUUAAAAAAAAAGAAAAGAAAAAAAGAGAUAGCUCUAAUUCAAAAAUAAGGAGGAGAAAAGGGCAAUGAUUGAAGUUGUGGAGAAGAAAUUCUUAAUGCAUAGGAGAUGACAACAAAGUGUUGCAACUGGGAGCAGUUUUAAAGUGCUAUUCGAUUGCUUUUGUAAUCAAAUUGUCUUUUGUACCUAUUUAUACACACACAUAUUUGUAUUUGUAAUUUGAAUUUUACAUUUUCUCAAGACAACUAUGUUUAUUUUAAAAAAAAUCUAAAUGUAACUAAAAUAUUAAAGUUUUUGUACUUAUUACUCCAUUUGAUGAUUUUUUUUAUUUUUUUGCUGACGAAUAUUCCAUGUCAAUUUUUUUCCCUUCAGCUCGUUUAAGGUGUUUUAUUGUCUGAUGUGAUAUUUGGUGCUCGGGAGGAAGGGUGUUUUAAGUCUUUUUUGGUGUCAGGGGCAAUUUUGUCUUUACAUCAGUCAACAAAUAGUCAAUGGAUGGAAAUGCAAACAGCAGGGGAGGUGUCUGAUAAUACACGGAUACUUUCUAUCAAACUUAUAAUACACAAAAUCUCAGGGGAGGUUUUUGAAAAUUACCCAACUGUGCAAAAUUAUGAAAAAAAUGAGCUAAACAUAUAUAGCAUUUCAGAGGAGUGCUUACUUGACAAAUCACUAAUACAAAGCUGCGAAUGGGCAUUCGGAAUGUUUUGAGAGACUCGUAUGGAUAAAAUAUGUAGUUAUUUAAGUAAUGACAGAAGGAGAAUCGUGUGGCUUGUCAAAGCCGUUAGCUCCAUCUCAUUUGCCUCGUCCUCUCGUUUUGUUUCUGUGGGGACAUAUUUGAUAUUUUGGAUUUUGUCUAAAAUUCGUCAUGUUUUUGGAUACUAACAUCUGCGCCUCUAGACCAAUAGCCAUUUGAUUAAGUGGGAGAACCCUUACACUAGUGUAAGAAUUUGAACUUUUAUAAAAUUAUUUAUGAGAUUAUUUAUAAUUUUUUUUAAUUAUCAAAUAAUUGAGUAGAGUCAGUUUAAUCCUUACGAAAUAUUUACUAUUCAUAAAUAUCUUUUUUUUUCUCUAUCUUACAAUUGAAUAUUCUCUCUCUACUCCAACAUUAUGUAACCUAAAUAUUUAAUUUCACUCUUUUUUAAUUUAUUUUUUUGUCUUUUCUUAGUAUAUUAUAAUCUUUAUUUCAUGUUUUCUAUAUAUAAGAAUUUUUUUAUAUCUAUUAAAUUUUGUGUUUAGUGAAAAUUAAUUUCUUGAUAUUUUUAAUUUUUAUAAUUGAUAAAAAUAUAUCAAUGUUCAUUUUUAAAUGAUGGGUUUUGUUCAUUUUAGUUUGUUAUAUUAAUUUUUUGUAGGUAAAAGAAUAUAUUUGAAUGAAUUGAAGGAAAAUUGUGAAAUUGAGAAGAGAAAGAGAAGAAAAAGUUAAUUAAAUAAUUUUUUCAAAAAUUAUUUAAAUAAUAAAAUUCUUAAUUAAAAACAAAGAUGGAGAGAGAAAUUUAGUGGGUUCAAAAUACUUAUUUUAAAUCCAAAAAAGAACCAAUAAAAGAAAUCAAAAGAUGAUUCUUUUCUUUCUGACAUAUUUCUCUGUACUUUUCUCUCUCUACUGAUUCACAAUUUUUCAUACUUCUAACUAUCAUUUUAUUCAAGUAUUUUGUAUUUUUAAUGACAAUUAUUUAAUUUUUAGUUAGUUUUGAUAUUGAUUAGAGAUUUAAAGUGUAUUUUAGAAGACUUCCGGUCUCUUGAAAAAAGGAAAAAUGGAGAAGAAGAAGUGUUCUUGAUUUUUUGUAGGCGUUAAAGUUAAAUGGUUUGAAAUGAUAUUCUUUUUUAAUUUCACUCAUUAAUCUCAUUCAAGAUAAAAUUAUAAAUGCAAAUAAAUGGGGUUUCAUAAGUAUUUUUAAUAGUGUUAAAAGGUCUACUCACUAAAUAAACAUGUUUAACCCAAACCAAUGCGAUUAGUAAGUUAUUGGGUUGGGUUAAUCAGGUUAAAAAUCAAAAUUAAAAAUUAAAUAAAUAAAAAAGGUAUAAAAACUAUCUGUUACUUGAAAAUAAAAAGAAUUUCUAAUUGUUAGUUCUAAUGUCCCAUAUCCAAAACAUGCAUAUUAAAUAAAUAUUAUAAGUUAGAAAUACAAUAUCCAAGAAAGAAUGAAUGAAAUACCAUAUUUUUGUUGAGAAUUAAGAGUGUGAUUUUAAUUUUGAUAUUGGAGUCUAAAGUGCCACGUUUAAAUAUUCUCUUUUAUAAAAUAAUAAAAAGAGGUUAAAAAUUAGGUUAGCAAUUUAGCCAUUUAGGGUUUAGCAAUUAAGGAUGAACAUAUUAUUGUUGUUGUUGUUAUUAUUAUUAUUAUUUAUAUGUUUACUAAUCCAAUCCAAUCCAAUUAUUAACGAAUUUGAAAAAAUUGAUUCAAUCAAGCCAUAAUAAUUCAUUCAACUCGUCUAAAUUGGAUUAGGUUGAAUUUGGUUUGCCACCCUUGUUUUGAGCAACAAACCUCAAUGUGAUUCCAUGAGCUCUUUGAUUGUUUAUAAAAUUGUUUAUGAAAGUGCAAAAUAAAUUAUUGUAUACAUUAAAAUGUGCAAAACAAUGAAUUAUAUGUACGAACGAGUGCAAACACAUUUUUCAAUAAGAAGUUAAAAGAUAUUUAUGCAUGAAAAAGCCUACGUUUGUAGUUAUUCUAAAUUUUAAAAACAAAAUUUACAUUUAGAUCCCUAAAAUUUACGUAUAAGUACAAAAGUUUCAAAUAUUGUCUAUUAUUUUUUUAACAUGCCUAUUCCUUGUGGAUAAUUCUAUCUCAUCACUAAUGUUGUUUCUUGCUUACAAUUUGUAUAGUGUCUCAAAAUAGACAAUAGGGGGAUUUUGAAUUUUUUAAGUCUCAAUAUAGUCUCUAAUCUUGUGAGAAAGAUUUUCUUUCAAUAAUUUGGAGGUAAACAUAACAUAACUUUUUGGACUAAAGCCUAACUCUGCUGGUUAUGGUGGUAUCCUUUUCAAGACCUGCGUCUUUAGAUUCGAGUUUUAUAGUGUGCAUGCGUAUUUAAUUAAUAAUUUUUUAAAACAAUACAUCAAAUAUUAAUAUCCAUGACAUAAUUUAGUUCUUAAUUUUUUUUUUAAAUACAUCAAAAACAUAAUUUUUUUAACAACUUAUAGGCAUGACAAAUUUCAAGAUAUAAAUAUCAGUCAAAAUAAGUGAAAGAAAUAAUGGUGCCAAUUCUAAUUUCUUAACUAAAUUAAUUAGUGCAUGAGCCCCGAAUACGACACGAGAGUUUGAUGGGCUAACAUGGCACAAGAACCUGAAUAAAUAAUUGAUUUAAGAAAUAAUUCAAUGAAAAAUAUAAUUGAUAAGAAUUCAGUAUUGAAAUGAGUUUUUUAUGAAACACUGAAUUAAUGAUUAUUAAGCAAGAACAAUAAAAAAUAAAUAUUAAUCAUUGAUAAGUUUCAACAAAAGCUUAACACAAUCCUCAAUCCUAAUUCAAAUUAUAAAUGUCAUUCAUAUAUUCAUUAUAAUCAACAACAAAGGUUAUAAAUGUUUAGAAAUUCUAGAGGGAAGGAAGCUAUCGCUGGGCAAUCAACAACUAAAUUUGAUGUAAUUGUGGCACGAGAUGGAAUAUGGAAACUACACCAUAAUUUCAAAUGCCGCCAUAGACAUUGACUUAUCUACAAUAACAAUGAUCUAAUUAAAAUAAAAAUAGAGUUUAUGGGCAUUUAUUAAAAUAAAAAUAGGAGUGAAGUAAAAACAUUUAGAUUUUAAUGUAUGUACGGAAAAAUUUAUCUUUAAAAAUACUUUCUUAAUGUGUGUGUGCAUAUUGAAAUACUCAAACCAAUUUUGGUUAUAUAUAAUUCAACAAAAUUUAAAAUAUGAAAAAUAUAAUGUAGUUAUAGUGGAUAAGCAAUAAGUGAGCACAAUAUAAUUAAUCAAAUACUAUGCUAUCAAAAGUUAAUUUUAGAAAUUCCAAAUCCAAUAGCUAACACAAUUCUUUAAAGAAAUAACAAGGGGCAUUGGGCAAGAGUAAUGAAUGCUUAGUGGGUGCAUUUGAUUGAUAGAUAUAUAAAGGGCCGAAACUUGAUAUUAUAUUACUUUUACAAAAUUUAAUCCAAUCACAUAUUUAAUGAAAACAAAAUGAGUUAGGAUUGUUUAUUUAGAACCCACAUUUUAAUAAGGCUUCAUUUGAUGUAGUUUUUCAAACAUUGAUUAUUUGAGUAAUUACAAAGUACAAUACGUACCAAGUUUGGUAACUUAAUUGACAUCUUCUCAUAUAACCUUCGAUCAAGUCGAUUCUGACCUGACGACUAAUUGGUACAUCACCGUUGUUCUCUAUACUCGCAUGCAUCCGAUCACAAAUCUCACUCCAAUUGUCGUCUUUCUUCGGCGUUUUAGCGCAUCCUUCUUGAAUUUCCCGCAUUUCGUUCCCUCCUGUUACAAGUCUCCGGUCAGGUCAGUUCACUUGACGAUUAAUUCGGCAAAUCUCGAAUCUCUUCUCUAUCCCUCUCGUUUUCUCGUGUCUCCUUUCAGUUUAAGUGAUUGAAUCAAUUUUAUCGCAGUCUUAAGAGAAAUUAAGUAAUGCUCUUGGAUUUAAAAUUUUUUUGCUUUCGACUUUAGAUCUCGAAAGUCAAACUCUGCUACGAAUCCAUAGAUUCUCAAUGUUUAUAAUCUUAUUUGUGUUUGACCAGGUAACUGGAUCGUGAAAUUCGUCGUUUUGUAUCAAUUCAAGCUUUCGCGAGCUCAUGGAAUCCCCUGGUGAGUUGUGGUGAAACGUUAUCGUUUCAAUUUUCGCUUAAUUCUUUAUUGCAUAUUUUUUUCUCUCUAAUAUUUCAGUUUAAUUUAGAAAAGAAAGAGGACCCAAAAAGAGAGAGAGAGAGAGAGAGACUCUACCAUACUCAAUUCCUUGCUCAUUCUGAUUUGGCCUGAAUGUUGGCAUUGACUAUUAUUUGUUUUCAUUUCGAUUUAAUUCUCAUUUAGACAGUCUUUUUUAACUAGCAAUAAUCUUUUUAAGGAAAAUGAUAAUAGGGAUUCUGCAAUAAUCUUUUUAAGGAAAAUGAUAAUAGGGAUUCUGCAAUAAUCUUUCUGCAUUGUUCAAGUUAGUAGACAAUGAAUAGGGUGUUUAUGUUUACCUCAUUUUGAACCCUGAGGGCUUCGUUGAGUAGUUGAUCCAACAUAUCCAGCACCGGUUGAUGUGAGAACAGGAUGCCAUUUAGAUAGGCUUAAACUGAUUUUGGAGGUUUGUAUUCAUUCUAUUGUAUGUCUUGCUUACAAAUUUUUUAUUUUUUAUUUUUAAUUUUGUAUAAUAUGCUCUUUGUUGGUAAAUCUCAUUUGACUUAGAAGAGAUAGUUUUAUCCCAACAGUGGGAUAAAUCAUUGAGAUGCAUGGCAGUGUGAAUAUAGUAGACAAAAUCAUUGAGACAGAUGGUGGUGUGAACAUAGUAAACUUUGUCAAACACAGCUAAGAUAAACAAAUUGUUUCAUUAGCCUUUAUCUUAUCUGCUGUGAUGAUUCAAAUUAAUGCUGUUUGGUAGGUUGCAAAAAACGAAAUGAGCUGACUGUUCAUAUUAUUUAGUCAGAUCUAUUGCAAUAAGUUGAAGUUCACUGUCACAUGGGUUGGGAGUAGCGUGGGCUGUGAGUAGUAGAAUGGAUUUAUGGAGUUGAUACAAGUGCCCAUAAUCUAUCAUGUCAUUCUAGGAUUAAAUGGAUUGCACAUUACUGUAAAGAUGGAGGUUAAAUUUAUAUAAUUCGGAUUGAUUGUAAAAUGGGAGGCAGAGAUGAGUUAGAAAAAAAAUGACCUGUGUCCUUUUUGAGCUGUUUCUAAAUCUCCCUGGUGUGCUUCAUGCUUAACACGUGUCUGUCCAAAUAAUUUUGCUUAACCUGUGCUUGUCUACUUCUUGUGCUAUUCUGUGCCUGGUCCUGAGCUGUGUUGGUAGAUUGACAUAAUUUUGCUCUGCUAAAUGUAUAACUUAUUAAUCAGAGUCCUGUUAUUAUGGUUUGACACUACUGACAUGUUGUGUUGGUAUUUAUUUGUACUUCCCUUGGUUGAAUUAUUUGCUGUCUCCAUGCCAUUCGAUAUGGUGCUACUUGGUUUUUGAUCAUCCAUGACGCUAUAUAUAUGUAAAGGAUGAAUUGAUUGUUUUGGCUUGUAUUCUCACAUUUUAUGAUUGAUCGAUGGAAAGGUCUUCAUGUAUUAAAUUCAACCUCACAAGCGUAAGAUUGACAGAUUGUGGGAAAAUUUUCAGGAAAAGAAACUAGACUUCAUGGAAGCAAUGAAGCUUGAAAUUGAACGUCUGCAGCUGCAUCUUUCUGCAGCUGAAAGGGAUAGAGCUUUAUUGUCAAUUGAAACUGAUCCUGCCUCUAUAAAUCCAAAUGUAUUGCUUGAUGAAUCUUACAUGGGAAGACUGUCGAGUAGCAACCACUCUUGCAUUACUUGGCCAAACUUCCCUAGAAGACAAAAUUGUUGGUGCAAUUGGCCUUGAGAAUAGUGAUGAUAGUGUUUUAGACUUCUGGAAUAUUACUAGAAUCGGAGAGAGUUGUUCUGGUGGCGGGUGCAAGGUUUGUGCAGAAACUAAGGUGCCUGCUCUUGCUUCCUCAACUGCAACAUCUGUUGGAGCUUCACAAUCCCCUUUGUUGUGUUCUCAAUGUGAAAGAAAAGUUUGCAAAGUUUGUUGUGCAGGAAGAGGAGCUCUACUGUUUUCAAAUUAUAAAUCAAGGGAUGUGACCAACUACAAUGGCUUCUCAAGUCAGAGUGGAUGAAGCCAUGGAAGCCAAGUUGAUGUAUCUACCAGUCGUUCACUAACACUGGAUGGCGUUAUCUGUAAACACUGCUGCCAUGAGAUUGUGCCUGAUGCAUUGAUGUUGGACCAUGUUAGGGUCUUGAUUAGCUUGCGAAGAAGUUCCUGUGCAGACAACGCAGUCAUACAAUGCUUUGAAUGAGGUUGUUGGAUCCUGCUUAAAGGAUAGUGUUUCUGAAAGGAUUCAGUCUUCCGAUAACGUGCAAGCUGCUGAAGUCCUUCACCAAUUAUGUGGUGGACAGGAAUCACUUGCUGAAUUUCCAUUUGCUAGCUGUUUGCACUAGGUAUGUUCUUGGUUUGUAUUCAGUUCUCAUCAUGUUAUGUUUUCCUUUUAAAUUUCUUUUCUUGAUUAAAAUUUUUAGAAAUAUGUUUUAGUAUUUGUUCUUAUGAUAUAUGCCCAGAACAUUCAUCCCACUUAUCCAUGAGAAUCCUUGUCUGGUUUGAUUUUCAAUUGAGACAUUUUUGGGAACCCUGAGCAGGUUCCAUAUGCUAAUAAUCUUUGAGGUAAGGUGUUGUAGGAUGCCUUGAGAAGCUAAAAACCUAUUACAAGGAAAAGCUCUUGCAUUGUUUUGUGGAAUCUGUGUUGUGAAAAUAGGUAGAGAAAAAGUUUAUGGAAUAAUUCUCUUAUUUCAUAUGUUCAUGAGACUGUACACAGUCUUUAUAUAGGGAUACAAGAGACUAAGAAAGGAAAGAAAAAAUUAAAGCAGAAUAUUACACACUGAUUUCUAGGAAGCAAUAACUCUAUAUUUACACCAAAUAUACACCUAAAUAUAUAAGGAAAACCAAAUCAAUUUGAUUUGGUCAACCUUUCAACACUCCCCCUCAAGCUGGUCUAAAAAUGUCUUUCAUGGCCAGCUUGCAAACCAAUUUCUCAAAAUGUUUCUUAGGUAGUCCCUUGGUGAGUAUAUCAGCAAUCUGCUCAUUUGUAGGAAUGUAGGGCAUGCAGACCAAACCACUGUCCAGUUUUUCUUUUAUGAAAUGUUUGUCCACUUCAACAUGUUUAGUUCGGUUGUGGAGUACUGGAUUAUGUGCUAUUGCAAUGGCAGAUUUGUUGUCACAAUAUACUUUCAUAGGUAGAGAAUUAUUUGCCUUAAGUUCUUCAAGAACUUUUUUGAUCCAAAAAACCUCACAAAUUCCUAGAGCUACUGCUCUAUAUUCUGCCUCUGCACUACUUCUUGCUACCACAGUUUGUUUCUUGCUGCGCUAAGUGACCAAAUUUCCUCCGACAAAGGUGCAGUAACCCGAAGUGGAUCUUCUAUCGGUUACACUACCAGCCCAGUCAGCAUCAGUGUAGACUUCUACUUGUAGGUGCCCGUUUUUUCUAAACAAAAGACCUUUACCCGGAGAUCCUUUUAAGUAUCUAAGGAUUCUAUAUACAGUUUCAAAGUGUUCUGGUCCUGGAGCAUGCAUAAACUGGCUGACUAAGCUCACUGCAAAGGCUAUGUCCGGGCGUGUAUGUGAAAGGUAGAUUAAUCUACCUACAAGGCGUUGGUACCGAUCUAUGUUGGUCACAUCUUCAAUAUUAGCUGGCUGUAAUUUCAUAUUAGGAUCUAUGGGUGUCUCGGCUGCUUUACAUCCGAGUAAACCUGUCUCUUCAAGCAAAUCAAGAACAUACUUGCGUUGAGACACAACAAUCCCAUCUUUUGAUCUAGCAAACUCCAUGCCCAAAAAAUACUUCAGGUUGCCUAAGUCUUUGAUUUCAAAGUCACGUGCAAGCACUUUCUUUAAUCUGCAAAUCUCAACUAAGUCAUCACCAGUCAAAAUUAUAUCAUCUACAUAUACAAUUAACACGACUAAUUUCCCUUCAAUAGAAUGUUUGUAAAACAUUGUAUGAUCUGCCUGACUUUGGGAGUAGCCGUGUCCCUUUAUAACAUUACCAAAGCGUUCAAACCAUGCUCUAGGAGACUGUUUGAGCCCAUACAAAGACUUAUGUAGUUUACACACUUUACUGUUGCCAUGAUUUCCCUCAAAACCUAGUGGUAAAUCCAUAAAGACUUCUUCUUCUAGCUCCCCAUUCAGAAAAGCAUUUUUAACAUCUAACUGGUAUAGAUUCCAAUCAGAAUGUACAGCCAAUGAGAUAAGGACCCGGAUGGAAUUUAUCUUUGCAACGGGGGCAAAAGUUUCUUGAUAAUCAAUUCCGUAGGUUUGAGUGAAUCCUUUUGCUACAAGCCUUGCCUUAUAUCUCUCAACACUCCCAUCAGCAUUACAUUUAAGUGUAAACACCCACUUUCAACCCACAGUUUUCUUUUCUUUUGGUAAAUCCACAAUCUCCCACGUACCAUUCUUCUUUAGAGCAUUCAUUUCCUCUAAAACUGCUAACUUCCAAUCUGGGUGGUCUAGGGCUUCUUUUAUGGUUUUAGGAAUUGGUAUUUGAGAGAUUUUUGUGGUAAAGGCUCUUUGUUUAUUGGACAACUUUUCAUAGGAAACAUAUCUAGCAAUGGGGUGCUUAGUACAGGUUCGGGUUCCUUUCCUAUGUGCUAUGGGUAAGUCAAGAUCAGGAAAAAAAGUGCUGAAAUGUUUAGGAGAAGAAAUGUUACCUGAAUUUUCUGAGGAAUCAGUGCUUGGAGGCAACGAUUGAGGCUGUAUCGAGUUUAUGAGAGGGUCUUUACUGUUGUGAUGAUACUUUCGAGUAUAAACACGCAGCUCUGGUGGUGGAAUUUUAUCUUGUAGUAUUUCUCCCCCUGUCUCUGGUACAUUAACACUUGGUUCCUGUAGUUCAAGGUUUCCUAGGUUUUCAUUAUUAGAAAUAUCAGUUUUUUGAGUUUGAGUUGGAGUGCCCAGAUCAGGUAAAAACUGAUUAGGCAUAGGUGUAGAAGUAUGCCAAAAAUGAUCUUCACUAUUUUCUUUCUCCCCCUGAAGAGAAUUUUGGCCAAAAAAAGGUUGAUUUUCGAGAAAUAUAACAUCCAUACUGACAUGGAAUUUCUUUGUUUGAGGAUUGAAACAUUUGUAACCUUUUUUAUUAGGUGCAUAGCCCAAGAAAACACAUUUUUCAGAUCUAGGAUCCAAUUUAGAUCUAAGAUGGUUAGGAACAUGAACAAAUACAGUGCACCCAAAGACUCUUAACUGAAUAUUGGAGGUAAUCCUACUAGAAGGAUAUAUAAGUGUGAAGUAUUCUAAAGGUGAUUGAUACUUUAAAACACGGGUAGGCAUCCUAUUAAUCAAAUAACAUGCUGUUAAAACAGCAUCACCCCACAAAUAUUUAGGAACAUGCAUAGAGAGCAUGAUAGCCGACUAACUUCAAGUAAAUGGCGGUUUUUUCGUUCCGCAAUUCCAUUUUGUUGUGGAGUAUCACGACAAGUGGAUGUGUGAAUUAUACCCUUUUCCUUACAAAACACCUCUAGAUAAUUAUUAAAAUAUUCAGUACCAUUAUCUGUAUGGAGUAGACUUAUUUUUGUUUGAAAUUGAUUUUCAACCAUGUUAUAAAAAUCUUUGAAUAACCCCUCAACUUCAGAUUUUUCUCUCAUUAAAUAAACCCAACAAAGCCGAGUAUGAUCAUCUAUGAAUGUUACAAACCAUUUUUUUCCAGUUAAAGUGUUGAUUUUUGAGGGUCCCCAAACAUCACUAUGAAUUAAAUAAAAAGGUUUUGAGGCACGAUAAAUAAGUGCUUUAUAUGAAACUCGAUGACUUUUAGAUAAAAAACAACUUUCACACUGAAAAGUAGUACAAUCAACAUUUUUAAAUAAAUUUGGAAACAAAUAUUUCAAAUAAGGAAAGCUAGGGUGUCCUAGUCUAAGGUGCCAAAGCAUUAUUUGAUCCCUAGCAGAGUUUGAACUAAUACUACUGCUCAAACCUUGAGUUUGUUUAUUCCUUGAUAAGUAGUCAUCAAAAUAGUAAAGACCUUCUCGCAAACUAGCACUGCCAAUCAUCGUCCCCAAGUCCCUGUCCUGAAAUUCACAAUGGGAGUCAAAAAAGACAGCACAACAAUUAGAAUCUUUGGUUAAUUUACUGACAGAUAACAGAUUGCAAGAAAGUUUAGGGACAUGUAGCACAUUUUUAAGCUCAAUGGUUCCAGAGAUUUUUAUUGAUCCUUUUCCAGCUAUGGAAGAUAAGCUUCCAUCAGCAACUCUUACCUUUUUGUUACCAGGGCAAGGAUAAUAGGAAUCAAAUAAACUAGAAAUGCUAGUCAUAUGAUCAGAAGCACCCGAAUCAAUAAUCCAUGGUGCAGUAGUUGAGUGGCUAAAUAGAGCAUUAAUAAUACUACCUGUUUGGGCUAGUGAACCACUAGGAGUACUAGGUGGAGGAUUAGAAGUCAGCAGCUUUAUGAGAUGGUCAAUUUGCUCCUUGCUGAGAUUUUUUUCUAGAUUCUCCACUUCAUUGGCAGACGCACGGCUAUGCUUGCUGUUUUUCCAAUCUGCAGGCUUUCCGUGGAGUUUCCAGCAAGCCUCCCGAGUAUGGCGUGGUUUAUUACAGUAAUCACACCAUACUCGAGGUUUUUGUUGCUGUUGAGUGAUGGAGCGGGUAGCAUUAUCUGCUGUAACAAGGGCAGAUUUUUCCACAGAGACAACGGAGUUCUUUUUUCCCAACAUAACACCUCGACGACUUUCUUCUCUCCUUACUUAAGAGAAAACAUCCUCAAGAGUAGGAAGUGGCUUUCUCCCAAUAAUUCUUCCUCUUACCUCAUCAAAUUCAACAUUGAGCCCAGCCAGGAACUUGAAGAUUCGCUCAUUAUUGACAGUUUGUUUGUGGUGUUUAAAAUCUUCCAUGCUCUCCCACUCGUAGUCGUUGAAUAAGUCCAGAUCUUGCCACAAUCUCUUUAGAGUAUUGAAGUAUUUUGUUAUACUAUAAUCUCCUUGACGGAUAUCUCCAAGAGCAAGCUGCAACUCAUAGAUCUGGGACUGAUUUCCAUAGUCAGAGUACAUCUGACUCACAUUAUCCCAGAGUUCUUUUGCAGUAGAGUAGCACAUAUAAUUUGCACCAAUGUCUUCAUCCAUGGAGUUGACUAACCAUGCCAUAAUCAUGGAGUUUUCGGCAUCCCAAACACCAUAAGAGGGAUCAGAUAUUUCAGGAGCCUUAACAUCUCCGGUAAGAUAACCAAUCUUCCCUCUUCCCCUAAUAUACAUUCUAACCGACUGAGACCAUCUUUGAAAAUUUCCUUCAUUCAGCCGGAUAGUUGUAAUCUGGACAGAAUGAGAUUCAGAAUGGGAAAUUUUUGGUUCUAGUCUUUUUGAGGUGACUGUGGUUUCAGAAGAUUGGUCAGACAUGGUAGGGAAGAGAUCAGAAAGAAAGGGAGCCUAGCUCUGAUACCAUGUGAAAAUAGGUAGAGAAAAAGUUUAUGGAAUAAUUCUCUUAUUUCAUAUGUUCAUGAGACUGUACACAGUCUUUAUAUAGGGAUACAAGAGACUAAGAAAGGAAAGAAAAAAUUAAAGCAGAAUAUUACACAUUGAUUUUUAGGAAGCAAUAACUCUAUAUUUACACCAAAUAUACACCUAAAUAUAUAAGGAAAACCAAAUCAAUUUGAUUUGGUCAACCUUUCAACAUGUGUGCUAGCAAGUCAUGUCUCUAAUAAUUUCAUAGUUUGCUUGAUUGGAAUUUUUUAUCUUGAUAUGGAUUGUUUAUUCUAGAUUCCUUGGUGCUGUAGGUUGAAACAGCAAAAGAUUCAGCACCGAUUUUGUCACUGCUUGCUCCAUUAAAUUCUGGAUCAAGGCACUCAUAUUGGAGAGCUCCACCUUGUACUACUUCUGUUGAAUUUGUUAUUGUUCUCUGUUCUGUUUCUGAUGUCAGUGGGGUUAUCUUGCUUGUUAGUCCUUGCGGCUAUUCUGUGGGUGACACUCCGAUGGUAAGUGCCAUAUUUAUUCCCUUAUUUCCUUGUUGUUCAAUAAAUUUGGUGAUAAGCCAAGUGGCCUUAAUAAUGAAGCCCAGUACCAGGGGUGGUGGGUAAUCGAUAUUCAACUUGUGAAUAUUCCUAAGCAAGCACUGAAUCAACAUAGACCUCGGCAAAAGUUCUCCAUGCUAUUAUAACGAAAGUCAUAUUUUGAAAUGAUUAAAAGAGUCCCUGUGUAGUGCUAUUUCCAAAGAAAUUGCAGCUGGAGGUUUAGUUUCAUGUAGGUUAGUUUCCGAUAAUAAACUUUCCAUUUCAUUAAUUGCUGAUGAAAAAACCAAGUAAGAACAGUUUUGUUGCUCGUCAUUUAUGUAUAUUUUGGUAAACUGUAAUUUUAAAUUCUCAACGAUCUUCCCUUUGUAGGUAAGAAGAUGGUCCACUCACUUGAUAUUUAUGAUUGUAGAUCAGGUUUCUAUUGGUUUGCCUUUAUCAUUCGGAACCCAAGUUUGAUAUUAACAGAGAUCACGUCAAUAAUAUCCUAUUUGGGUAGAUGUGGGUGAGGAUUUAAAAUCAAAUUUGAAAUUGAGGGCAAAGAAGAGAAAAGAAACCGCAAUAAUUAAACAAAAUAUUAGGAACUAUUCUGAUGAGUUUUAAUCUCGAGAGGAACAAUUUUCAAAUGCAAAAUUUAACUGCUAGAGAAAUUGUAGCUUUUUGUCAUUAGUUAAGAGGAAAGAGAAUAAGAACUAUCUGGCCCUUUCCUUCAUGAAUGUGUGUUGAGGUUGCUGUAUUAUUUAGUCAGUAUUUGUAAUUUUCUUCCCUGCAGUGCUCUCUGCCUCCUGAAUUUGCUACUGAGUCCAUAUUUUUCUUUGAGCUGUUGCUUCCUAUUGCUGUUACAGGUACAAAUCUGGGCAAGCAAUAAGAUACACCGGGAGGACAGGUCAUCAAUGGGAAAAUGGGAUGUCCAAUCCCUCAUCACAUCUUCUUCAGAUUUGUAUGGUCCAGAAAAGUCUGCUAGUGUUGAAAAAUUACCUAGGCAUGUAAAAUUUACUUUUAAGAAUCCUGUUAGGUGCCGCAUUGUUUGGAUCACAUUACGUCUUCAGAGACCUGGUUCGGCUUCAGUUAAUUUCGGGAAUGACUUCAGUCUUUUGUCUCUUGAUGAAGAUGAAAACCCCUUUGCACAAGUAGACAGACGUGCUUCAUUUGGAGGAGCAGUUGAAAAUGAACCAUGUAUUCAUGCCAAAAGAAUUCUUGUAGUCGGAAGCCCAGUAAAAAGGGAGGGGCUUACCACAUCACAGAGCUCUGAGCAGCUAAGUAUUAGAAACUGGUUGGAUAGAGCUCCACAAAUGAGUAGAUUCAAGGUAUUAGUUGCUUUCACUCUUUGUUCAUUCAUAAUUCCAGCUUUCUGCUUGAUGCCUUGCCUCUGAUAAACCUCUUUUUUCUCUUCAGGUCCCAAUUGAGGCCGAGAGAUUGAUGGACUACGAUCUCGUCUUGGAACAGUAUCUACCUCCAGCGUCACCUUCGCUUGCCGGAUUCCGUCUAGAUGCUUUCAGUGCAAUAAAACCUAGGGUUACCCAUUCACCUUCCUCAGAUUCAGAUAUCUGGGACAAAUCAGUAACAUUUUUAGAAGACAGGUACAUCUCUCAAGCUGUGUUGUAUUUACAAGUAUCCGCACUCCAGGAACCACAUAACAUGGUAACUAUUGCGGAAUAUCGACUGCCGGAGGCUAGAGCCGGAACGCCAAUGUACUUUGAUUUCCCACGACCGAUACAGUCCCGACGAGUUUCAUUCAAGCUUCUUGGAGAUGUUACAGCAUUUGCAGAUGAACCUUCAGAACAAGAUGAUUCAGGAUUGAGAGCUCCACUUGUGGCCACAGGUUUGUCUUUGUCAAACAGAAUCAAGUUAUAUUAUUAUUGUGAUCCUUAUGAGCUCGGAAAAUGGGCAAGCCUUUCUGGAGUUUGAUCGUUAUUUAUAUGUCAGAGAAAGGGUUUUGGGUUUGAUUUUGAUUUUGAUUUGUAAUUUUUGUCAGUUUAUUGAAAUUUUUUGUUGUAUAAAAGCAGAAUGUAAAGGUAUAAAAAUUCAUUGAUGCUGCAAUGUCUGUGCUUUUGAGAAAGAAAGAAUUCUAUGGCUUUUCUAUGCCAUUGGAUUUUCCACUGCCUGUAAACUUGGGCUGUCGAAUGCUCUGUGAACCUUAAGGGCUAUAAAGUAAUUUUCAAGACUGAAGGAUUUAUUAAUCGAGUUCAAAAGAUUGCAAGUUGGUGAGCGUUGGCAUUUAAAAAAUCAAUUGUUAUUCUCUCAAUAAUCUCUGUCUUCUGCCGACACCCCAUGCUCAGAAACCCAUUGUUCCGACGGACGUGUAACACUUCUAGAAAUUGUUUUGAUCUCUCCUCGUGAAGUGUUUUCUUUUUCGAGUGAAGGUGGUUUUCUACUUGCAUACGUCGGGGGUCUUAUGAUAUGUAAUGUGUGAAAUUUCUUUCUCAUUUUACCAUAAAGAAAAAUGUUGUAAUAAUCUAAAGCUCGAGUCUUAAAUUAUCUUAAAUUUAUAUUUAGAGUGGAGCUAUUCGCAAUCCUACAUUAAAAUUACAAAUAAAAAUAAUUGAAAAUUAAACACUUAUAGAUUUUUUUUACAACAAAUUAUUUAAUUCAUAAUCAAUCCUUUAAAAAAAAAAAUCCAUAUGUUACUUGCUAUCUAACUAAAAUAAAUUUUACAAAUUUAGAAUAAUCUAUUGAUUUCUUUUGAUUUCUUAUUAAUUAAAUAUUUUUAUACAUAAAAUUGCUUUGAAAUUAUAAUUUGAAAUAUGUGUUAUUUCAGCCAAUGAUUAACACUAAAAAACUUAUCACCCAUAUAACUUUUUAAUUUGUGUGUAGGGUAAUAAUAAAAUCAAAAAUAAUUAAAAAAAUAGUACAAUAAUGAGUUUUAACAAUAAAACAAAUCAAAUGAAAAUUGAAAAUUUAGAAAAAAUGUAUCUAAAAAAGGGAACGUUUUUUAAAAUAAAAUGAAUAUAACUAAAAAGGGGUUUUAUGAGAAGAGCAGAGGGGUGCCAAUAGUCCAACUUGUAAUUAAGAAUCUCCCAUUAUAUUGUCAACCAAAAAGACACUUGAAUAAGAAGAAGAAUUUAUCAGUUUGAUUUUAUUUAUAGAUCCAACAUUUCUCAUAUCCUAAACGCCUUUCCGUAUCAAAUUAAAACAGUAGUCGCAAAAUCGUAGUAUUAAAAUCGUAGUGCACAUUCAAUUAACCAACUAAUAGUCUUUGGUAUAAGAUUUUAUAUUAGCUAGCCAAGUAGGUUGUCCAUCCCACUCAGACAUGAACGAAAGCUAAAUUCAUCAAAUGGUGUUAUACUAUUAAAUAUUUUUAUAUUUAAAAUUACUUUGAAAUUAUAAUUUCAAAUUAAAAUAGUAGUAGCAAAAUCGUAGUGCACAUUCAAUUAACCAACUAAUAGUCUAAGAAGCAAAGAGAGGAUUACAAGUUCACAACACCAUUACAAAGGAUUCAAAAUUCCCACACGAAAACAUCAAUGUACAGAUUAUAAACAAUCCGAAUUGGACACAAGAAAAAGCCCUUCAAUGGAUUGCUUUCCUUCCCAAUGCUAUAUACUGUGCAAACUCCGCACUGGCCAAGAAAAUGUUUUCAAUUUAGUGUAUUUUCAAAUUGCUUAUUUUCUCAUAAUAUAAAAAAUAAAAAAGAAUCCUUACAUGUUUCAUCAGCAUGAUUAAAAUCAAAGAAGAAAGCGAAGACGUAAUGUCUCUGACAUAAUAAAAUUACAAAAAUUUCAAGGAAAAAAAAAAGGUUAAAACAUGUAAUCUUCAGAAGCAUAUAAUAAAAGAACACUUCCACAAAUUACUACAAUUUCAUGCAGUAGAGAUUGAAGAGUUGAAUUCCACUAAUUUUAAUAAUGAAAACAACAACAGAGGAUUAACUGAUGCUUUGACUUAUUAGCAGGUUGCUUUGACUUAUUAGUUCUGCAGCUAAGUUAAAUAAAAUAAGCUAUUUUCAAAAGCAAAAUGGAAUACAUAGAUAAAAACAUCAUCUUAAACAAAUCACAAUCUAGAAUUAGAGCAUUUUCGACAUACCUAAGGAACACGAAUACGUGAAAACGGGUGAUUUAUUUGUUAAGGAGUGUUGAUUUGGUCGUCUCUGCAAAUUCUUUAGGGACUCGGUUCCAAUUCCUCUUCAUCAAAACUGUAAUAUAAUUCCCCUUCAUCAGAACUCGAAUCGAUGCAAUAUAAUUCCCCUUCAUCAGAACUCGAAUCAAAUUCACUUGCAGCAGUUCCACUCGCGCUUGGCAAAUCAUCCAAUUUCCAAACUUCGGUAACAAAAUUGAGAGUAAAAGUGUUGGCUUUGAUCUCGCUGGGAUUUGCAUAUACUGGACAUACUCCGCAACGUUUUAUCUUCUGACCCUUUUGGACCUUUAUUAUGUUUCGGUGACACUCAUUGAAGAACUUAAAUGUGGCAGUUGAAUGAUGGUCACCAUCAGGAAAGCCAACAUUCAAGCAAGGUUUAAAACCAAGUAUGACAUGAUCUGAAUCAUGGGGGUCUUGAAUUGAGUGCAAAUUGUAACCCAGAUGAACAUGUUUGGUUUCAGAGAGAGUCUUUAUUUCUAAGUCGGAUCGACAGUAAACGUAAAAAUAACGAAAACGAUCAGAAUAAAGUUGCUUAAAAUCAAGAACAGCACAAAAAGCAAACCCGAUUAAGUUUCUGCAAAAAGAGUGCGGUGGCAGUUGAAUACGUAUCGAAGAUCCUGAACUUUGAUUGCUGAACCAGUCAGGAAUUUCGCUCCCAGGUAAAACAAUUUGGGAUCCCCUGAGUUCAGAAAGUUUCUGCGAAACGACAUUUAAAAAAAGAAAAUUGUAAAAUGAAAACCAUGAUUUCAGAUAUAACAAAGAGGGACAGAGUAAACAAGAGAGGGAAUUUGAUACCUCGUUGUAUGCAUUUUCAUAGCCCAGUCUCAGUGAUGCUGCAAUUGCCAUACGUAGUGAAUCUGCCAAAAUCUUGUUGUUUGCUUUUCCAUCAAGUUUCAAGCAGUUAGUAAACUCAAAACAAAUUGGUUGUGGCGUCACAUAUUCCGGAUGCCAUUCACGAAGGUCAGGAGAGGGUUUGGAUAGCUUUUCGAGUACGGAUGCAUCUAGUUCUUGUACACAUGACGGAAUCUCUGGCAAAGAUUGAAGCCGGUUGCAGUUCAUUGCUUUUAGUGACUGUAGACACAAUGGAAGUUCUGGUAAUGACCGAAGCAUGUUACAAUCCUCCAAGUGAAGAGUUUCUAGACCCAAUGGAAGUGCUGGUAAUGACUGAAGCAUGUUACAACGCCUCAAGUAAAGAGAUUUUAGACACAAUGGAAGUUCUGGUAAUGACUGAAGUAUCUUACAAUCCCUCAAUUCAAGAUAUUUUAGACACAAUGGAAGUUCUGGUAAUGACUGAAGCAUAUUACAAUCCUCCAAGUUAAGAUAACUUAGCCACGACAGUUGCUUGAUACUUGCAGGUAAACUCUCAAAGUUAUUUCCACUUAAAUUGCCAAUGUUAUCCGGCAACUUGUCAAGUAUAGAGCAACCACUUACGGACAAAAAUGAAAGCCCCGGUAGAUUUUCAAAUGGCGAUGGCAGCUCUGUAAUUGCCGUCCAGACUAAAUAGAUGCAAUUUAAAUGUUCCAUUUUCUCCAAGAUUUCUGGGAAACGCUCAAGGUUCAAGCAGCCAAAAAGAAAAAGAUCAACCAAAGAUCUCAAUUUACAGAACCUAGUUGAAAUCCUCUUCAGCCGUUUGCAAUGCCCCAAAUCCAACACUUCAAGAUCAGUUAGGCACUCUAUUGAUGAUGGAACUUCUUCUAUUGCAGACUGGCCUAAGGAUAGCUCUGUGAUUUUCCCAGAAAUCCGUGGAAACUCUUUGAGAUUAACACAAUAGGAGAAAUUAAUAGUUACUGGACAAACAAAAUGAAGAUUGCUUGGAAAAGACCUAAGACUUUUGCAGCCCUCAAAAGACAACGCACUGAGAUACUUGAAAUUCUGGAUAGAUGAGGGAACACAAGCCAAGUUUGUAUAAUCCAAAAGAUUUGUUUCAACAUUUGGGGUUUCUAAUGGGCCUGGCAUCUUAAUGAAAUGUCGAGAAUGAUUGAGGUUAAUAGAUUUUAACUUGAAAGCUUCCUGCAAUAACAGAUAUAUAAAGACUAUAUUAAUUAAAAAGCAACAUUGAAUUCAACAAUUAAUUGCACGUAUGUUUAAAGAAAGAAAAAAAUUAAUGUUUUAGUUUUAGUACAAAACUUACCUUUUCUCCUUCCCAAAGUUGCUCAACUUUACUAAAACGCAAAUUCAGUUCAACAAGGUUCAUUGGCUUGAAAUUUGAUGGCAGUGUCCUUAAUGGAUAUGUGUCCCAAUGAAGAUAUCUCAAUUUUUUAGGAAGAUAAUCUAGGCCAUUUGGAAGCUGCACUUUAGAGUAUGAAAGUUGCUCUUCAAUGCUCAUACUUAGAAACCUUUCAAUCUCAGGUACAUAAAAUUUGAGCAAUCUUAGAUUAGACAUUUUUGUGAAGGCUCCUGGGUCUAAAUUGAUGCCUUUUAUUUUGGACAAAUCCAGAAAUAUGCCUUCAAUUGCAUCGGUCCCCUUAUUAAAAAAAAAAAAAACAAAGAAUGAGUAACCCUAAAACAGAAAAGAAACAUUCGUAAACUUUAUUAACUAAGAGCUUCUUAAACAAAAACAAAUUCUGCAAUCUUUGAUUUUAUUUUUUUAAUAUAUUAAAUAUCUAUAUACGAGAAAAGAAAAUUUUGGGGACCAUUGCAAAAUUAAACUAACCGAAAAAAAAUUCAAAAUUUCUCUAAUUUACAAACCUGUUAUCUUAAUAACUAGAAGUUGAGAAGACAAGGCCUAUUUGAUUGGUAUAAGAUUUCGAUUUGUUUUUUAGUCCAUAGAAUCCAAAAUGUUAGUUCAAAAUUAGGGAAAAAAAAUGAAAGUUAUUUUUUUUCCACUAGUUGUAAUUGUUUCCAAGUCAAAUUGAGAUACGACCCUUUUCGAAAGGAUUUAAUCAUCUUAUAGCCUCCUUAAGAUACAUUUAAGCUAAAAGGAGUGAUUGGAGGCAGAACUAGGUGGGCCAAUCAGUCCCUUUUAUUAGUGACUGUUGCUUAAAAAAAAUUAUACUCUAAAACACACUUACUUUUUUGAAAAAAAAUAUAAUUAUAUUGAAGUAGAACCAGGUGGGCCAAUCCUCAUGGCACUCACUUUGUUCUGACACUCUUCACUAAAUUUGAAGAAAAAUAAAAUUAUACUCUUCACACUCUUAUUCAACAUUCCAAAAUUGAUAAAAUCUAGAGUUUUCUUUAAAAAUUUAAAAUUUGAAGACUUGUUCUCUUGACAUCCUCAGUCAUUAAUUUCACCUAAUUAUGGUUUUUAUGAUUUUGGUUGUUUUGUUCAUAAAACAAUUUUACUAAAGGAUGUUCUCGUAAUAAUAAAAAUUAUAAAAAAAACAUGGGUGUGCUGGUAUGGUUGGGAAAAUACGAGUACAGAACUCCAAACAAAUAAAAGAUUUAUAUAAAAAAAAAUGGAGGAUUCUUACCAUAUUAUGCUUUAGUACGCGGCGGAUUUCCUUAGGAUCCCACAACCUACUACGUCUGCCUGGCACUUCCUCAGAUUCUUGGCGAACAGUCUCUUGGCCCAUUUCUUGCAAUAAAUCAUGCAUUUGCAAGCGGUUAUCUGACACAGUUAUGAGUGACUUGUCGACGAGGACAUCCAGUCUGUGAGACCCAGAAUCAUCAAGUAUCCUUAACACAAAAUCUUUAUCCUCUCCCUCAAGGAAACACGCAAUAUCUAGAAACAUACUCUUCACCCUGGGCGUUAAUUCUUUAAAACUAAUCUUUAAUGUAUCAUAAAUACCAUGAAUAUCAGAUUCACAAAUCCGAUUUAAGUCGUGCAAUACAUUUUCCCAAUGGCUUUUCCUCUUGAGAUACAGGGAGGAACCCAACACUUUAAGAACUAAUGGAUUGCCAUCAGCAUACUCUACAACUCUCCACGAGUCACGUUUGAAAUCUUCAGGACGAUGCUUUUCUUUAAAAGCGAAGUUACAAAAGUGCUCGAAAGCCUCAUCAAAUUUCAAUCCAUUGACCCUAUAUAUUUUCUCCACUCCAAAUUUUUCGAGGACUCGUUUAUCCCUGGUGGUUACAACAAUUCUACUUCCUGGACCAUAUUGAUCAAGCCCUCCAAUCAAACCCUCUAAUUGUUCAUCUUUAUUCACAUCAUCGAGUACAAUCAACACCUUCAUGCGUCGGACCCUCCCUUUAGUAAAUUGUGGAAUAUUGGGACCAGCUACUUCAAGUUUUUCACUUAAUAUUGUCGAAAGCAUUUCCUUUUGUAGGUCUUCUAGGCCACCCUCUGUUUCUGAUUUUCUCCUAACAUUUUUUGCAAAGUAUUUACCAUCAAACUCACCAGCGAAUUGAUCGAAAAUAGCUUCAGCAAGGGUAGUUUUGCCUAUACCGCCCAUACCCCAAAUUCCAACAAUUUGGACAGUAUCCGACAAAUCCAUACACAAAAAUGGUUUAAUCUGCUCAAUUCGUGAAUUUAAUCCAACUAGGCCGUUGGAUGAGUCCGUUGAGACUGUUAUUUUUUCCAACUUCUUCAAAACAUCUUCGACAAUUUUGUUUACAAGUUGCGCAUCAAGCCUAAUAUGAAGGUGCAAAGAUGCAAAAACAUUGAGUCAAAUCGGGCCAAGACAGAAACAGAGAAAAGAUGAAUUAGGAAAGAGAGUUACCUGAAUUUCGUGGAUUCAUGGCCGGCUAGAUGGGAUGUUUCUGUCAGUGCAUCCCUCCACUUCUGAACCAUUUCUUGUUUAUCUUUGAACUGUUUUUUGAGCUCAUCAAAACGGUCUCCAAAUGUUCCGUUUUGAUGCCGCACAUCAGAUGGACUUACUCCAUAGAAGAAUGGAAUAAUAAUUUGGCCGUUUGUGUUCUUGCAUUCAAGAAUCUUGACAAGUUCAUUCAGGCACCAUUUUGAAGAAGCGUAGUCCUUCGAGAAAAUGACCACCGAAAUUUUUGAACCUUGGAUUGCGUUCAAAAGGGCGGGUGAAAUCUCAUCUCCUCGCCUAAGCCCUUCAUCAUCAAUAAAUGUUUUGAUUUUCUUUCCUUCAUACAAUUUAUCAUAGAGAUAGCAAGUAAAGCUCUUACGAGUGUCCUCCCCUCUAAAGUUGAGGAAGACUUCAUAAUUGGCACAAGAAGAAGAGGAAGCCAUGAAGGAAAUUUUAGAAAAUUGGUGACAGAAACAGAGAAUUAAUCUUGAGAGUUGAGAGAGGAGAUGUAAGAAUGAACAUGUGCGAAGAUUCUUGCGAGUACAUAGUAAAUAAUUGAAUGGCUGGAGCUUUCUUAGUUUCCUGGAAAUUUCCUGGAGCUUUCGUAUACAUGAUUUGUCAAGUCAUGAAACAUAAUCAUGAUAAUGGGGCAGACCGAAAAGAAAAGCAACAAUUCAAAUAUUUGAUUCAACCAGUAUAAAAAGGAAGGAAAAGCAAAGAAAGGAAAUGUUGAAAGUAGAGUUAGGGAAUUAUAAAAAGCUGAAGGAAAUUGGAAUUUUGUACAAUUUCUCCAGCGAGGAACUUUCACAGUCGUUACCUCAUUGUUACAGUUUAGAUUAAGAUUUGAGGGUGCAAGCAUUUACCUAGAUUUUACCUCCGCACUAAAUUCUUAAGUUUGAAAAAUUAUGAGACCUUUAUAUUGGAAGAUAUUAUAAUCGAAUCAAAACUUAAAAUUUUAAUAUUGUUAAUCUUUAAUCUUUAAAAAAAAUUACCUUGCCGUUACAAUUUGGAUUAAGAUUUGAAUAAGCAUUUACCUAAAUUUUAUCUCCGCCUGUAAAUUCUUAUGUUUUAAAAAUUAUGAGACCUUUAUAUUGGGAGAUAUUAUAAUCGAAUCAAAAUUUUGAAUUUCAAUAUUAUUAUUCUUUUAAAAAAAAUUUGAGAUAACAGAGUGAUUGAUAAUAGAGAACUUGUCUAGGCAAACACAUGCAUACACAAAAAUGUGAUGGAUUCAAAAAGAAAUUAAAGUGAUAAUGUACGUGGAUCCUUAAAACAAAAAGCGAAAUCGCUUGGUGGCCCAGUAAAAUUAAGACUGAAUAUUUUUUACACGAGAAGUGUAGCUCAUAAAUGGCAAAAGCCAUUUCAUUUCACUUUUACGCGUCAUUGACUUUUGUAACAUGGUGCAUGCAUCGUCAAGUGAGGCAAAAGGGUUUCGAUUACAGUGGGAAAACAUGAACAAGAAUGCAUAAUGAAUAAUUCCUUUGAUAAAGCGAAAAUUAAACACAGAAUAAUCCUAAAAUUUAAACUCUAAUAUCUUAUAAUUUAAUGAUUAAAAAUAAUCCUAAGAGUUCCCAAUUGAAACUUUCAGAGAUAAUAGAAAAUAGCUAUGCUUUAAAAGGCCAAAGAUUAGAGAACAAAGAAGAAUUAGGUAUUGAUAUAAAAAUUAUUAAUUUUUUUGAUUUCAAGCAAAAAUAGUUUCAUAUACCAUUUCGAUUUUGGUAGGGGUGAGGUUUUGAACUUCAAUAGUUUCCUCUAAAAUCAAAAGGUAGUAAUUAAGUUAGAAAGAGCAAAGAAGACUUAUCGGUACCUUAUUGAAGGUAAACAUUAUGGAACUUUCAAUGUCAUUACCCCACUGUUUAAUUUUUAUUGAGAUUUGUGCAAGCAUUUACCUAAAUCUUACCUCUGCCUGUAAAUUCAUAAGUUUUGAAAAUUAUGAGACCUUAUAUCGGGAGAUAUUAUAAUCGAACUAAAACUUAAAAUUUCUUUUCUUUUUUUUUUUUUUUAUCAUAAAAGGGCUCUUAAGAGAGCUAAGGCAACACUAAAUGGGAGUGUGCAACCCCAUGAACAUCAUUAAUCAAUAUGUUUAGCGUAUUUGGAGGAAUAGAUUGAAAGCAAUGUAAACCCAAAGGAAAAGAAAAGCUGUACGAAGUAAGGAAAUCUGCUGCUACAUUGGUUUCUUGGUAGAUAUGAUCCACUUUGAUCAGCCAAUCACGCCGAAGGAGUUCUUCGAUGGCCUGAAUGAGAGUAAAAUGCUCAUUGACGGGAGGGUUUGAGUUAGAGAUUAACUUCAUAACACACAUGCUGUCCACUUCCACGUAAAACUUAAAAUUUCAAUAUUAUUAUUCUUUAAAAAAAAAUUGAGAUAUCAGAGUAAUAUCACAUAGAAAAACUUGCCCACGGACGGUAAGCCAAAAGUCUAGUCAACCACAUGCAUAAAGCUAAGUAGAACAAGAGAACAGAGAAACGCGUGGGUCCCUAAAGAAAAGGCAAGCACAUAAAUGAAAAAGCCAUUACAUAUCUAUUAACACGGUGUGGCAGCAUAUGCACAAUCAAGUGAGGCAAAAGGGAUUCGAUUAUCGUGGCAGAACAUGGACGAGGACGCGUGAUGAAUAAUUCCUUCGUUAAAACCAAAAACAAACGCAGAGAAAACAAUUUCUUAUAUGACAAGAAAUCAAAGUAAUGUGAAGGAACAUGAUGAAGAAAUUGCAGACUGAUCAAUUAUCCCCAUGGACUCCUAUAAAUUCAACCAAAAUAACAAUUCGAAUCUUACCAAAUUCUUGAGUUAAAUUUAUUCAAUGCUUUUAUUUUUUUAGAAAAUUUUUUUCCAAUGCUACUUUUCCUUUUUUGGGGAAAUUAGAACCGCGGCAUGUAUAGAAAACAUUGAGGUGUAAAGCAACAUUAAUUUCAUGGGAUAUGCGUUAUACGCAUAAUAUAUUUUCAGUCCAAAUUCAACUAUACAAAGAGGCUUGAGAACUUAAAAUUAAGCACAAACUAAACAGACGAAGUAAAUACAUGAUUAUGCAACAUAACAUUAAUUCUCUCAAUUGAUAACUGUUUUUGCUACAUGAAUCUUGCACAGUUAAUCCUAAUUGAAGACUAAAAAAGAGCAAUUGGAAGAAGGUUUUGGAAUAGAAUGGUAUACAAUCGAUAUGAUCCUUUUCCAGUAGUCAACGCUAAUUAACUGCAGUUUCUAGACUCCUAAUUAUACUAGCCAUAGCAAACUAUUUAGAAAACUGGUGAUCAAAUUAGAUUUUGAAAGGAAAUAAUGUUCAUUUUCCCUUCGCUGCCUUUUCUUUUCUUUUCUUUUUAUAGCAAAGAAUUAUAUCAUGAAAAGAAUCAAUUUAAUCACCUUUUCCAGCAGCCCAAUUUUUCUUUUAUAAAAUUUGACCACGGAGACAAAGAAGAAUUAUUCAUAACUUCAUCACUAAGGAAAUACUUUUCGGUAUGGCUAGGGUGAGAAAAUGCUUUCCACUAACACUUGUACUUUGUAUUCUUGUAAAUUUUCUUUAAAGUCAAUAAAAACCAUAAGUUCUUUGCAAUAACCAUCUCUUUGAUCAAAAAGUGCCGUAUUCCUUUAGAAUUUAAAACCGGCAAAACCGAAUCAGUGUCUUUGAAGAGACAUAAUGGUCGUAAUUCUUUAAAUGAGUUGGCUAUGGAAAUCCUUAUCCAAGAUUCUUUUAUGCCAUAUUCUUUCGUAAACCAAAAUUCAUUUUGAAAUACUCUAUUGAAAAUGUCAAAUAAAACGGCAUUGAAGGAAGUUUUCAAAGGCAUAAUCCGCACUUGUCAAAGGGAUGAUCUGCACUUGUCAGAGACACGAUCCGCGUCGAACGAAUCGACACAUUUCCUUUCGUAUUCGCAUAUGUAAUCUUUGAAAAAAUGUAGCUUCCGCAUCUAUAAAUAACGCUCAGUGUAUAAUGUUUUAUUCAAGAAAAGAAAACAAAUUUCUUCAUACUCCUUGUCCGAACAUACAGAGACAGUCUCUCAUAACUUCAGCCGAAUACUUAUGAUGAUGAUCAUUUGUGAUUUCAUCAGGCAUAGGGUUGAUGGUGAAAAAUUUUGUAUGUGUGAAGAAUUGAGCUGUGGAUAUAGGGGACUUAAGUGUAAUCGAAAGAGAGUUAUUAGGCCAUAGUGCAGAUUGCAUUCAGUUUAUGGGUCGAUAUGCAAAUAAUUUGUUGACGUGGCGAAAUCUGUUAUGGUCGUUACUAUUGUUUCUGGAAAUUUUCUAGAAACCUCAGCAUAAAAGGGGCUUUUGCAUAGCCUCUGGUGUGCGUGUGAUUUCUCUUUCGUUUCCUCAUCAAAUUCUGUAAUUCUUGCUUUGAUAAAAAGCUUGUAAUCAUUUCUGUAAUGUGUGAUCAGUGCGUAAUCAUUUUGAGCAAUAAAAGCUUGUGGGUUUUUCCUUCAAACAGUGUCGUUUUGGUCAGUUUGUUAGUUUGAUCUGUUGGUGGAAUUUUCUUUGGUUAUUUGUUCUCAAAUUUCAACCGUAUAUAAAGUUUGAACUCUAAUGGCUUAUAAUGUAUUGAUUAAGAAUAAUCCUAAGAGUUCCCGAUUGAAAUUUUUAAUGACUAUUUUUAUUGUUUUGGAUAUACAAAUUGCAUUAAGAAAAAAUAUUGUCAAAUUCAGAGGAUAACGGGAAAUAAUUAUGCUUCAAAAGACCAGAGAUUAGAGAAUAAAGAAGCAUUCAUUACUGACAUACAAAAGAGAAACACUCCAAAAUUGCAAGCAAACUAGUUUCAUAUACUAUUUGGAUUUUGGAAGGGGUGAAGUUUUGAGCUUCAGUUGUUCCUCUAAAUAGCAAAGAAGACUUAUUGGUACCUUACUGAAGCUAACAUUGUGGCACGGUUGUUCAUAUGUAAUGGCUGCUCUGUUAUGGUAGCUUCUCUGUUUUUGCUCACAGUUUUGAACAUGAAUUCUUGCUCAAAUAACCCAUAAUUAAUUAACAUUAAAAUGGCUCGUGAAAUCCCAUAAUAGCUAAUUACGCAACUUUCUCCUCCUCCUCAAUUAUGUCUUCCCCUGCUCGUACAAUAAAUUCAAAAUUCAAUGCCCCGAAAAACAACACAAGAAAUCUUUGAGUUAGUUCGUGACCAGUUUAUAUAUAGUAGCAAUUGAAAAAAGAAAAAGAAGAAAAGAGUUAAUUAUUAUUCAGACCUUCACUUAUUAGGAAGUUUGUUCUGCUAUUGGGUGAGGUCAAGCUCUCAGCAUAUACUUCCACAUGAUACUUUCUAACAUUUUCUUGAAAGCCAUCAAUCAUAAAAUCUUCAUACUUUUUUCCAUCCUUUGGAUCAAUGAGUACAAAUUUCUCAUCUAAAACAGACAAAAUAAAAUCACUGUCCUUCAUGGAACAUAAUGGCUGCAAUGCCUGAACUGAAUUGGCUAAUGAAACAUAGUCUUCUUUUCUUUCUCGACAUGGAACAUAGUCUUCUUUUCUUUCUCGACACAUGUCUCUGUACUUUUCUCUCUCUACUGAUCCACACUUUUUCAUACUUCUAACUAUCAUUUUGUUUUUUUUUUUUGAGUUGUGAUUUAUUCAAUUAUUUUGUAUUUUUAAUGACAAUUAUUUAAUAUUUAGUUAGUGUUGAUAUUGAUUAGUGAUUGAAAGUGUAUUUUAGAAGACUUCCGGUCUCUUGAAAAAAGGAAAAAUGGAGAAGAAGAAGAAGUGUUCUUGAUUUUUUUGUAGGCAUUAAAGUUAAACGGUUUGAAAUGAUAUUUUGUUUUAAUUUCACUCAUUAAUCUCAUUCAGGAUAAAAUUAUAAAUGCAAAUAAAUGGGGUUUCAUAAGUAUUUUUAAUAGUGUUAAAAGGUCUACUAACUAAAUAAACAUGUUUUACCCAAACCAAUCCGAUUAAUAAGUUAUUGGGUUGGGUUGAUCAGGUUAAAAAUCAAAAUUAAAAAUUAAAUAAAUAAAUAAGGCAUAAAAACUAUAUGUUACUUGAAAAUAAAAAGAAUUUCUAAUAGUUAGUUCUAAUGUCCCAUAUCCAAAACAUGCAUAUUAAAUAAAUAUUAUAAGUUAGAAAUAAAAUAUCCAAGAAAUAAUGAAUGAAAUACCAUAUUUUUGUUGAGAAUUAAGAGUGUGAUUUUAAUUUUGAUAUUGGAGUCUAAAGCAAUAGAUAGUACAAUGAAAUCAUGAAUGCUACGUUUAAAUAAUCUCUUUUAUAAAAUAAUAAAAAGAGGUUAAAAAUUAGGUUAGCAUUUAGGGUUUAGCAGUUAAGGAUGAACAUAUUAUUAUUGUUGUUGUUGUUGUUAUUAUUAUUAUUAUUAUUAUUAUUAUUAUUUACAUAUUAAUUAAUCCAACCCAACUCAAUUAUUAACGAAUUUGAAAAAAAAUGACCAAAUUAAUCCACAAUAAUUCAUUCAACUCGUCUAAAUUAGAUUAGAUUGAAUUUGAUUUGCUACACCUACAUUGAGCAACAAACCUCAACGCGAUUCUAUGAGCUCUUUGAUUGUUUAUAAAAUUGAUUUAGAGUACAUAAUGGAGUGUAUCGACAAUGAAAGUGCAAAACAAAUUAUUGUAUACAUUAAAAUCUGCAAAACAAUGAAUUAUAUGUACGAACGAGUGCAAACACAUUUUUCAAUAAGAAGUUAAAAGAUAUUUAUGCAUGAAAAAGCAUACGUUUGUAGUUACUCUAAAUUUUUUAAAAAAAAUUUACAUUUAGAUCCCUAAAAUUUACGUAUAAGUACAAAAGUUUCAAAUAUUGUCUAUUAUUUUUUAACAUAUGCCUAUUCCUUGUGGAUAAUUCUGUCUCAUCACUAAUGUUGUUUCUUGCUUACAAAAAACAAAUGUCAUCUCCUUUUACAAUUUUUAUAGCGUCUCAAAAUAGACAAUGGGGGGAUUUUGAAUUUUUUAAGUCUCAAGAUAGUCUCUAAUCUUGUGAGAAAGAUUUUCUUUCAAUAAUUUGGAGGUAAAGAUAACAUAAUUUUUUGGAUAGUGUGCAUGUGUAUUUAAUUAAUAAUUUUUUAAAAAAAUACAUCAAAUAUUAAUAUCCAUGACAUAAUUUAGUUCUUAAUUUUUUUUAAAUACAUCAAAAACAUAAUUUUUUUUAACAACUUAUAGGCAUGACAAAUUUCAAGAUAUAAAUAUCAGUCAAAAUAAGUGAAAGAAAUAAUGGUGCCAAUUCUAAUUUCUUAACUAAAUUAAUUAGUGCAUGAGCCCCGAAUACGACACGAGAGUUUGAUGGGCUAACUUGGCACAAGAACGUGAAUAAAUAAUUGAUUUAAGAAAUAAUUCAACGAAAAAUAUAAUUGAUAAGAAUUCAGUAUUGAAAUGAGUUUUUUUGUGAAACACUGAAUUAAUGAUUAUUAAGCAAGAACAAUAAAAAAAUAAAUAUUAAUCAUUGAUAAGUUUCAACAAAAACUUAACACAAUCCUCAAUCCUCAUUCAAAUGAUAAAUGUCAUUCAUAUAUUCAUUAUAAAUCAACAACAAAGGUUAUAAAUGUUUAGAAAUUCUAGAGGGAAGGAAGCUAUCGCCGGACAAUCAACAACUAAAUUUGAUGUAAUUGUGGCACGAGAUGGAAUAUGGAAACUACACCAUAAUUUCAAAUGCCGCCAUAGACAUUGACUUAUCAUAAUAACAAUGAUCUAAUUAAAAUAAAAACAAAGUUUAUGGGCAUUUAUUAUUUUGCCAUUCCUCAUUUGCAAAUAGGGAUAUAAUUAUAAUUUUACCUAGUCAAAGCAAUCGGUAGUUUUCUUCAUUAUAGGAGUGAAGUAAAAACAUUUAGAUUUCAAUGUAUGUACGGAAAAAUUUGUCUUUAAAAAUACUUUCUUAAUGUGUGUAUGCAUAUUGAAAUACUCAAACCAAUUUUGGUUAUAUAUAAUUAAACAAAUUUUAAAAUAUGAAAAAUAUAAUGUAGUUAUAGUGGAUAAACAAUAAGUGAGCACAAUAUAAUUAAUCAAAUAUUAUGCCAUCAAAAGUUAAUUUUAGAAAUUCCAAAUCCAAUAGCCAACACAAUUCUUUUUUUUUUAAAAAAGUUGACACAAUUAAUAAAAUUAGCGACAUGAAUUUCACGCCAUUGAUAAUCAGCAAUUAGUAUUACUUUCUAAACUUGCUUCAACUGGUCGUUGAUGUCCGGGUCACCAAAAGUAUAAGCGAUAAUAAGGGGCAUUGGGCAAGAGUGAUGAAUGUUUAGUCGGUGCAUUUGAUUGAUAGAUAUAUAAAGGGCCGAAACUUGAGAUUAUAUUACUUUUACAAAUUUUAAUCCAAUCACAUAUUUACUGAAAACAAAAUGAGUUAGGAUACUUUAUUUAGAACCCACAUUUUAAUAAGGCUUCAUUUGAUGUAGUUUUUCAAACAGUGAUUAUUUGAGUAAAGUUUCCUCAAUAGAGUUUUUAUCAAAUAAAUUUUAUUUAUUUGGUUGUCGAUAAGAACUUUUAUUAAAAAUUAUAAAAUUAUUUAAAUAAACAUAUUUUUUAAAAUUACAUUAUAAAAAGAAUUAAAUAAAGUUAUAAAAGUAAAAUAUAUUUUAGAUAUUUUAAUAUUUAAGAAAAAAAUUUUGAAUCUCUACUUUCAGAAGCUCAAAUUUUUAGUUUUUAGUUGUAGAGACAAAAUAUCUUAUUUAAUCUUUAAAAGUUCUGCUAAAAACAAUCAAAUAACUAUAAAAUUUUUAAUAAGAGUAUAUAAAAUUAAAUAAGCAUUUAUUAAUAAUCACUUUAGUGUACUUAUCUAAUGACCAUAAGUGUUUAUUUAAUCUCAUAAGUUCUUAUUUAAUCUCAUGAGCUCUUUUCAAUUUUUUUUGUUGUUUGCUUUUUUUAGUAGAGUUUUUGAAAAUUAAAUAAACUAUUUUGUCUCUAUUAGGAAAAACUCAAAUUUUAGGUUUUUGUGAGUAAAUGUUUAAAUUUUUUUUAAAAUAUUAAAAUAUUAAAGUAAAAGUUGUAGAGACAAAAUAUCUUAUUUAAUGUUUAAAAGUUCUGCUAAAAAUAAUCAAAUAACUACAAAAAUUUUAAUAAGAGCAUAUAAAAUUAAAUAAGCAUUUAUUAAUAGUCACUUUAGUAUACUUAUCUAAUGACCAUAAGUGUUUAUUUAAUCUAAUGAGCUCUUUUUAAUUUUGUUUGUUUGUUUUUUUAGUAGAGUUUUUGAAAAUUAAAUAAACUAUUUUGUCUCUAUUAGGAAAAACUUAAAAUUUAGGUUUUUGUGAGUAAAUGUUUAAAUUUUUUUUAAAAUAUUAAAAUAUCUUUUCUUUAUUUCAUAAUCUUAUUUCAUUCUUCACAACAUAACUUUAAAUAACUCACCUAUUAAAAUAAUUUCACAAUUUAUAAUAAAAAUUUUAAUUGACAAUCAAAUAACAAAUUUUUUUUUAUAAAAACUCUAAUAAUAAAAAUUCUACUUAAAUAAAUUAUAUUUGAAAAGGUAUACCAAACGAACCUAACAUAAAAACAAAAAUUUUUACAUCCACACAAUUAAGCUUAAAACAAUUUCAAAUGAAUUUUAGACUACUCAAAGUACAAUACGUACCAAGUUUGGUAACUUAUUGGGGUCCGCUUGUAAUACAGCGUCUGUAUCUCAUACAGCCAAAUUUAAUAAUUUAUUAAGAAAAAGGGCAACCAUUAGAUAGAAGUAGAUACAUCCAACGGUUAAAAUGUUUGAUUACUCAUUUUGGCGACCGGAUAUGCCAGUUAUUAUUUCAUCAAUUAACUUACCUAAAAAAUCACAGCCGUUGGAUUGAGAUGCCUCUCUUUCCCUCAAAAUAACAGCCUUCGUAUUCUCUCUGCUAUUGUUUUCUCCUACAUCCAGAAUUUUGGAUGAAUGAACUUGGUAUUCAACAAUAUUCACCACCCAUCACAGCAAAGAGCAAAGAUGUAGUCAAAGGAGUGCCAUUUAUUCAGGCUAACUCGAUCUGUCACUCUCGCUUCAAUUCGUCACUCAUUUUCUCGCGCUCAGCUUCAAUCUAUCACUCUCAGCUUCAGUUCGUCACUCACAGCUUCAAUUUUUCACUGUCGUGAAUCAUCUCUCUUGCUGUAUCUCUCUCUUAUGUCUUCCAAUAAUUUCGGUGAGCUCUCUCUCUAAUUUAAUAUAUGAUUAAAAAUCUUAUCAUCUUAUCAUGUCAUUUAAAUAUGCUUGAAGUUUCAAUUUAGUUUAUGAAUAUUACUUGAAAUUUCAGUUUCAAUAAUUUGAUUUUGCAAUUGAGAAAUUAUUACUUGAAAUAUUGAGAUGAUUUCUAGGGAUUGAUAAUUGAAUGAUAAUUGCUAAGGCUUGUCAUUUUUUGUUUUUGAACAGAUAGAGUUACAAUUAAGUCAUACUGCAAUAUUUUAUCUUGAGAUUCUAUUAUUCACAAAAAGAAAAAAAUCAUAAAUUGAAAAAAAAAAAAAAGAGGUUACGAGCAUCAAGCAACUGCAAGUAAUGGGGUUUGUUUUGAUGAGCUGCGAAUUGGGGCCUGUCAUUUUCUUGAAGUAUCUUCAAUAUAAGUGGAAGGAGAUUUCUUCUCUCCAAAAAAUUAUUGUAUAUUUCCUUUUAAAUUCUAGAUUCGCAUGUAGCUGAUUUUUUAUGUUUGAAGGAUUUUAUUAAAGAAUGUGCUGCUGCUAGUGGCAUGAAUUAAUGUAGUCUCGCUAGUAUUCGUGAUUUGGGGUAAGGAUCGAAUUGAACAAUUAUAUUUCUAUUAUUCUUAUAUUCGAAUCCAGUGAUAUUGUGGUGGUUUUAUGAUAAUAUUCAAUUGUUUUGUGCCUCAAAUCAGCCAAUGAGUUGGGUAUGUGCUGGGUAUAUGCCGUAUGGGCUUGUUGUUGAAUUUGCUUGACCUUGGAUGUGAUUCUUGCCGUGUUUAUAAGAAAUAGACACAGGUCUUUGUGUGGUAAUAGAAUUGUCUAAGGUGCCUUACAAUAAAUUUAAGAGUCUUAAGUAACUAUGCUUUGUAACCUUAAACCUUUAUUUGUACGACUUGGUGUUCUUGGUUGUGAAAGAAUGUUAAAUGUUGACCUAUUUUCAUCGGUGAAGAUAAAUGAAGUUAGGGAAGGUUUGUAAUCACUAUAACCCUGACAAUUUUUUUGGUGGGCCGUGAUAAUUUUAUUCAUGGCAUGUACUUUGUUUUUAUCAGAAGGCCCUGUUUGCUUGUAGUCUCAAAUCUAGGGUAAUAUUUUAAAUAAGUUCUGCAAUAUAUGUUUUGCUAUUUUUCUUUUUUGUUUUUAUUUUAAUUAGUUUUAGUAUUACUUGGAGGGGAAUUCUGAUCUGCUGAAGUUUAUCAAGCUGGUGCAGUGGUGCAGCAAGCAGACCUUUAUCUUAAUCUUAUGAUUGUGCUAAGUGGAAUUUUGUGUAAGUUACAACAAUAUAAUUUUUUAAAGAGCUGACAAGACGCUCUCUCUUUUUUUUGGAAUGUUGAGCAAAACUUUUCUUUCUUAUUAGGUGUUUAUAAUAAUUCAUAGCAUGGGUUUUGUCAUAUUGGUUUCAAUGCAUUGAUUUGAUCUUGGUUACAACCCAUCAGCCCUUACUCCUCAUUCCCAGCAGCUUUUAAUGCCUUUUUUUUAAGCAUUGUACUUUGUUUCAUGAUGAAAUUUGUUUAUAUGACGCAAAGUUGAGGACACGGUAAUAGUCAUUAUUUUAAUUUAUGCAACAAAGAUCAUUAUCCAUUAAAUUUUAUGUUGUUGAAAUAUUUAGAUUUUGUAAAUUUUGUUGUAAGAAAUGAGGGCUCUUGAUCCCAUCCCUUUAUUAUAUACAAUUUUUUUUCACUCUGUCAUUCAUUUAUUGUGUGUUAGAGGUAUUAGUCAUGUGCAAAAGUAAAGAUCUUUAUUUUGUUAUUUUUGUCAUCUUGUGCUUCAUUGGUAUAAAUGAGGAAAAAAAAGAAUAAAAUAAAAUAAAAUUAUAGUUUGUGCAUGAAUUCCACCAUAUAUGAAAUGUUUAAUAGAUUAAAAAGUAAGGAGUACACAGUGACUUUGAAUAGCAGGUGGGGGAACUCAUUUUGUUUUAAAAAAAAUUAAUACAUAUUGAUAGAAUAAUUAUCCUUCACUUAAUUAUUUAAAAAUUUUAUUUUGGAAGAAUACAAAUGGACAGUCACCAAUGAAAGCGUAAACGACUACCAGGGGGCUUACAGAAAAAAUUGCUCCUAUUCUAAAAGUAGAUGGUCAGGACAAAGUUCCAACAACUUCAACUUAUGGAUUUGUCUCUUACUUGUAAGGUAAUCUCUUCUUGUAGGGUGUUUAAUUGAAUUAAAAACAGAAUAUUAUUUGCAUUAUAGAGUACAGGCAUAAAUUCAUUAUCUAUGUCAGUUCAUUCAUGAUUUUACUCCAAAUGGAGUAAUAGAUCACCAUUAAUUUAUUGAUACAUCGUCCAUGUUUGUUUUCGUCUUCAAUUUUUAUAUUACAAUAUCUAAUCUAUUUAGUAUUCGUAAAAAAACAUACGAGAAAAAGUUGGAAAAACACUUUAGGGGUGAUUGUGUACACUUUCGUAUGGCACAAAUAGCGUUAGGCUUUGUUUUUUAAGUGGACGACGUGUCCAUUUUUUGUGUUACAUCUUACUCAUUAAUAUAUUUUUGAGUUUCUUAUGGAAAAAAAAUUGAAAAAACACUUUAAGUGAAAAAAAUUUGUAUUUCAAUUUAUAUGUAACAGUGAAUUGGAAAAUAAAUUCUACCAAUAAUUAAAAGAAUACUUUUCUUUUAAUUAUUAAAAAGAUAAGGUAGUUACUCAUUACCCAUAUAAAUGGACAGUUUUAAUUUGUUCCAUAUCUAUACAACAGAAGAGCUUCAGACACGGUUUGCAGCGUUCCACGAUCACUUCCAUUCUAAGCAGCAGCGUCUUCCGUCUUUUUGCACACCAACAGCAGAUUCUAGAUGGCCAGAAGCUCAUCUGCCGCACUCUCGGGAUUUCGCUGCCAUCCUCAUCUUCAUCUCCACUACCUCCUCAGUGAUUAUCCCCUGGUUUUAUGCUCAGAAAUUAUGAUUAUUAUGUAUCUUGUUUUCAGAUUUGUCAAUACUUGUUAUAUUUUGAUUAUGCAUUAUGGACAUUUUUCAUAAGAUAGCUUAAUUUUGUGGUUUGUGUUGACGAUUUCCAUGUAUGGAUGUUUGGAUAGGUAAUUUCGCCUUCCAUGCAUUCUUCAUUCCUGCAUCCUGUGGGAGAAAAUUGGAAAAAGUGGUUUUUGAUGAGAAACGGGGAGAAGGAUGAGAUAUAUAUUUUUGAAGUGUCACAUUAUUUCAAAAACAAACCCCAAAUUUAAUUUCUCUUACCGAUCAUGAGUUAAAAUAUAAAAAUUAACGUUUACUCAUCACACUGUUAUAAGUAUCAAAGCAUUACUUAUAGAAAAAUUAUCGUCACCUAUCCUACAUUUGUGAUUGAAUAGUGGCACAAUUUUAAUUGGGAUAUUUAACAUUACUCUUUGUAAUUGUUUGGUCUUAUUUGAAGUUUGUAAAUUUUUCAUAACUAUGACUUCAACAGCAUAUUUCAGGUUGCAUUUAAUCGUUGCUAUAAUUAGGUACUUUGAAAUAAUUUAUUGGCCACGAUUACAGUCAUUGUUAUUAGUCACCCCUCUUUUUUCUCUUUUGGCCAACCAGCUCUUGGAUAUUUGGGAACCGAUGACAAUAGUUGGGAAAUUAUGUAAUAUUGGUGUGUUUGCGAAAUAAAUCAAGAGAUUUGCCUUGCCGAAGUUAAAAGAGAUAUUGUGGCCUGAAUUUUUUUUUUUUUUCUCUAGGGGCCAUGGCUCUCAAGGACAAGGCAUGAAUCAUGCAUUAUAAUUGCUCGAAAGGGUUAGUAAAAUAGCAAUCUAAAAUACCCAAGUUGGAUCUGCUGUUGAAUCACAAAAAGAACAUAAUUGGGAUAUGAAGUCAUGGUUGCAAGUGUUGGACCCUUAGGUUACGUUUGGCACGUAGGAUUGGAUUGAACUAAUUACUAAAAUUGGAUUGAAUUAUAUUCGAUUGGAUUAAACUGGAUUAUAUUAUAUAGUUCUAUGGUUAGUACAAUAUCGGAUUAAACUAUGUUAAAUUAUAUUUAAAUAAUAUUAAAUAGCAUUUAAGUUGGUAUUUUAAUAUUAAUAUCAAUUAUUCAUGAAAUUUCAUAAUCAUAAUUAAAAUAAAUUUAAAAAACAAUUACCAGGAAAAUUAAAUAUAUUGUAAAUAAGUUACUGGGUAGUCAUAAUACAGUAAACAAAUGAACAUAGAUAAAAAAAUUAAAUUUUAAAUAAUUUUUAUCAAAUUUUAAAAAAAAAUUAUAUAAAAUCAAUUAUUUAAUGGUAUUAUUAAUUUUCAUGAUUAUUUUUAAUAGUAUAUAACAAUGAUUAUUAAAUUUAAUACAAUCAAAUAAUGCAAUAAAUAAUUAAACAUUUAAUUUUAUCAAUAAAUUACUAAAUAUACAAGUGGUGAAAAUUUAAUCUCCAGAGUUAGUACAAGUAAAGGUAUUAAUUUAAUUAGAUCAUAGAUAAUAAAUAAAAAUAAGUUUUAAGUAAAUCAUAUUAAAAAUUAAUUAAUUAAUUAAUACUAGGUGUAAAUAAAAAAAAUGAUAUAAAUAAAAAUCUCAUAAAUGGACAACUUUUUUCUUUAAUCUUAUCCCAACUAAACCCAUGCGUAAAUUAGGAUUAUCAAUUCCAUGAUUUUAGGAUUAAAUUUAAAUUACUACCCCCUUAAUCCAAUCCAACUAAGCUUGCCAAACAUUGGAUAAAUAUUUAAUUCCAAAAUUAGUCUAAUCCCAUACUUAAUCCUAGAAUCCAAACAUGGCAUUAGCACCUUAUAUAACAAAGUGUCACUGAAAUACAGCAAAACGUUAUAAACAAGAACUUAUUUCUGUACAAAAUGUUAUUUACUUUUUGUGAACUUCCAAAUACCUACUAUAUGAUUUGCAAACCCUACAAAAGUCUACCUUGCAUGCUCUUUCUAACGUGAAAUUUGAUUUUUAUUAAAUUUUUGAUGUGUUCACUAAUAAAUAAUUGGAAUCUAAAAAAAUUAGAAAAAAAUAGAAUUAGAAUGAGCUACAAUAAAAAUGAGGAAUAACAAAAAAAAUGAUAUUUGUUGAGAUGAAUGAAACACAAUUGAAAUACUCUAUAUCGCUCUUAAUAUGUUCACUUUGUGAACAUAAAUUAGAAUUAGUUGUUAUAACUUAGUAAUUUAUCCUCAAUCAAUUAUUAUCAUUAUUACUAUUUGUUAUAAUAAUUGUAAUUAUUAUUUUUGAUAAUUUUAAUACUAAGAAAAUUAUUGUUAGGGGUGGAAACACCAUAUAGAGAAGGAACAAUUAAAUUUAUAAAAUUUAGUGGGGAUAAAAUAGUCACUUAAGACAGCAAGCGUCUCCCAUUCUCACCUCCACGAGCAUGAAAACACUAGUAAUCAUUCUUAAAUUUUGAUGGAAUCUGUUGCUUUUAUUCUAAUAACGAACGCAAAACCUAUGGAAUUAGUUGGAAUAACGAAUGCAAAACCUCUGGAAUUACAAUUGAAAUACGUCAACCCAAAAUGGAGAAAGCACAACUAAAAUUAGAGACCUACAAAACCAAAAAUAAACUUAUAGAAAACAAACCCGGUACCUAAUCUCAAUAAUUGGAAUCUCAACCAGUUAAUGGAAAUAUUCAACUCAAAAUUAGGGAAAAAUUAGAUGAAACACGUGAACCAUUGAGAGAGAAAGUAUGACGAAAAUUAGAAACUCAUUUAACGAAAAAUAAUAUUUACUUGGAAUCUAACCCAUGAUACUGGUACCUAAGGAACUUUAUAGGAAUAUGAAACGCAAAACCAGUGGACCAAUAAGUUGAAACAUGUGAACCAAAAAAUGAAAAACUAUAACCAAAUCUUGAGACUAAUCAAACCAAGCAAAAGUAAUAUUGAUAUUUAACCCAUAUAAUUGGAAUUUUACCAAAUUAGUUGGAAUAACGAAUGUAGAACUUGUGGAAUUACAAUUGAAAUACAUCAACAAAAAAUGGAGAAAGCACAACCAAAAUUAGAGACCUACAAAACCAAAAAUAAAUUUAUAGAAAAUAAAUUUGGUACCUAACCACAAUAAUUGGAAUCUCAACCAGUUAAUGAGAAUUCUCAACGCAAAACUAUAGGAAAAAUUAGCUGAAACACAUGAACCAUUAAGAGAGAAAUUAGAACGAAAACUUGGAACUUAUCCAACGAAGAAUGCUCGUGACUUGGAAUCUAACAACAAAUAUUGGUACUUGACUAAUUUAGUAGGAAUAUCAAAUGCAAAACUCAUUGACCAAUAAGUUGAAACAUGUAAACCAAAAGAUGAAAAAGUAUAACCAAAACCUGAGAAUAAUCAAACCAAGAAAAAGUAAUAUUGAUUUUUAACCCAUAUAAUUGGAAUUUUACCAACUUAAUUGGAAUAACGAAUGCAAAACCUGUGGAUUUACAAUUGAUAUACGUCAACCCAAAAUGGAGAAAGCACAACCAAAAUUAGGGACCUACAAAACCAAAAAUAAAGUUAUAGAAAACAAACCUGGUACCUAACCUCAGUAAUUGGAAUCACAACCAGUUAAUAGGAAUAUUCAAUGCAAAAUUGGGGAAAAAAUUAGAUGAAACACGUGAACCAUUAAGAGAGAAAGAACAACGAAAACUAGGAACUUAUCCAACAAAGAAUGAUAGUUACUUGGAAUCUAACAGUAAAUAUUGGUACUCGACGAAUUUAAUAGGAAUAUCAAACGCAAAAAUAGUGGACCAAUAAGUUGAAACAUGUGAACCUAUAGAUGGAAAAGAAUUACCAAAAUUUGUAACUAAUCAAACCAAAAAAAGUAAUAUAGAUAUCUAACCCAUAUAAUUGGAAUCUCGACAAAUUAGUUGAAAUAUUAAACAAAAAACUAGUGGAAUAAUAGUUGAAACACAUGAACCAAAUGUGGAGAAAGUUUAACCAAAUUUUGAAACUUAUCCAAUGAAGAAUGCUAGUUACGUGGAAUCUAACAACAAAUAUUGGUACUCGACGAAUUUAAUAGGAAUAUCAAACGCAAAAAUAGUGGACCAAUAAGUUGAAACAUGUGAACCUAUAGAUGGAAAAAUAUUACCAAAAUUUGGAACUAAUCAAACCAAAAAAAGUAAUAUCGAUAUCUAACCCAUAUAAUUGGAAUCUUGACAAAUUAGUUGAAAUAUUAAACGAAAAACUAGUAGAAUAAUAGUUGAAACACAUGAACCAAAUGUGGAGAAAGUUUAACCGAAUUUUGAAACUUAUCCAACGAAGAAUGCUAGUUAUUUGGAAUCUAACAACAAAUAUUGGUACUCGAUGAAUUUAGUAGGAAUAUCAAACGCAAAAAUAGUGGACCAAUAAGUUGAAACAUGUGAAUCUAUAGAUGGAAAAGCAUUACCAAAAUUUGGAACUAAUCAAACCAAAAAAAGUAAUAUCGAUAUCUAACCCAUAUAAUUGGAAUCUCGACAAAUUAGUUGAAAUAUUAAACUAAAAAUUAGUGGAAUAAUAGUUGAAACACAUGAACCAAAUAUGGAGAAAGUUUAACCAAAUUUUGAAACUUAUCCAACGGAGAAUGCUAGUUACUUGGAAUCUAACAAAAAAUAUUGGUACUCGACGAAUUUAGUAGGAAUAUCAAACGCAAAAAUAGUGGACCAAUAAGUUGAAACAUGUGAACCUAUUGAUGGAAAAGCAUUGCCAAAAUUUGGAACUAAUAAAACCAAAAAAAGUAAUAUCGAUAUCUAACCCAUAUAAUUGGAAUCUUGACAAAUUAGUUGAAAUAUUAAAUGAAAAACUAGUAGAAUAAUAGUUGAAACACAUGAACCAAAUGUGGAGAAAGUUUAACCGAAUUUUGAAACUUAUCUAACGAAAAAUAAAUUUAAUUGGAAUUUAACCCAAAAUAUUAGUGUUUAACGAGUUUAGUGGGAAUAUUAAACAUAAAACUAGUGGAUCGGAAAAUGGAGAUAAGCAAACCAAUUAGUGAGAAAGUUGAAUCAAAAUUAGGUAUAUGUGAAAUUAACUUGGAAUGUCACCUAAUAUAUUGAUAUUUAACCAAAAGAAUCGAGACAUGCUCAUUUUAAUUUUUUUAAACUUUUGUUGCAAUUAAAAAUAAUUUUUUCACUUAAAUAUUGUUUGUGUUAAAUAUUUACAAAAUUUCCUUAAUUUUUCCUGUUUCAUUUUAUUUUUUCUACAUUAAAAAUAAUUUUUUAAAAAUUAUUAAAUGAACAACCGGUAAAAUACCGGUUGUUCAAGUUUCCUUUUUACUGUUGAAGGGGCUGUAUUUUAUACAGCACUGUACUAUAGGAAGACUCAACUUAUUGACAUCUUCUCAUAUAACCUUCGAUCAAGUCGAUUCUGACCUGACGACUAAUUGGUACAUCACCGUUGUUCUCUAUACUCGCAUGCAUCGGAUCACAAAUCUCACUCCAAUUGUCGUCUUUCUUCGCCGUUUUAGCGCAUACUUCUUGAAUUUCCCGCAUUUCGUUCCCUCCUGUUACAAGUCUCCGGUCAGGUCAGUGAUUGAAUUUCCCGCAUCUCUAUCCCUCCCGUUUUCUCGCGUCGUUUCACUUCAAUUUCUCGUGUCUCCUUUCAGUUUAAGUGAUUGAAUCAAUUUUAUCGCAGUCAUAAGAGAAAUUAAGUAAUGCUCUUGGAUUUAAAAUUUUUUUGCUUUCGACUUUAGAUCUCGAAAGUCAAACUCUGCUACGAAUCCAUAGAUUCUCAAUGCUCAUAAUCUUAUUUGUGUUUGACCAGGUAACUGGAUCGUGAAAUUCGUCGUUUUGUAUCAAUUCAAGCUUUCGCGAGCUCAUGGAAUCACCUGGUGAGUUGUGGUGAAACGUUAUCGUUUCAAUUUUCGCUUAAUUCUUUAUUGCAUAUUUUUUUCUCUAAUGUUUCAGUUUAAUUUAGAAAAGAAAGAGGCCCCAAAAAGAGAGAGAGAGAGAGACUCUACCAUACUCAAUUCCUUGCUCAUUCUGAUUUGGCCUGAAUGUUGGCAUUGACUAUUAUUUGUUUUCAUUUCGAUUUAAUUCUCAUUUAGACAGUCUUUACUAACGGUCAAUAAUAGUUUAAGGAAAAUGAUCAUAGGGAUUCUGCAAUAAUCUUUCUGCAUUGUUCAAGUUAGUAGACAAUGAAUAGGAUGUUUAUGUUUACCUCAUUUUGAACCCUGAGGGCUUCGUUGAGUAGUUGAUUCAACAUAUCCAGCAACGGUUGAUGUGAGAACAGAAUGCCACUUAGAUAGGCUUAAACUGAUUUUGGAGGUUUGUAUUGGUUCUAUUGUACGUCUUGCUUACAAAUUUUUAAUUUUUAAUUUUGUAUAAUAUGCUCUUUGUUGGUAAAUCUCAUUUGACUUAGAAGAGAUAGUUUUAUCCCAACAGUGGGAUAAAUCAUUGAGAUGCAUGGCAGUGUGAAUAUAGUAGACAAAAUCAUUGAGACACAUGGUGGUGUGAACAUAGUAAACUUUGUCAAACACAGCUAAGAUAAACAAAUUGUUUCAUUAGCCUUUACCUUAUCUGCUGUGAUGAUUCAAAUUAAUGCUGUUUGGUAGGUUGCAAAAAACGAAAUGAGCUGUCUGUUCGUAUUAUUUAGUCAGAUCUAUUGCAAUAAGUUGAAGUUCAUUGUCACAUGGGUUGGGAGUAGCGUGGGCUGUGAGUAGUAGAAUGGAUUUAUGGAGUUGAUACAAGUGCCCAUAAUCUAUCAUGUCAUUCUAGGAUUAAAUGGAUUGCACAUUACUGUAAAGAUGGAGGUUAAAUUUAUAUAAUUCGGAUUGAUUGUAAAAUGGGAGGCAGAGAUGAGUUAGAAAAAGAAUGACCUGUGUCCUUUUUGAGCUGUUUCUAAAUCUCCCUGGUGUGCUUCAUGCUUAACACGUGUCUUUCCAAAUAAUUUUGCUUAACCUGUGCUUGUCUACUUCUUGUGCUAUUCUGUGCCUGGUCCUGAGCUGUGUUGGUAGAUUGACAUAAUUUUGCUCUGCUAAAUGUAUAACUUAUUAAUCAGAGUCCUGUUAUUAUGGUUUGACACUACUGACAUAUUGUGUUGGUAUUUAUUUGUACUUCCCUUGGUUGAAUUAUUUGCUGUCUCCAUGCAAUUCGAUAUGGUGCUACUUGGUUUUUGAUCAUCCAUGACGCUAUAUAUAUGUAAAGGAUGAAUUGAUUGUUUUGGCUUGUAUUCUCACAUUUUAUGAUUGAUCGAUGGAAAGGUUUUCAUGCAUUAAAUUCAACCUCACAAGCGUAAGAUUGACAGAUUGUGGGCAAAUUUUCAGGAAAAGAAACUAGACUUCAUGGAAGCAAUGAAGCUUGAAAUUGAACGUCUGCAGCUGAAUCUUUCUGCAGCUGAAAGGGAUAGAACUUUAUUGUCAAUUGGAACUGAUCCUGCCUCUAUAAAUCCAAAUGUAUUGCUUGAUGAAUCUUACAUGGGAAGACUGUGUCGAGUAGCAAACACUCUUGCAUUACUUGGCCAAGCUUCCCUAGAAGAGAAAAUUGUUGGUGCAAUUGGCCUUGAGAAUAGUGGUGAUAGUGUUUUAGACUUCUGGAAUAUUACUAGAAUCGGAGAGAGUUGUUCUGGUGGUGGGUGCGAGGUUUGUGCAGAAACUAAGGUGCCUGCUCUUGCUUCCUCAACUGCAACAUCUGUUGGAUCUUCACAAUCCCCUUUGUUGUGUUCUCAAUGUGAAAGAAAAGUUUGCAAAGUUUGUUGUGCAGGAAGAGGAGCUCUACUGUUUUCAAAUUAUAAAUCAAGGGAUGUGACCAACUACAAUGGCUUCUCAAGUCAGAGUGGAUCAAGCCAUGGAAGCCAAGUUGAUGUAGCUACCAGUCGUUCACUAACACUGGAUGGCGUUAUCUGUAAACACUGUUGCCAUGAGAUGGUGCUUGAUGCAUUGAUGUUGGACUAUGUUAGGGUCUUGAUUAGGUUGCGAAGAAGUUCCUGUGCAGACAACGCAGCAUACAAUGCUUUGAAUGAGGUUGUUGGAUCCUGCUUAAAGGAUAGUCUUUCUGAGAGGAUUCAGUCUUCCGAUAAUGCGCAAGCAGCUAAAGUCCUGCACCAAUUAUGUGGUGGACAGGAAGCACUUGCUGAAUUUCCAUUUGCUAGCUUUUUGCACUCGGUAUGUUCUUGGUUUGUAUUCAGUUCUCAUCAUAUUAUGUUUUCCUUUUAAAUUUCAUUUCUUGAUUAAAAUUUUUAGAAAUGUGUUUUAGCAUUUAUUCUUAUGAUAUAUGCCCGGAACAUUCAUCCCACUUAUCCAUGAGAAUCCUUGUCUGGUUUGAUUUUCAAUUGAGACAUUUUUGGGAACCCUGCGCAGGUUCCAUAUGCUAAUAAUCUUUGAGGUAAGGUGUUGUAGGAUGCCUUGAGAAGCUAAAAACCCAUUACAAGGAAAAGGUCUUGCAUUGUUUUGUGCAAUCUGUGUGCGAGCUAGUCAUGUCUCUAAUAAUUUCAUAGUUUGCUUGAUUGGAAUUUUUUAUCUUGAUAUGGAUUGUUUAUUCUAGAUUCCUUGGUGCCACUGUAGGUUGAAACAGCAAAAGAUUCAGCACCGAUUUUGUCACUGCUUGCUCCAUUAAAUUCUGGAUCAAGGCACUCAUAUUGGAGAGCUCCACCUAGUACUACUUCUGUUGAAUUUGUUAUUGUUCUCGGUUCUGUUUCUGAUGUCAGUGGGGUUAUCUUGCUUGUUAGUCCUUGCGGCUAUUCUGUGGCUGACACUCCGAUGGUAAGUGCCAUAUUUAUUCCCUUAUUUCCUUGUUGUUCAAUAAAUUUGGUGAUAAGCCAAGUGGCCUUAAUAAUGAAGCCCAGUACCAGGGUUGGUGGGUAAUAGAUAUUCAACUUGUGAAUAUUCCUAAGCAAACACUGAAUCAACAUAUACCUCGGCUAAAGUUCUCUAUGCUAUUAUAACAAAAGUCAUAUUUUGAAAUGAUUAAAAGAGUCCCUGUGUAGUGCCAUUUCCAAAGAAAUUGCAGCUGGGGGUUUAGUUUCAUGUAGGUUAGUUUCCGAUAAUAAACUUUCUAUUUCAUUAAUUGCUGAUGAAAAAACCAAGUAAGAACAGUUUUGUUGCUCGUCAUUUUUGUAUAUUUUGGUAAACUGUAAUUUUAAAUUCUCAACGAUCUUCCCUUUGUAGGUAAGAAGAUGGUCCACUCACUUGAUAUUUAUGAUUGUAGAUCAGGUUUCUAUUGGUUUGCCUUUAUCAUUUAGAACCCAUGUUUGAUAUUAACAGAGAUCACGUCAAUAAUAUCCUAUUUGGGUAGAUGUGGGUGAGGAUUUAAAAUCAAAUUUGAAAUUGAGGGGAAAGAAGAGAAAAGGAACCACAAUAAUUAAACAAAAUAAUAGGAACUAUUCUGAUGAGUUUUAAUCUCGAGAGGAACAAUUUUCAAAUGCACUGCUAGAGAAAUUGUAGCUUUUUGUCAUUAGUUAAAAGGAAAAAGAAUAAGAACUAUCCGGCCCUUUCCUUCAUGAAUGUGUGUUGAGGUUGCUGUAUUAUUUAGUCAGUAUUUGUAAUUUUCUUCCCUGCAGUGCUCUCUGCCUCCUGAAUUUGCUUCCUAUUGCUGUUACAGGUGCAAAUCUGGGCAAGCAAUAAGAUACACCAGGAGGAAAGGUCAUCAAUGGGAAAAUGGGAUGUCCAAUCCCUCAUCACAUCUUCUUCAGAUUUGUAUGGUCCAGAAAAGUCUGCUAGUGUUGAAAAAUUACCUAGGCAUGUAAAAUUUACUUUUAAGAAUCCUGUUAGGUGCCGCAUUAUUUGGAUCACAUUACGUCUUCAGAGACCUGGUUCGGCUUCAGUUAAUUUCGGGAAGGACCUCAGUCUUUUGUCUCUUGAUGAAGAUGAAAACCCCUUUGCACAAGUAGACAGACGUGCUUCAUUUGGAGGAGCAGUUGAAAAUGAACCAUGUAUUCAUGCCAAAAGAAUUCUUGUAGUCGGAAGCCCAGUAAAAAGGGAGGGGCUUACCACAUCACAGAGCUCUGAGCAGCUAAGUAUUAGAAACUGGUUGGAUAGAGCUCCACAAAUGAGUAGAUUCAAGGUAUUAGUUGCUUUCACUCUUUGUUCAUUCAUAAUUCCAGCUUUCUGCUUCACUGAUAAACCUCUUUUUUCUCUUCAGGUCCCAAUUGAGGCCGAGAGAUUGAUGGACUACGAUCUCGUCUUGGAACAGUAUCUACCUCCAGCGUCACCUUCGCUUGCCGGAUUCUGUCUAGACGCUUUCAGUGCAAUAAAACCUAGGGUUACCCAUUCACCUUCCUCAGAUUCAGAUAUCUGGGACAAAUCAGUAACAUUUUUAGAAGACAGGUACAUCUCUCAAGCUGUAUUGUAUUUACAAGUAUCCGCACUCCAGGAACCACAUAACAUGGUAACUAUUGCGGAAUAUCGACUGCCGGAGGCUAGAGCCGGAACGCCAAUGUACUUUGAAUUCCCACGACCGAUACAGUCCCGACGAGUUUCAUUCAAGCUUCUUGGAGAUGUUACAGCAUUUGCAGAUGAACCUUCAGAACAAGAUGAUUCAGGAUUGAGAGCUCCACUUGUGGCCACAGGUUUGUCUUUGUCAAACAGAAUCAAGUUAUAUUAUUAUUGUGAUCCUUAUGAGCUUGGAAAAUGGGCAAGCCUUUCUGGAGUUUGAUCGUUAUUUAUAUGUCAGAGAAAGAGUUUUGGGUUUGAUUUUGAUUUUGAUUUGUAAUUUUUGUCAGUUUAUUGAAAUUUUUUUGUUGUAUAAAAGCAGAAUGUAAAGGUAUAAAAAUUCAUUGAUGCUGCAAUGUCUGUGCUUUUGAGAAAGAAGAAUUCAAUGUCUUUUCUAUGCCAUUGGAUUUUCCCACUGCUUGUAAACUUGGGCUGUCGAGUGCUCUGUGAACCUUAAGGGCUAUAAAGUAAUUUUUUAGACUGAAGGAUUUAUUAAUCGAGUUCAAAAGAUUGCAAGUUGGUGAGCGUUGGCAUUUAAAAAUCAAUUGUUAUUCUCUCAAUAAUCUCUCUCUUCUGCCGACACCCCAAGCUCAGAAACCCAUUGUUCCGACGGACGUGUAACACUUCCAGAAAUUAGCCUUUUCUUCUAUAUGAAGGUUGAUCUCUCCUCGUGAAGUGAAGGUGGUUUUCCAAUUACAUACGUCGGGGGUCUUAUGAUAUCUAAUGUGUGAAAUUUCUUUCUCAUUUUACCAUAAAGAAAAGUUCUGUAAUGAUCUAAAGUUGGGAGUCUUAAAUUAUCUUAAAUUUAUAUUUAGAGUGGAGUUAUUGGCACCCUACAUUAUUCUUACAAAAUUCUAUUUUAAAUAAAAUUAUAAUUAAAGACAAUUGAAAAUUAUAGAUUUUUUUACAGCAAAUUACUUAAGUCAUAAUUAAUCCUUAAAAAAAAAUCUAUAUGUUACUUCUUAUUUAAUUAAAAUAAAUUGUACAAAUUUAAAAUAAUUUAUUGUUUUCUUUUGAUUUUUUAUUGAUUAAAUAUUUUUAUACUUAAAAUUACUUUGAAAUUAUAAUUUAAAAUAUGUGUUAUAUGCAAUAGUUCGAUUUACCGAACCACAAAGGGAGCCAAUGUGGUUUUGCCAAAAUCACAUACUGUAGCAUAAUAACAGAUAUUAUUAUUGUAUAAUAGAUGGGUUUAGAAAAAUUGAAGAACCAAGUAAGUUAUUUGAAAAAUGUCGAUUCUCGUACCAAACCCAUGUUUUAUGCCAAUUGUUUUUGGAUUGGAGUGCAGGCAUUAACAAUGAUGGAGAUGGAGGAACUGUAGCAUUAGUCAUAUGAAGAGUACGUGUCAGGUUUGAUUUUCAUGUGAUUUGGUUAGUGACGACGAAAACGACGACGUCGUAGUUGAAAAGCGUUUGAAUUAAUGUUGCGUUAAAAAAAAAAUUUAACUUGUUCCACUAAUUAAGUCAACAUUACUGAUGUCUUAUCACCCUCGGCCAACUUAACAAUUGGUGUCCUUUGGACAAUUAAAUAUGAUUUAUUCAAAAAAAAUAAAACUAUUAAAUAUUAAAAAUUAGGUCCAUUAAUAAUAAUAAUAAUAAUACUAAGAAUUAAGAAGAUCUAAUUACAUAUCAAAAUGACUCAAACAAAUUAAUUAAUUUCAUAUUAGCUAGCCAAGUAGGUUGUCCAUCCCACUCAGACAUGCACGAAAGCUAAAUUCAUCAAAUGAAUUACUUAAGGAGUAUUUGAUAAUUUUGAAAUUAUAAUUUCAAAUUAAAAUAGUAGUAGCAAAAUCGUAGUGCACAUUCAAUUAACCAACUAAUAGUCUAAGAAGCAAAGAGAGGAUUACAAGUUCACAACACCAUUAAAAAGGAUUCAAAAUUCCCACACGAAAACAUCAAUGUACAGAUUAUAAACAAUCCGAAUUGGACACAAGAAAAAACCCUUCAAUGGAUUGCUUGCCUUCCCAAUGCUAUAUACUGUGCAAACUGCGCACUGGCCAAGAAAAUAUUUUCAAUUUAGUGUAUUUUCAAAAUGCUUAUUUUCUCAGAAUAUAAAAAAAAAAAAAACAAAAAAAGAAUUCUUACAUGUUUCAUCAGCAUGAUUAAAAUCAAAGAAGAAAGCGAAGACAUAAUGUCUCUGACAUAAUAAAAUUACAAUUUCAUGCAGCAGAGAUUGAAGAGUUGAAUUCCACUUAUAGACACCGACCUCUUGUUUUGUCUAAUGUUAAUAACGAAAACAACAACAGAGGAUUAACUGAUGCUUUGACUUAUUAUCAGGUUGCAAUGAAUUAUUAACUGAUGCUUUGACUUAUUAGUUCUGCUGCUAAGUUAAAUAAAAUAAGGUAUUUUCAAAAGCAAAAUGGAAUACAUAGAUAAAACAUCAUCUUAAACAAAUCAUAAUCUAGAAUUGGAGACAUACCCAAGGAGAAAGAAUACGUGAAAAUGGGUGAUUCAUUUGUUAAGGAGUGUUGAUUUGGUCGUCUCUGCAAAUUCUUUAGGGACUCGGUUCCAGUUCCUCUUCAUCAAAACUGUAAUAUAAUUCCCCUUCAUCAGAACUCGAAUCGAUGCAAUAAAAUUCCCCUUCAUCAGAACUCGAAUCAAAUUCACUUGCAGCAGUUCCACUCGCGCUUGGCAAAUCAUCCAAUUUCCAAACUUCGGUAGCAAAAUUGAGAGUAAAAGUGUUGGCUUUGGUCUCUCUGGGAUUUGCAUAUACUGGACAUACUCCGCAACGUUUUAGCUUAGUGAAGAACUUAAAUGAGGCAGUUGUAUGAUGGUAACCAUCAGGAAACCCAACAUUCAAGCAAGGUUUAAAACCAAGUAUGACAUGAUCUGAAUCAAGGGAGCCAGUGCACACCAUGAAACCCAGAUCAACAUGUUUGGUUUCAGAGAGAGUCUUUAUUUCUAAGUCGAGUUGAAAGCGGACGUAAAUAUUGCAGCAAUAACAAGAAUGAAGGUGCUUAAAAUCAAGAACAGCACAAAAAGCAAACCCGAUUAAGUUUCUGCAAGAAGACUGCGGUGGCAGUUGAAUACAUAUCGAAGAUCCUGAACUUUGAUUGCUGAACCAGUCAGGAAUUUCGCUUCCAGGUAAAACAAUUAGGGAUCCCCUCAGUUCAGAAAGUUUCUGUGAAAUGACAUUUAAAAAAAAAAAUUGUAAAAUGAAAACCAUGAUUUCAGAUAUAACAAAGAGGGACAGAGUAAACAAGAGAGGGAAUUUGAUACCUCGUUGAUUGCCUUUUCAUAGCCCAGUCUCAGUGAUGCAAUUGCCACAUGCCGAAUUCUUAGUUGUGAAUCUGCCAAAAUCUUGUUGUUUGCUUUUCCAUUCAGUUUCAAGCAGUUAGUAAACCCAAAAUAAAUUGGUUGUGACUCCAGAAGUCCGGUUGCCCAUUGACGAAGGUCAGGAGAGGGUUUCGAUAGCUUUUCUAGUACGGAUGCAUCUAGUUCUUGCAGACAUGACGGAAUCUCUGGCAAAGAUUGAAGCCGGUUGCAGUUCGUUGCAUCUAGUUCUUGUAGACACAAUGGAAGUUCUGGUAAUGACCGAAGCAUGUUACAACCCGUCAAGUGAAGAUAUUUUAGACACAAUGGAAGUGCUGGUAAUGACUGAAGCAUGUUACAACGCCUCAAGUCAAGAGAACACAGCCGCGACAGUUGCUUGAUACUUGCAGGUAAACUCUCAAAGUUAUUUCCACGUAGAUCCAAGCUUUUCAGUGAGGAUAGAUAGGCAAUCUCUUGUGGAAUUUCCAUUACAGCACAGUUCAUUAUGUAUAGAAGUCCCAAAGAAGAUAAACCUAAUAAUAAUGAUCGAGGCAAUGAUACCAAACCUUUGCAGCGAGAGAAAUCAAGAAUUAAAAGUGCGUUUGAAUCUGCAACAGAGGAUGGUAGUUGACUAAUAGCUGAUCCAGCUGCUGAGAUGUGACGCAAAGAUUCUAAAUUGCCAAUGUUAUCCGGCAACUUAUCAAGUUUAGAGCAAUCACUUACGAACAAUUCUUCAAGCCCCGGUAGAUUUUCAAAUGACGAUGGCAGCUCUGUAAUUGCCGUCCCGUCUAAAUUGAUGCGUUUUAAAUGUUCCAUUUUCUCCAAGAUUUCUGGGAAGCGCUCAAGGUUCAAGCAGCCAUUAACAAAAAGAUCAACCAAAGAUCUCAAUUUACAAAACCUAGUUGAAAUCCUCUUCAGCCGUUUGCAAUCCCUCAAAUCCAACACUUCAAGAUCAGUUAGGCACUCUAUUGAUGAUGGAACUUCUUCUAUUGCAGACUGGUCUAAGUAUAGCCGUGUAAUUUUCCCAGAAAUCUGUGGAAACUCUAUGAGAGUAACACAAUAGGAGAAAUUAAUAGUUACUGGACAAACAAAAUGAAGAUUGCUUGGAAAAGACCUAAGACUUUUGCAGCCCUCAAAAGACAGCGCACUGAGAUACUUGAAAUUCUGGAUAGAUGAGGGAACACAAGCCUUUUCUCCUUCCCAAGGUUGCUCAACUUUACUAAAACGCAAAUUCAGUUCAACAAGGUUCUUUGGCUUGAAAUUUGAUGGCAGUAUCCUUAAUGGAUAUGUGUCCCAAUGAAGAUAUCUCAAUUUUUCAGGAAGAUAUUCUAGGCCAUUUGGAAGCUGCACUUCAGAGUAUGAAAGUUGCUCUUCAAUGCUCAUACUUAGAAACCUUUCAAUCUCAUAAAACUUACUUGGAAACCUUUCAAUCUCAUAAAACUUAGGUACAUAAAAUUUGAGCAAUCUCAGAUUAGACAUAUUUGUGAAGGCUCCGGGGUCUAAAUUGAUGCAUUUUAUUUUGGACAAAUCCAGAAAUAUGCCUUCAAUUGCAUCGGUCCCCUUAUAAAAAAAAAAAAACAAAGAAUGAGUAAGCCAAAAAUAAAAAAGCAACAUGCGUAAACUUUAUUAACUAAGAGCUCCUUAAACAAAAACAAAUUCUGCAAUCUUUGAUUUUAUUUUUUUAAUAUAUUAAAUAUCUAUAUGCGAGAAAAGAAAAUUUUGGGGACCAUUGCAAAAUUAAACUAACCGAAAAAAAAUUCAAAAUUUCUCUAAUUUACAAUCCUAUUAUCUUAAUAUCUAGAAGUUGAGAAGAGAGUGCCUAUUUGAUUGGUAUAAGAUUUCGAAAUUUUUUUUUUUUAGUCGAUAGAAUCCAAAAUGUUAGUUCAAAAUUAGGGAAAAAAAUAAAAGUCAUUUUUUUUCCACUAGUUAAAACUGUAUCCAAGUCAAAUUAAGAUACGACCCUUUUUAAAAAGAUUUAACCAUCUUACAGCCUCCUUAAGGUACAUUUAAGCUAAAAGGAGUAAUUUGAGGCAGAACUAGGUGGUCCAAUCAGUCCAUUUUAUUAGUGUCUGUUGCUUAAAAAAUUUAUACUCUAAAACACACUUUUUUGGAAAAAAAAAUAUAAUUACAUUGAAGUAGAAUCAGGUGGGCCAAUCCUCAUGGCACUCACUUUAUUUUGACACUCUUCACUAAAUUUGAAGAAAAAUAAAAUUAUACUCUUCACACUCUUAUUCAACAUUCCAAAAUUGAUAAAAUCUGGAGUUUUCUUUAAAAAUUUAAAAUUUGAAGACUUGUUCUCUUGACACCCUCAGUCAUUAAUUUUACCUAAUUAUGGUUUUUAUGAUUUUGGUUGUUUUGUUCAUAAAAAUGAUUUUACUAAAGGAUGCUCUGGUAAUAAUAAAAUUUAUAAAAAAAAAUGGGUGUGCUGGUAUGAUUGGAAAAAUAUGAGUGCAUAACUCCAAACAAAUAAAAGAUAUAUAAAAUAAAUGGAGGAUUCUUACCUUUUUAUGCUUGAGUACGCGGCGGAUUUCCUUAGGAUCCCACAACCUGCUGCGUUUGCCAGGCUCUUUCUCAGAUUCUUGGCGAACAAUCUGUCGCCCCAUUUCUUGCAAUAAAUCAUGCAUUUGCAAGCAAUUACCUGAUAUUGAUAUGAGUGACUUAUCAAUAAGGACAUCCAGUCCAUCAGACUCAGAAUCAUCAAGAAUCCUUGCCACAAAAUCUUUAUCCUCUCCCUCAAAGAAACACGCAAUAUCUAGAAACAAACUCUUCACCCUAGGAAUUAAUUCAUUAAAACUAAUCUUUAAUAUUUCAUAAAUAUUAUGAAUAUCAGAUUCACAAAUCCGAUUUAAGUCGUGCAAUACAUUUUCCCAAUGGCUUUUCCUCUUGAGGCACAGGGAGGAACCCAACACUUUAAGAACUAAGGGAUUGCCUUUGGCAUACUCUACAACCCUCCGUGAGUGCCAGUUGAGAUUUGUAGGACAAUGAUUUUCUUUAAAAGCGAAGUUACAAAAAUGCUCGAAAGCCUCUUCAAAUUCCAAUCCAUUAACCCUAUGUAUUUUCUUCUCCUCCCCUCUAAAUUUUUCGAGGACUCCUUUAUCCCUGGUGGUUACAACAAUUCUACUUCCUGGACCAAAUUGAUCAAGCUCUCCAAUCAGACCCUCUAAUUGUCCAACUUCAUUCACAUCAUCGAGUACUAUCAACACCUUCAUACGCCAGACCCUCUCUUUAGUAAAAUGUGGAAUAUUGGCACCAGCUACUUCAAGUUUUUCGCUUAAUAUUGUGGAAAGCAUUUCCUUUUGGAGAUGUUCUAAUCCACCUCCUGUUUCAGAAUUUCUCCUAACAUCUGACAUAAAGCAGCUACCAUCAAACUCACCAGUGAAUUGAUCGAAAAUAGCUUCAGCAAGGGUGGUUUUGCCUAUACCGCCCAUGCCCCAAAUUCCAACAAUUUGGACAGUAUCCGACAAAUCCAUACACAAAAAUGGUUUAAUCUGCUCAAUUCGUGAAUUUAAUCCAACUAGGCCAUUGGAUGAGUCCGUUGCGACUGUUAUUUUUUCCAAAUUCUUCAAAACAUCUUCGACAAUUUUGUUUACAAGUUCCGCAUCGUGCCUAAUAUAAAGGUGCAAAGAUGCAAAAACAUUGAGUCAAAUCGGGCCAAGACAGAAACAGAGAUAAGAUGAAUUAGGAAAGAGAGUUACCUGAAUUUCGUGGAUUCGUGGCCAGCAAGACCGGAUGUUUCUCUCAGUGCAUCCCUCCACCUCUGAACCAUUUCUGGCUUCUCUUCGAAGUGUUGUUUCAGCUGAUCAAAACCGUGCUUAAAAAUUCCAGUUUGAUGCCGCACAUCGGAUGGACUUACUCCAUAGAAAACCGGAAUAAUGAUUUGGCGGUUUGUGUGCUUGCAUUCAAGAAUCUUGACAAGUUCAUUCAGGCACCAUUUUGAAGAACCGUAGUCCUUUGAGAAAAUGACCACCGAAAUUUUUGAACCUUGGAUUGCGUUCAAAAGGGCAUCUGAAAUCUCAUCUCCUCGCCUAAGCUUUUCAUCAUCCAUAAAUGUUUUGAUUUUCUUUUUGUCAUACAAAUCAUCAUAGAGAUGGCAAGUAAAGAUCCUACGAGUGUCCUCCCCUCUAAAAUUGAGGAAGACUUCAUAAAUGCAAGAAGAAGAAGAAGAAGAAGAAGCAGCCAUGAAGGAAAUUUUAGAAAAUUGGUGACAGAAACAGAGAAUUAAUCUUGAGAGUUGAGAGAGGAGAUGUAAGAAUGAACAUGUGUGAAGAUUCUUGCAAGCACACAGAAAAUAAUUGAAUGGCUGGAGCUUUCUUAGUUUCCUGGAAAUUUCCUGGAGCUUUCAUAUACAUGAUUUGUCAAGUCAAGAAACAUAAUCAUGAUAAUGGGGCAGACCAGGAAGAAAAGAAAACUUGAUUCAACCAAUAAAGGAAGGAAAAGCAAAGAAAGAAAAUUUGAAAGUAGAUUCAGAGAAUUAUAAAAAGCUAAAGGAAAUUGGAAUUUUGUACAAUUUCUCCAGCGAAAAUUAAGCAUAGAAUAAUCCUAAAAUUUAAACUCUAAUAUCUUAUAAUGUAUUGAUUAAAAAUAAUCCUAAGAGUUCCCAAUUGAAACUUUCAUAAGUAUUUUAAUUGUUUUGGAUAAACAAAUUGUACUAGGAUAAAAAUUUGGCAAAUUCAGAGGAUAAUGGAAAAUAGUUAUGCUUCAAUAGGCCAAAGAUUAGAGAACAAACAAGAAUUAGUUAUUGAUACACAAAAGAGAAACACUCCAAAAUUUCAAGCAAAAAUAGUUUCAUAUACCAUUUCGAUUUUGGAAGGGGUGAGGUUUUGAACUUCAAUAGUUUCCUCUAAAAUUAAAAGGCAGCAAUUAAACUAGAAAGAGCAAUGAAGACUUAUUGGUACUUUAUUGAAGGUAAACAUUAUGAAACUUUCAAUGUCAUUACCUCAUUGUUCAAUUUUUAUUGAGAUUUGUGUAAGCAUUUAGCUAAAUCUUACCUCCGCCUUUAAAUUCAUUAGUUUUGAUUAAUUAUGAGACCUGGGAGAUAUUAUAAUCGAACUAAAACUUAAAAUUUCAAUAUCAUUAUUCUUUAAAAAGAAAUUGAGAUUUCAGAGUAAUAUCACAUAGAAAAACUUGCCCACGGACGGUAAGCCAAAAGUCUAGUCAACCACACGCAUAAAGCUAACUAGAACAAGAGAACAGAGAAACGCGUGGGUCCCUAAAAGAAAAGGCGUGGGUCCCAAAAGUCUAGUCAACCAUACCGAUGAAAAUCACUGAUUAAGAAUAAUAUAUUAUGUGGUUGAAGAUUUCUUUUUAUCAAUCUUCUUUCUACCCAUUAAUUUUCCCACGACUUUCCGGUUUCAUUUCUUGAAUCUCCAUGGAUUAACUUUCAAUAAACCAUAAAAUAAACUAAGGAAUCAUUUUCUCGAACACAGCUAUGAUUUUAAUAAAUGGGCGGACCAUCUAGAAUAGUAUAUAUAAUUCUGUUUAAUUAAUAAGUUGAAAAAACCAUAAAGAGAAAUUCUAAUAUUAUGAGCUUGACACGAAUUCUUCACUAAUUCCAAAACAAGGAGCUGUUUUAUAAGAACUGUGGUUGGAUUAUUAAGUUUUACAAUUUGAAUAUAAAUAAGAAAAUAAAAUCAGUCGCGUCGAUGUUUUCGAUACAUUUCGAUGCUAACUUAAUUAAUUACUUUACUUCAACUUUAUUUCCUGACGGACACUAUAUGGUGGGUCCAAGAUGGGACCUACAAUAAUCAAUCCUAGAAUUUAGUAUGGUUACCAAAUAGCUAGUGUUAUUUUGUGUUUGGUGGAAGAGAUUGAAUAUUUAGUUUUAACAUAACCAUUCAACUAAUUAGAAAAUAAAUAAAGUUAAAUGAAAUGUUUAGAUAUCAAUUUAAAUAUUAAUAUCCGGGAUAUAAAUUAGUUAUAAUAUAGUUCAUUACAUAAAAUUGAUUAAAUUAAUAAUUACACAUGAACAUAGAUGUAUAUGCUUUCCAAUUUCCAAAGUGCUCAAAGCACUUUUCUCACCAAACUUUCCUCUGAAUUUCCCGUAGCUGACUCCAUUGUUUGCGUUUUGUGAAAUUUCUAGGAACUUUUUCUAUUUAGAAUAUUGUACAUUUUUCUUUUCAGCUGAGAUUAAUUUAACUUAUAGAAAAUCUUAUCCUUUUUUUAAUAUUAUUUAAAUAAAAUUUGUCUAUCUUUCAUUUUAUCAGUCUACUUUUUACCCAUUAAUUAAGACUUUUCGAUUUCUUUUUUUCCUGAGGUUUUCAGUGACUAUCUUUCAAUAAACCAUAAAAAUUAAUGAGUCAUUUAUCGAACAAUUAGAUGACCAUAUUUCAAAAUAUCAACUAGAAGUUGCCCUGAAAUAUUUAAUUAAUAGUUGAAGAAUUGUGAUUAGUGUGGGCAUCUACAUAAAAAUUAUAUUAAAACACCGCUAAAAGAUAAAAAUAAAAUAAAAUAGUACAAACAUACACCCAUAGGUUAAAACAAAGAAAAAACACGAACCAAUACACUAAAAUGUUUUAGCUGUAGUUAGUUUUCAGUUUCAUUACUUAAGUCCCACGUGCAUGUCACGUGACUGAGGUCAAAAAAUGAUUGUCAGAUUAAAGUUCAAAGUACGGAGCAGGGUAAUUAAGGAGUGGAGCUAUUGGCACCCCUCCAUUAUUCUUACAAAACCCCACUUUAAAUCAAAUUAUAAUUAAGAAUAAUUGAAAAUUAAACACUUAUAGAUUUCUUUACAACAUGUUUAGUGAUAAAAAAGCACCAGUCGGGCAUGUCCCCAUUUCUUACCCGGGGCCGAAUCUCCUCGGCCGAAUGGUAUGAGUAGACUCUUGGUGAUGUGUUCUAUGUGGAGCACGUAAAACAGACCAGGAACUAGUACCAACCAGAAACGAGUACUGAUCAGAAACAAGCAUGACCAGAAACGCAUACCGACUAGAGACUUGUGGGUCCCUAAAAGAAAAGGCAAGCACAUAAACGAAAAAGCCAUUACAUUUCUAUUUUACAUGUCAUUCCUAAUUUUUGUAACACGGUGUGGCAGCAUAUGCACAAUCAAAUGAGGCAAAAGGGAUUCGACUAUCGUGGCAGAACAUGGACGAGGAUGCGUGAUGAAUAAUUCCUUCGAUAAAACGAAAAACAAAUGCAGAGAAAAGAAUUUCUUAUAUGACAAGAAAUUAAAGUAAUGUGACGGAACAUGAUGAAGAAAUUGCAGAUCGAUCAAUUAUCCCCAUGGACUCCUAUAAAUUCAACCAAAAUAACAAUUCCAAUAUUACCAAAUUCUUGAGUUAAAUUUAUUCAAUGCUUUUUUUUUUUAGAGAAAUUUUUUCCAAUGCUACUUUCCCUUUUUUGGGGAAAUUAGAACUGCGGCAUGUAUAGAAGACAUUGAGGUAUAAAGCAACAUUAAUUUCAUGGGUUAUGCGUUAUACGCAUAAUAUAUUGUCAGUCCAAAUUCAACUAUACAAAGAGGCUUGAGAACUUAAAAUUAAGCACAAACUAAACAGACGAAGUAAAUACAUGAUUAUGCAACAUAACAUUAAUUCUCUUAAUUUAUAACUGUUUUUGCCACAUGAAUCUUGCACAGUUAAUCCUAAUUGAAGACUAAAAAAGAACAAUUGGAACAAGGUUUUGAAAUAGAAUGAUAUACAAUCGAUAUGAUCCAUUUCCAGUCGUCAACGCUAAUUAACUGCAGUUUCUAGACUCCUAAUUAUACUAGCCAUAAGAAACUGUUUAGAAAACUGGUGAUCAGAUUAGAUUUUGAAAAGAAAUAAUUUUCAUUUUCCCUUCGCUACCUUUUUUUUUUAAUUAUUUUUAUACCAAAGAAUUCUAUCAUGAAAAGAAUCAAUUUAAUCACCUUUUCCAGCAGCACAAUUUUUCUUUUAUAAAAUUUGACCACAGAGACAAAGAAGAAUUAUUCAUACCUUCAUCAGUAAGGAAAUACUUUUCAUUAUGGCUAGGGUGAGAAAAGGCUUUCCACAACACUUGUACUUUGUAUUCCUGUAAAUUUUCUUUAAAGUCAAUAAAAACCAUAAGUUCUUUACAAUAACCAUCUCUUUGAUAAAAAAGUGCCGUAUUCCUUUAGAAUUUAAAACCGGAAAAAUUGAAUCAGUGUCUUUGAAGAGACAUAAUGGUCGUAAUUCUUUAAAUGAGUUGGCUAUGGAAAUCCUUAUCCAAGAUUCUUUUACGCCAUAUUCUUUCGUAAACCAAAAUUCAUUUUGGAAUACUCUGUUGAGAAUGUCAAAUAAAACGGCAUUGAAGGAAGUUUUCAAAGGCAGAAUCCGCACUUGUCAAAGGGAUGAUCUGCACUUGUCAAAGACACGAUCCGCGUCGAAUGAAUCGACACAUUUCCUUUCGUAUUCGCAUAUGUAAUCUUUGAAAAAAUGUAGCUUCUGCAUCUAUAAAUAACGCUUAGUGUAUAAUGUUUUAUUCAAGAAAAGAAAACAAGUUUCUUCAUACUCGUCGUCCGAACAUACAGAGACCGUCUCUUAUAACUUCAGCCGAAUACUUAUGAUGAUGAUCAUUUGUGAUUUCAUCAGGCAAAGGGUUGAUGGUGAAAAAAUUUGUAUGUGUGAAGAAUUGAGCUGUGGAUAUAGGGGACUUAAGUGUAAUCGAAAGAGAGUUAUUAGGCCAUAGUGCAGAUUGCAUUCAGUUUAUGAGUCGAUAUGCAAAUAAUUUGUUGACGUGGCGAAAUUUGUUAUGGUCGUUACUAUUGUUUCUGGAAAUUUUCUAGAAACCUCAGCAUAAAAGGGGCUUUUGCAUAGCCUCUGGUGUGCGUGUGAUUUCUCUUUCGUUUCCUCAUCAAAUUCUGUAAUUCUUGCUUUGAUAAAAAGCUUGUAAUCUCUUCUGUAAUGUGUGAUCAGUGCGUAAUCAUUUUGAGCAAUAAGAGCUUGUGGGUUUUUCCUUCAAACAGUGUCGUUUUGGUCAGUUUGUUAGUUUGAUCUGUUGGUGGAAUUUUCUUUGGUUAUUUGUUCUCAAAUUUCAACCGUAUAUAAAGUUUGAACUCUAAUGGCUUAUAAUGUAUUGAUUAAGAAUAAUCCUAAGAGUUCCCGAUUGAAAUUUUUAAUGACUAUUUUUAUUGUUUUGGAUAUACAAAUUGCAUUAAGAAAAAAUAUUGUCAAAUUCAGAGGAUAACGGGAAAUAAUUAUGCUUCAAAAGGCCAGAGAUUAGAGAACAAAGAAGCAUUCAUUACUGAUAAACAAAAGAGAAACACUCCAAAAUUGCAAGCAAACUAGUUUCAUAUACUAUUUGGAUUUUGGAAGGGGUGAAGUUUUGAACUUCAGUUGUUCCUCUAAAAUCAAAAGCAUCAAUUAAGCGUUCUCAAUUAGAAAUAGCAAAGAAGACUUAUUGGUACCUUACUGAAGUUAACAUUGUGGCACGGUUGUUCAUAUGUAAUGGCUGCUCUGUUAUGCUAGCUUCUCUGUUUUUGCUUACAGUUUUGAACAUAAAUUCUUGCUCAAAUAACCCAUAAUUAAAUAACACUAAUAUGGCUCGUGAAGUCCCAUAAUAGCUAAUUACGCAACUUUCUCCUCCUCCUCAAUUAUGUCUUCCCCUGCUCGGACACUAACUUCAAAAUUCAAUGCCCCGAAAAACAACACAAGAAAUCUUUGAGUUAGUUCGUGACCAGUUUAUAUAUAGUAGCAAUUGAAAAAAGAAAAAGAAGAAAAAAGUUAAUUAUUAUUCAGACCUUCACUUAUUAGGAAGUUUGUUCUGCUAUUGGGUGAGAUCAAGCUCUCAGCAUAUACUUCCACAUGAUACUUUCUAACAUUUUCUUGAAAGCCAUCAAUCAUAAAAUCUUCAUACUUUUUUCCAUCCUUUGGAUCAAUAAGUACAAUUUUUUCAUCUAAAACAGACAAAAUAAAAUCACUGUCCUUCAUGGAACACAAUGGCUGCAAUGCCUGAACUGAAUUGGCUAAUGAAAUUUGAGUCCAGGAUUCUCUCAGCCCAUAUUCUUUCAUAAUCCAAAAUUCUUUUCUUUCUCGACAUGGAACAUAGUCUUCUUUUCUUUCUCGACACAUGUCUCUGUACUUUUCUCUCUCUACUGAUCCACACUUUUUCAUACUUCUAACUAUCAUUUUGUUUUUUUUUUUUUUUGAGUUGUGAUUUAUUCAAUUAUUUUGUAUUUUUAAUGACAAUUGUUUAAUAUUUAGUUAGUUUUGAUAUUGAUUAGUGAUUGAAAGUGUAUUUUAGAAGACUUCCGGUCUCUUGAAAAAAGGAAAAAUGGAGAAGAAGAAGAAGUGUUCUUGAUUUUUUUGUAGGCAUUAAAGUUAAACGGUUUGAAAUGAUAUUUUGUUUUUAUUUCACUCAUUAAUCUCAUUCAGGAUAAAAUUAUAAAUGCAAAUAAAUGGGGUUUCAUAAGUAUUUUUAAUAGUGUUAAAAGGUCUACUCACUAAAUAAACAUGUUUUACCCAAACCAAUCCGAUUAAUAAGUUAUUAGGUUGGGUUGAUCAGGUUAAAAAUCAAAAUUAAAAAUUAAAUAAAUAAAAGGCAUAAAAACUAUCUGUUACUUGAAAAUAAAAAGAAUUUCUAAUAGUUAGUUCUAAUGUCCCAUAUCCAAAACAUGCAUAUUGUGAGGUUUGCUGGUGAAUCAAACUCAUCAGAACCAAAUGAUGACGUUUUGGCAAUUGAAGGAGCACUUAAAAGACACGUGAAACGCACGUCUGUUGUCACUUAAGAUUAAAGCUUGAAACGGCAGUUCAACCAUGUCGUUUAAAGGAAGCUUAGAAGUGAUGCACGUGACAGAUGUGUGAAGCAGCUCAUCUCAGUUCGUUAAGUUUGUUAUGCUACGUGUAAGCAAUCAGUUCGAUCUGGGUUUAGCUGGUUAGUUGCUCUGUUAGUUAUAAGAGCAGGCUGAUGAAACGAUUUGGGUUAAGCUUGUGAAUUCAUAUCAGAGAGAGAGAGAUUUCAGUGAAAGGGUUAAGAGUUCUCUGAAAUCUUGUAAACCAUUCUCUGUAAGAAAGAUCCUCCAUUGUUGAAUAAUAAAAGCUCUGCAGAAAACUUUUCCUGUGGAUGUAGAUUGUACCAAUUUGGUACAACUGAACCACGUAAUUGAUUCUUGUGUUGUCUGUGAUUUGUUUGUUUCUUGAUUCUCUAUUCUUUCUAGUUCUUGGGUACAUUGUUUUCACUUGGCUAGAUUCAUUCCUCAAUCUGUGCAUCUUGUAUAGUUCUUUAUCAAAGGUCCUGGGAAGUGUUUUAUUUGUCUUGCAUGUUAUAUAGCAAAUUAAAACACUACACAUAUUAAAUAAUAUAUUAUAAGUUAGAAAUACAAUAUCUAAAGAAAGAAUUAAUGAAAUAACAUAUUCUUGUUGAGAAUUAAGAGUGUGAUUUUAAUUUUGAUAUUGGAGUCUAAAGCAAUAGAUAGUACAAUGAAAUCAUGAAUGCUACGUUUAAAUAAUCUCUUUUAUAAAAUAAUAAAAAGAGGUUAAAAAUUAGGUUAACAUUUAGGGUUUAGCAGUUAAGGAUGAAUAUAUUAUUAUUGUUGUUGUUGUUAUUAUUAUAAUAAUAAUUAUUAUAAUAAUAAUUAUUAUUUAUAUGUUAAUUAAUUCAAUCCAACUUAAUUAUUAAUGAAUUUGAAAAAAUUGACCCAAUUAAUCCACAAUAAUUCAUUCAACUCGUCUAAAUUAGAUUAAGUUGAACUUAAUUUGCUACCCCACAUUGAGCAACAAACCUCAACGUCAUUCUACGAGCUCUUUGAUUGUUUAUAAAAUUGAUUUAGAGUACAUAAAGUGUAUCGACAAUGAAAGUGCAAAACAAAUUAUUGUACAUAUUAAAAUGUGCAAAAACAAUGAAUUAUAUGUACAAACGAGUGCAAACACAUUUUUCAAUAAGAAGUUGGAAGAUAUUUAUGCAUGAAAAAGCCUACGUUUGUAGUUAUUCUAAAUUUUAAAAACAAAAUUUACAUUUAGAUUCCUAAAAUUUACAUAUAAGUAUAAAAGUUUCAAAUAUUGUCUAUUAUUUUUUUAACAUGCCUAUUCCUUGUGGAUAAUUUUGUCUCAUCACUAAUGUUGUUUCUUGCUUACAAAAACCAAAAGCCACCUCCUUUUUGCAAUUUUUAUAGCGUCUCAAAAUAGACAAUAGGGGGAUUUUGAAUUUUUUAAGUCUCAAUAUAGUCUCUAAUCUUGUGAGAAAUAUUUUCUUUCAAUAAUUUGGAGGUAAACAUAACAUAACUUUUUGGACUAAAGCCUAACUCUGCUAAUAAGUAAUUGGUGGUAUCCUUUUCAAGACUUGAGUCUUUAGAUUCGAGUUUUAUAUAGUGUGCAUGUGUAUUUAAUUAAUAUUUUUUUUCAAAAAAAAUUACAUCAAAUACUAAUAUUCAUGACAUAAUUUAGUUCAUAAUUUUUUUAAAUACAUCGAAAAAUAUAAUUUUUUAACAACUUAAAGGCAUGACAAAUUUCAAGAUAUAAAUAUCAGUCAAAAUAAGUGAAAGAAAUAAUGGUGUCAAUUCUAAUUUCUUAACUAAAUUAAUUACUGCAUGAGCCCCGAAUAUGACACGAGAGUUUGAUGGGCUAACUUGGCACAAGAACGUGAAUAGUUAACUCAUUUAAGAAAUAAUUCAACAAAAAAUAUAAUUGAUAAGAAUGCAAUAUUGAAAUGAAUUUUUUACGAAACAUUGAAUUAAUGAUUAUUAAGCAAGAACAAUAAAAAAAUAAAAUAAAAAUAAAGAUUAACCAUUGAUAAGCUUCAACAAGAACUUAACACAACCCUCAAUCCUAAUUCAAAUUAUAAAUGUCAUUCAUAUAUUCAUUAUAAAUCAAUAACAAAGGUUAUAAAUGUUUAGAAAUUCUAGAGGGAAGGAAGCUAUCGCCGGGGAAUCAACAACUAAAAUUGAUGUAAUUGUGGCACGAGAUGGAAUAUGGAAACUACACCAUAAUUUUAAAUGCCGCCAUAGACAUUGACUUAUCUACAAUAACAAUGAUCUAAUUAAAAUAAAAAUAGAGUUUAUGGGCAUUUAUUAUUUUGACAUUCCUCAUUUGCAAAUAGGGAUACAAUUAUAAUUUAUUUAGUCAAAGCAAACAGUAAUUUUCUUCAUUAUAGGAGUGAAGUAAAAACAUUUAGAUUUUAAUGUAUGUAAGGAAAAAUUUAUCUUUAAAAAUACUUUCUUAAUGUGUGUAUGCAUAUUGAAAUACUCAAACCAAUUUUGGUUAUAUAUAAUUAAACAAAUUUUAAAAUAUGAAAAAUAUAAUGUAGUUAUAGUGGAUAAACAAUAAGUGAGCACAAUAUAAUUAAUCAAAUAUUGUGCUAUCAAAAGUUAAUUUUAGAAAUUCCAAAUCCAAUAGCUAACACAAUUCUUUAAAGAAAAAAAAAAGGUUGACACAAUUAAUAAAAUUAGCGACAUGAAUUUCACGCCAUUGAUAAUCAGCAAUUAGUAUUACUUUCUAAACUUGCUUCAACUGGUCGUUGAUGUCCGGGUCACCAAAAGUAUAAGCGAUAAUAAGGGGCAUUGGGCAAGAGUGAUGAAUGUUUAGUGGGUGCAUUUGAUUGAUAGAUAUAUAAAGGGCCGAAACUUGAGAUUAUAUUACUUUUACAAAUUUUAAUCCAAUCACAUAUUUAAUGAAAACAAAAUGAGUUAGGAUACUUUAUUUAAAAUACACAUUUUAAUAAGGCUUCAUUUAAUUAAAUAAAAUUAUAAAAGUAAAAUAUAUUUUAGAUAUUUUAAUAUUUAAGAAAAAAUUUUCAAUCUUUACUUUCAGAAGCUCAAAUUUUUAAUUUUUAGUUGUAGAGACAAAAUAUCUUAUUUAAUGUUUAAAAGUUCUGCUAAAAACAAUCAAAUAACUACAAAAAUUUUAAUAAGAGCAUAUAAAAUUAAAUAAGCAUUUAUUAAUAAUCACUUUAGUGUACUUAUCUAAUAACAAUAAGUGUUUAUUUAAUCUAAUAAGUUUUUAUUUAAUCUAAUGAGCUCUUUUUAAUUUUUUUUUAGUAGAGCUUUUGAAAAUUAAAUAAACUAUUUUGUCUCUAUUAAGAAAAACUUAAAAUUUAGGUUUUUGUAAGUAAAUGUUUAAAUUUUUUUUAAAAAUAUUAAAAUAUUAAAAUAUCUUUUCUUUAUUUCAUAAUCUUAUUUCAUUCUUCACAACAUAACUUUAAAUAACUUACCUAUUAAAAUAAUUUCACAAUUUCUAAUAAAAACUCCGAUUAACAAUCAAGCAAUAAUUUUUUUUUUUUUUUUGUAAAAAUUCUAUUUGUAAAAACUCUAAUAAUAAAAAUUCUACUUAAAUAAAUUUUAUUUGAAAAGGUAUACUAAACGAACCUAAGAUAAAAACAAAAAUUUUUAGAUCCAGACAAUUAAGCUUAAAACAAUUUCAAAUGAAUUUUAGACUAAUCAAAGUACAAUACGUACCAAGUUUGGUAAUUUAUUGACAUCUUCUUAUAUACCUUCGAUCAAGUCGAUUCUCACUUGACGACUAAUUGGUAGUUUGGUACAUCACCGUUGUUCCCUAUACUCGCAUGCAUCCGAUCACAAAUCUCACUCCAAUUGUUGUCUUUCUUCGGCGUUUUAGCGCAUCCUUCUUGAAUUUCUCGCAUUUCGUUCCCUUACAAGUCUCCGGUCAGGUCAGUUCACUUGACGAUUAAUUCGGCAAAUCUUGAAUCUCUUCUCUAUCCCUCUCGUUUUCUCGUGUCUCCUUUCAGUUAAAGCGAUUGAAUCAAUUUUAUCGCAGUCUAAGAGAAAUUAAGUAAUGCUCUUGGAUUUAAAAUUUUUUUGCUUUCGACUUUAGAUCUCGAAAGUCAAACUCUUCUACGAAUCCAUAGAUUCUCAAUGUUUAUAAUCUUAUUUGUGUUUGACCAGGUAACUGGAUCGUGAAAUUCGUCGUUUUGUAUCAAUUCAAGCUUUCGCGAGCUCAUGGAAUCACCUGGUGAGUUGUGGUGAAACGUUACCGUUUCAAUUUUCGCUUAAUUCUUUAUUGCAUAUUUUUUUCUCUAAUAUUUCAGUUUAAUUAGAAAAGAAAGAGGACCCAAAAAGAGAGAGAGAGAGAGAGACUCUACCAUACUCAAUUCCUUGCUCAUUCUGAUUUGGCCUGAAUGUUGGCAUUGACUAUUAUUUGUUUUCAUUUCGAUUUAAUUCUCAUUUAGACAGUCUUUACUAACGGUCAAUAAUAGUUUAAGGAAAAUGAUAAUAGGGAUUCUGCAAUAAUCUUUCUGCAUUGUUCAAGUUAGUAGACAAUGAAUAGGAUGUUUACGUUUACCUCAUUUUGAACCCCGAGGGCUUAGUUGAGUAGUUGAUUGAUUCAAUCUUGCAAUGUGUUCCCACAAGGUUUUGAGUUUGAUUCCUAAUUAUGUGGACCUUAGUUUCGAAUUUGAGUUUGUUAGGUGGGUUGAUGGGGUUUUUGGGUAUUAAAAAGGGAGAAGAAAAAAGUUGCUUGCUUCAUUUUGUACAAACCUGUUGACUUUUUAUUUUUUUCUUUUUAUUUUUGUACUAUUUUGUUUUACAGUUGGUGGUUCAAGACAGACAUCUGUUAUUGUUGUAACUUUGGAUACUGGUGAAGUAUAUAUUGUAACCAGCUUGUAUUCUAGGACUGACACUCAAGUGAUAUAUAUUGAUCCAACUACUGGUGCACUUCGCUACCAUGGGAAAUGGGGCUAUGAUGUUUUUGGAUCUGAAAAUGAAGCAGUAGAUUACAUAACAAAUGGAUCACGAUGGAUGUGCAAGAGUACAACUUUUGCCAAGGCGAUAUUGGGUUAUACUGCCCUGGGAAGCUUUGGGCUGCUUCUUGUUGCCACAAGGUUAACUGCCAGCAUUCCAAAUCUUCCUGGUGGAGGAACUGUAUGCACGGUUACAGAGAGCCAAUGGAUCAAAAUUCCACUUCAAAAUCCUCAACCCCAGGGUAAAGGAGAAGUAAAGAAUGUUCAAGAGUUGCCUGAUCUUGACAUUGAUGGGAAGCACUACUUUUGUGAGACAAGAGAUAUCACUCGACCUUUCCCCAGCCGCAUGCCUUUGCAAAAUCCUGACGAGGAAUUUGUUUGGAAUGAAUGGCUUUCGAUGCCUUUUAAAAGCAUUGGUUUACCUCAGCAUUGUGUCAUUCUUCUGCAGGUUUUGCUUCAUACUCGGUAUCUUCAAAAUUUAUGCUCAUUAAACUUCUUUCAUUCCCCACCCUCUCACUAUCCCUCCACCUAAUUUUGUUUCCAAAAGUUUGUUUGAUAGUCUAUUGCCACUAUAUGUAAAUGUAUCAUUUCCAUUCUGAGCAUGAUAUUUUAUUCAUCAUCACUUGUUAUUCUAAUCUUUAGAUGAAAGAAUAUUUCGUAUUAACAUUUUUCAUGGGCCAGUACCUAUUUUAUGGUCCAUUGUAGAUACUAAAAUGACCAACUUUAUUUCUUGGUCAUAAAAAGUUGCGACAGAAAUUUUAAACAUGUGAAUAUUUAAAUCUGAUAAUUCAUUAAAGAUUUCAACCUAAUAGAUUGAAAACUUAGAUUCAUUCCAUGAAUGAAAGAUAAUAAAGCAUCAGCCGAUGGAAUAUGGGAAAUAGAAACACUUUCCCUUCUAUUAAGAAGAGCCUGCUUCAGAUGAUCCUCAUUUUCUUCAUCCACAGGCCAACCUAGAACAUACCACACCAAGGUAAGAAAGAAAAGGGGUAGCAGGAUUGCCUAGUUUGACAAUUAGCAAAGCCCCAAAUGUUCCUCUUUUACUUUUCUUUUAGAAAGGUAGACAUGUUUGACAGAUUUGGGACAUUGCAUCAUCCCUUUCUGCUGCACAUGGUUGCAAUGUUUUACUUCUCACGUGAAAGCCUAGAAAUCCCAAUCCAAUAAUAAAAGGCCAUUUUAGAGUCAAUGUACAAAAACUUCCUUCCUUGUCUCUAUAUCCUCUUUUACAAUCCAUUCUUAGUUGAAUUGAGAUUAUGCUACAGCUGCUUCUUCAAGUUAACAUUGUUAUGCAAUUCAAUGGUGAUUUACGUGUGUACUUGUCCUAAGCAUGUGAUUUGAAAAUAAUAUGUUAAUAUUGUUUUCACUGGAUAUUAAUGUAUAGGGAUUUGCAGAAUGUCGAAAUUUUGGAAGAUCAGGUCAGCUAGAAGGGGUUGUUGCUCUUAUAGCUCGUCGUAGUAGGCUGCAUCCUGGUACUCGAUACUUGGCUAGGGGGAUUAAUUCUUGUUUUAGUACAGGUAAGAUAAUCUUUAACAUCUCCAGACCUGGAAAUUACAUUUUUGUUGUUGAGAUUCACUUGGUUCUUCUAUACAAUCAAAAAAAUUAAGGAUUUAGUUUUUUUUUUUUUUAAACGGAAUUUUCUUUUCCUUUCAGUACUCUUUGCAUUCUGUGUAUGCUGUUUAUUCUGAUUGUCAUUGAUCUCAUGCCUUUACAAGGAAACAGGUAAUAGUUUCAGUGGUAAAUUCAAGUGGAAUUGGUUUUGAUUCUGUUGUUUAGAAAGAUGGAUUGUAGAACUACAGAACAUUAAUCGUGCCACCUCAUGGCUCAUGCAUGCUUUUGGAGUAUUCUUUACCUGUAGAAUUUUUGUUUUUGUAGUUGACUUGGAAUAUAACUUUACCAUUUUUUUCAAAUAAUAAGAAUCAAUGAGUCUCAUCAAUAUUAAUCAAUAAUGAGCUAAAGAUAUAUAACUUGUGUCUCAGAACUAUAUAUGAUAUGCUUGUGAAGGUGUAUUAUUUUAAGUAGAGAUACCAAAUGCUACAGGGAGAAGCAAAAAAGAACAUUCUCCAGUGAAAACCUUCUGACAGAUUACAUUUUUGGGAUAAAAAAGAAACAUUGAGAUCAUCAGCCACACUUUUUCUUCUUGUACUGUUUAAUUAGUUUAGAGGCCUUUUAGUUGGUUUUGCUUGCCUGGAGGUGUCAUACAGUUCACUUUUUGAAUACCCUGGUUUUCUACAGAUUAGAACUUGGUUUCCUUUCACUCCACAGCUUUUGCUUUCCUACAUCACGUCCUUUGGGAUAAUUGAAUAAUGAAUGAAUGAAAACAAUCAAAUAAUUUCUGACAAUUAGUUAAUAACUUUUAUUUUGUAUGACCCUUUUGAUAUGUGUGGUCCUUUAAUUUACGGUUGAAAUAUAAAUAUGAAAAAAGUCUGCCAAUUAGUUUUACAAAUGACUUUUGUGCCAUAGAAUAUAUAUAUUUUUUUUUUGCCGAAAAACAAAACAAAUUCAUAAACAACAUUGUAUUUCACCAAUUAACAGUGCAAGUGUCAUUAUAGUUUCCACAUAUUAGUUCUGUUUUCGUUAGUUUCAUUUUCAUUCUGUUAUGUAACUGAUGUUUCAUUGCUAUAAAAUUAAUUGUCUGUUUCUCUUCACAACUGUUAUUUUGAAUGAUUUUUUCUGAAUUUUAUAAAGAAUUUGUAUAUGACAGGAAAUGAAGCAGAGUGCGAGCAACUUGUAUGGAUUCCUAAAAGGUCUGGUCAGAGUGUUCCUUUCAAUGCAUACAUCUGGCGGCGAGGGACUAUUCCAAUAUGGUGGGGUGCAGAAUUAAAGCUUACUGCUGCUGAAGCAGAAAUUUAUGUUGCAGAUCGGGAUCCUUAUAAAGGAAGUCUGAAGUAUUAUCAGAGGUUGAGUAAUCGAUAUGAUGCUCGAAACUUUGACUUAGCUGUUGGGGAAAAUCAGAAGAAAAAGCCUUUUAUUCCAAUUGUAUGCAUUAACUUGCUUAGGAAUGCGGAAGGGAAAUCAGAAUCUAUUUUAGUUCAGCAUUUUGAGGAAUCUUUGAACUAUGUCAGAUCAACUGGAAAACUUCCUUAUACUCGAAUAAUUUUAAUAAAUUAUGACUGGCAUGCCAGUACAAAAUUAAAAGGUGAACAACUUACAAUUGAAGGAUUAUGGAAGCAUCUAAAAGCACCCACUCAGGCCGUAGGCAUUUCUGAAGGGGACUAUUUGCCAUCACGGCAACGACUUAAUGAUUGCCGAGGUGAAGUCAUCUGCAAUGGUGACUUUGUGGGUGCCUUUUGCUUAAGAUCCCAUCAGAAUGGAGUGAUACGCUUUAACUGUGCAGACUCUCUUGAUCGGACCAAUGCUGCUAGUUAUUUUGGUGCUCUGCAAGUAUUUGUGGAGCAAUGUAGGCGGCUUGGGUUCUCCCUUGACAGUGAUUUUGCAUAUGGCUAUCAGUCAGCUAAUAACUAUGGUGGAUAUACUGCUCCUUUGCCACGAGGAUGGGAGAAACGAGCUGAUGCAGUGACAGGAAAAACAUAUUAUAUCGAUCACAACACUAGGACCACAACAUGGAUUCAUCCAUGCCCAGACAAACCUUGGAAGAGAUUUGAUAUGACAUUUGAGGAGUUCAAGCAAUCAACAAUUUUAUCACCAGUGUCUCAGCUAGCAGAUCUUUUUCUGCUUUCUGGUGAUAUCCAUGCAACCCUUUAUACUGGUUCAAAAGCAAUGCAUAGCCAAAUUCUUAAUAUAUUCAAUGAAGAACCAGGAAAGUUCAAACAAUUUUCUGCAGCACAAAAUAUGAAAAUUACCCUGCAGAGAAGAUACAAAAAUGCAGUUGUCGAUAGCUCUCGUCAGAAACAGCUGGAGAUGUUUCUUGGAUUGAGGCUUUUCAAGCAUCUUCCAUCUGUUUCAGUUCAACCUCUACAUGUAUGAUACUGUAGAACUUCAGAUUACCUAUUCAUACAAUCUGAGUUCAAUGAUUAUCAAUUUUCAUGAGGGAUGGAGACAAUAUUACACUAGCUACUUGUUUCUAACCUAAGCAUCCCUAACUUCUGCACAUAAAUAAAUGAUGCGCAAAGCAUACCAUAGCUAUAUCAAUGCCCAUUUCCUGUUUGAUGUUGACCAAUAAUGUUUGGAAGUUAGCUAUUGCAUGGUAAGAUGAUUUGAAGCUUCAUUUAAAGCUUCUAAGCCAGAGCUUCUAAGUCAUCUGGCUUAGAGAAUUUAAAUGUCCUCCAAAAGUCUGGAAUCACUGUUGCAUCUCAGCCUGAUUGAUAUUUGUUAUUGUUAACUUGGAAAUAUUUUGUUAAUCUUUCGGAUUGAACAACGUCGUGCUAUGAUCAUUAUUCAAGAAAUGACCUCAAGAACUUGUUGCAGUUGAGUGAUUUUUUGGUAAUGAUGAAAAUUAUUCAUGUUUAGGAACAGCUCUUUAGGGGAAAAGCAUAUAUGGGCUGGCUGGCCCUUUUUGGUGUAUUUGAUGAACCAUUUCAUAUCAUGCUGGUAACUGCAGGUUCUUUCUCGACCAUCUGGUUUCUUUCUCAAGCCAGUUCCCAACAUGUUCCCAAGUUCUGAUGGUGGAGCUAGUCUUCUAAGCUUCAAAAGAAAAGACAUGAUCUGGGUAUGGGUUGCAGCUAAACUUAGUCCUUUGUAGCAUUCCUAAUUCUCUGAUUGUCUUUUCUUUGUAGCAUUCUUAAUUCUCUGAUUGUCUUUUCUGUCCUUAAUGGAAUUCAUGCAUUUUUGGUUCUUUAGGUAUGUCCACAAGGCACAGAUGUGGUUGAACUUUUCAUCUACCUUGGUGAACCUUGUCAUGUCUGUCAGCUUCUUCUCACCAUAUCCCAUGGUGCAGAUGAUUCAACAUAUCCAGCAACAGUUGAUGUGAGAACAGGACGCCACUUAGAUGGGCUUAAACUGAUUUUGGAGGUUUGUAUUGGUUCUAUUGUACACCUUGCUUACAAAUUUUUUAUUUUUAAUUUUUAAUUUUGUAUGAUAUGCUCUUUGUUGGUAAAUUUCAUUUGACUUAGAAGAGAUAGUUUUAUCCCAACAGUGGGAUACAUCAUUGAGAUGCAUGGCAGAGUGAAUAUAGUAGACAAAAUCAUUGAGACCCAUGGUGGUGUGAACAUAGUAAACUUUGUCAAACACAGCUAAGAUGAGCAAAUUGUUUCAUUAGCCUUUAUCUUAUCUGCUGUGAUGAUUCAAAUUAAUGCUGUUUGGUAGGUUGCAAAAAAACGAAAUGAGCUGACUGUUCGUAUUAUUUAGUCAGAUCUCUAGCAAUAAGUUGAAGUUCAUUGUCACAUGGGUUGGGAGUAUCGUGGGCUGUGAGUAGUAGAAUGGAUUUAUGGAGUUGAUACAAGUGCCCACAAUCUCUCAUGUCAUUCUAGGAUUAAAUGGAUUGCACAUUACUGUAAAAAUGGAGGUUAAAUUUAUAUAAUUCGGAUUGAUUGUAAAAUGGAAGACAGAGAUGAGUUAGAAAAAGAAUGACCCGUGUCCUUUUUGAGCUGUUUCUAAAUGUCCCUGGUGUGCCUCAUGCUUAACACGUGCCUUUCCAAAUAAUUUUGCUUAACCUGUGCUUGUCUACUUCUUGUGCUAUUCUGUGCCUGGUCCUGAGCUGUAUUGGUAGAUUGACAUCCAGCUUGAACUUUUAGGUAUAUCUUUUGUACAUAAAUUCUGAAUACCCAUGGACUUAGCGUGAUAUAAAGUCAAGGAUCCAUUUAGCUGAGUCCUUCAAGUUUUGUUAGUAUGUCUUCGGAUUAUAAAUAUGUAACAAAAUGAGGUGUAGAAUACAUUUAAAAAGAAAAGGAUAAAAAAACAAAAGAAAUGAAAAGAGGUGUUUAGAAGUAAUAGCUAAACUAGAUACACUCUCACUAAUUAGCGAUUCUGAUGAACAGUGCCCAUAGCUUCUUUUAUACCUUGAAGUUGCAGAAAUUGAUUCUUGGUGAAUUAAGUCACUUACAGACAUAACUUUUUCUUCCAUCUAAUUUUUAUUAGGUUAGAUAGGAGAAGACUUGUUUCAGGGUGUCCUGACCCUAGUAUUAGUUUUCUUGUCAGAUUUUUCAUGAAAAUUUACAAUGCACGUGACAUACAACUUCUAGUAAUCCUAGGACUUUGUUCACAGGGUGCUUCUAUUCCUCGUUGUGGAAAUGGGACAAACCUUUUGAUACCUUUACCAGGAUCAGUUAGUGCUGAGGAUAUGGCUAUUACUGGAGCUGGUGCACGACUUCAUGAUCAAGAUGCACCAACCCUUCCACUGUUGUAUGAUUUUGAAGAAUUAGAGGGAGAAUUGGAUUUUCUUACUCGUUUUGUGGCAGUUACCUUUUAUCCUGCUAUUUCUGGAACAAGUUCCAUGACUCUUGGUGAGGUAGAAAAUAUUUUCAUAAAAUGUUAAUUGAUUUAUCUACGCACUUUAUUCUUAAAUUAGUAUUUUAGACCAUGAGCUUUGUGGAGUGGGUUUGCUGUAACUGCUGCUGGUGACAACAUAAUUGUUAAUAUUAUUACAGAUAGAGAUUCUUGGAGUUUCUCUUCCAUGGAGGGGGGUAUUCAAUAAUGAAGGCCCUGGUGCUAGAUUAAUUGAGCUUGGCAAAAAGUUUCAGAAGGAAACCGAUCCAUUUUUGUCAAAUUCAGUUACAAAUACGGUUCUGUUUUCCAAUGAAAAUGUGUCAACAUCAAUGCAAACAGAAGCUGCUUCCAAUCCUUGGGUUGACCUGUUGUCUGGAGGGGACACAUUUUCUGAUCCUCUUUCAGAGCCGUUUUCUAACCCUCUUUCUGAGCCGUUCUCUGAUCCUCUUUCUGAGUCGUUCUCUGAUCCUCUUUCUGAGCCAGUGACAAGAAAUGUUGCAUCUGGAGGGGCUGAUUUGCUUGAUUUCUUGGACCAGCCUAUAGUUGAAGAUCAUGGUGUGGAAACUUAUAAAAGAUCUUCAACACAGGAUGGCUGUUCUCUGGCUAGUGGUGCCCAGCAGUACAUAAGCUGUCUAAAAUCCCUUGCAGGGCCACGCGAGGUAUAGUACUGCUCUCUUGUGUUUUUUGCAGCUCUACAUCUUAGUAACCUCAUCUUUUUAAUGGAGUAAAUUCUAGAAGUUCAACAAAUUUUGCUUUGCUAAAUGUAUAACUUAUUAAUCAG
RNAcentral lists this long non-coding RNA (148273 nucleotides) under Citrus maxima (pomelo). Its description in RNAcentral is "long non-coding RNA (CMAX_LNC000735)". The stretch from base 44378 to 44516 matches the Rfam family "Small nucleolar RNA Z247". Lineage: Eukaryota; Viridiplantae; Streptophyta; Magnoliopsida; Sapindales; Rutaceae. The record is from RNAcentral.